UGAAGUCAGACAAUGUAAAUCAGUUCAACCAGUUAGUCAAACAACACGAUGACCAAAUAAGUAAUGGGCACUUGGCCACCAACAGUUCCUCGCAACACAAAAACCCACGUCUGGGUGGAAAGGUGUGAGUCCAGAGGAUUGGAGGAAAAGGGUAAAUGUUGGGUGGAGUGUGUGUGUGUCCGGAUUGAUGGGCUGUACAGUAAGGUGAGCGUGUUGCGGCUACAAGGAGCCCCUACCAGCCUGGCAGGAGAGAUGUGGGCUUCCUGGGUCUGUAGGUCACUUCCUUUUAGCUCGCCAUCUAAAAUCUGAGAACCUGGCCUGUAAAGCCAGGGUUCAAGUAAAUCACAAUGUCACAAUCAAUAUACAUUGCUCGAAUUUCAGUGUAUACACAUGUCUUUUCAAUCAAAGUACUGCAGUUCAAUUCAAUCUCAACAUAAUCAUCAUAAUCCACAAUAAGUAUAGCACUUGUCAUUAGUCCAAAUAAAUAAAAUUUACAGCAUCAAAUACUCAAUUCAUUCAAUACAUUAAAUUCAGGAAUCAAUGUUACAUAUUAGCAAUCACAUUUUAGAGUUAAGCAUUGGCAUCAUCCAGCUAACACCAUCCAUUCAUCUGAAUGGAGGUGGCUAAGCUAUCAAGACAAACAAUUCUGCUCACCAGUUCACAGUUCAAUCUUCACAUCUACAGCCCUCCUCAAAUCACCACAGACUAGUAGCGGGCUGCUAUGAGUUCAAUAAAGUUUGUUACAUAAAGUUGUCCGUUUGUUUUAGUGAAGAACCAGCGAAAAUGGAUAAAAACCGACCUGUUGCUCAUGUGUCUCCUGCUUCCCCACUGCUUCCUCUCACACUGAAUUACCGCGGUAUGAUAAACAAACGUGAUUGGCGCCGCUGCGUCACAUGUCGGCACGACGUCAUUGCGUACUACGUUCUGAUUGGCCGAGUGGGCCAGGUAUCGAUCUCGCGAGAAUAGGAUCUCGCGAGAACGGGAUCUAAGAAUACCGCGAAAAGAGAAGCAGGAACUGAAUAUGGUAAACAAUGAGAAGCAGGAGCUGAAUUAUCACCUGAGUUACAGUUGGCAGACUGUCGGGCAGCAAAUUAUUCUGUCAGGAUUCUAUUGGAUUGAAAACAUUGAGCUCUUGCUCUUUUUAUUUUCAGUCUUCUUAGUUCAGGUUUGACUGGUGGGUAUGAUUGGUCAAAAGAUUUGUGCUUUGACUUGUAGUGACGCUUGAAAUUGCUUUUUUCAAUAUUUGCUAUAAUAUCAAAGCAGAGGCACACCGGUAUGAACAGCCUGUGGGAAUAAUAGGAACAGCUCAUUCUUGAUAUCAGCUCUGUUUUCACUGUGAAAUCUUCUCUUUUCAGAGGCCCUGACUCACUGUUUUUUUCUCCCAGAUUGUCAGUCCUCAGAUGGCUCCCCCUGGUGUGCAUCCUGGUAUUACCCACUACCCUGACGACAUUCAAAGAUCUGACUGGCUCAUUGCUAUCACACGUGAUGUUUUACAAAGGUUCCAAGUGGCUGCCUUGGACAGAAUAAAACUCAACAUUGUAAGUAAUCAACAUUUAUUAUCAAAUUAGGGUCUAAACAGAUAGUAUCUCAGUCUGAAUCCAGGUUGUGUUAUGCUCUGUAUAGUUUAUAUCACCAAAUUAACUUAAAAUUUAAAUUUAAGUAUAACCGUCUUCUUUUUUUUUUCUAAAAGAGGGCAUAUUUUUCACAUCAGACCAAGCUGGGUGAUACAAACUUCAGAAAAAAAGGAGAGAAAAGAAAAAAAGGCAAAGAGAGAGAGAGAGAGAAAAAAAACCCUGUUGGAUCCCCAAACUCUGAAAGUGUCAUCAGAACUGAAACUUAUCCUUCCUGCCUGCAUCCUCCACCAGAACAGUGACAUCCACAUGACUUCUGAACCAAAAAUCUUCAGAGGCAAGUCUGCUCAAACUCGUGUGUUUACACAUCCAAAUUUAGUACUGAGGAUUCUUUGAAAGCCGACAUCAGUCUGAGGACAUGACUGUGUUCUGAUAUGAAAAGAGUCAGAACUGGGAGAAACUCCUGCUGUCUCUGCAUCUCCUGCACAUCAUGGUGCGUAAAAGUGACCUUACCUCAACCCUGAAAAACGCUGCCGUAGAAUAAUCCUAAUUAUACCAAUCCAGAUGUUGAUCUGAAGCUGUUUCAUGCUAUGAAAACCUUUGAACUUACAUCAACAAAGAUGUUGGUUGGAACCAGUUUGCUAUGUUGGACACGUCCAGUCCUGCCAGAGAACAAAAAGUCCAUGUAGCCUGAUGCAGCUCAGCUUUAUCUUUCUCCAGAGACUCCUUCACUGUGCUCAGCUCAACUUAACCAGAGUAUGUUCUUGUGAGUUGCCUCAGUAUUAGUGUAUAAUGGCAUUAAGAAGAUUCCUGGAGAACAAAUUGGGAUGUUUUGUGUUAAAAUGAGGAUGUCAAAUCCAAAUAUCUCCUGCAGCUGGUAAUAUAUCCUUUCUCUCCUGAACAAUGCUGUUGGGUAAUUUUCUGAUUGAGUUAAAAAUUUUGAUCCACUUAUUUCCAAUCCUUUUUAAGAAGUUAAUUUGCUGGAUUAUAUUUAUCCGGCCUACGGUCGUCAUUAUUCUAAACCCUUGUUGUUGCUGCGCUGAGUGGUAGAUUCAUUUAAUCCAGUAAUAUAUUCAUCAUUAAUUGUUCAUCUCUGAGUCUUUGCAAACAUGCAUUUACCUUUAUUUUUGCUGUUUGAAUGCAGUUUAACAUCUCAAAUUACUUUUUUAACCCUUGAAUACCUUUAUGACUGCUUUUGUUUCAAACCAAGUCUAAAAUUAAAUGUAGAGCAAGAUUCUAAGUUGUUAUCAUUCUUAUUAAUGUUAUACUUUCUUUUGUGGGUGUUAGUAAUCUAAAAGUAUUUUGAUUACAUUUGUGUUGCUCUGUCUCAAUGAAAUAAAAGGCUCACAAACUAAGAGCUGAAAAGUGGUGGGAGUCUGCUCCUUCCUGUUAACUCCAUAAAGUUUUCUGAUAAUAUGAUAAUUAAUUUUUUGAAGUUGCAUGCGCCUCCACAAUAAUACCAGUCAUGGUUCUCCUCUGAUAUUGAGUUCACAGAGGUUGGCUCAUACAAGAAUGAGAUAUUUAAGUCAGACUUUAUUUCAUUUGAAUCUCAAAUGCCAUUUUAAAAAUAGAGCCAGUACACUGAGAGCCGCUCUGUUCUCAUCAUCACUUUGUCCUCUAUCUCUUGGUGACACUUUGUCAGAUACCAUGACACAGAGGGAUAUACAGCCAGCCUGGAAGAGAGACUGACAGAAAGAUUAGAUAAAAUAAAUAAAGUAUGUGCACGAAAUCAUAGCCUUGUGAGUCUUAACUUUUUGUGCUUCCUCCCAGAGGAAAGUGCAGACAAGUGAUUUCAGAUUGAAGGCCCUAAACACUCUGAUGUAGUUUUACCUCAAGGGACCUUAUUAGGCAAUGGGUCAGUACACACUGCAGCCCGAACAAAACACACUCUUGUCGCCAUGCCAGCACUUGUCUUGAUUAAUUAUCAACACACGUUAUAUCCAGCUGCCACAGGCAGGGAGUGAGAAGAAAGAUUCAAAAACAUAACUACCACAACAUGCUACCCUUCAGAACCAGUUUACCAGUUGAUUCAACUGGUAAAUUAGUAUGUGGAGGUUGUCAAAAACAUCCCCGGUUUAAUAGGCGAUGGGAUGCUGUUAUGAUAAAGUUAUCCUGCAAAUCCUUAAAAGGCUUUGUUGACCAGAAAAAAAGGGGGCAAAGAUAAAAAACACAAAGUUGAAACUGAGGAAUACUUGUGUUUUUUUGACAAUUAUGGACUUAUCUUAAAUCUGAUACCAGCAAUGCAUUUCAAAAUUCUCGGUACAGUGAUGACAAAACAAUAAAAGAGUUGUGUGACACUAAAACAAAACACCUGACAGAACUGGUCAGAUAAUUUUUGAGCAGGUAGAUAAAAUAAUCAGGCACAAAUGGGGAAAUUCAAGGGAAGUAAACAUGGGCAGAGGUACACCACUCUGUGAGAGACUGGGUGAGGAAGUCUUGUCACGAUUCCAGGAAAUUUAAGGAAUACUACAUGACACAAAAUCAUAAAAAAGAUUCAGAGAAUUUCAGAAAAACUGGAGGCCUCCGACUGAACUGUAUUAAACAGACAUGACUCUGCAGUGGAAAUCACUGCAUGGGCUCAAAGUCACAUCCAGUGUGAUGGAGCGCUGUUAGAGCCGAGUCACUCCCCGACUGGCACGGGGCCAGGAGGAGCUCAUUCCUCGCAGAGCCAAGCUCAGUCAAACUGUUAAACAGUUUCCCUCCAAGAAAAAAACAACUGUUUUCCUUUUUACCUUGACUCCUUUCUCCUCGCUGUAGGUGUUUGAAGGUGCAACAACUACACGCCACACACACAAACCCACUUACCUGCUGCCAUCUUCCACGUCGAACCGGGCCACUUCUUGGUAAGUAAAUCGUGAAAGGUGGCGCGCUUUUGGGGGUCAUGUGACCACUGGACCAAACCGUUAUAGUUCAUUUGUGGUAUUUUGAUCUGAUUUAAUGUGUUUUCAAUGAGUAAGGUCACAGCUGUAUGGAGGGCUAUUAGGGCCUUUUUGUCCAUGUUGAAAUGUCUGAUUUGUCGUUUGUGUUGUAUUUUGCUAAUGGUAUCUUAAACCCCUAUAGGGGGGUUUAUGGAUGGGCCCAGGGGAGGGACUAGGGGGGUUCAAAAGAAGAAUGCCUGGGCCUCUCUUGGAGUGUGGAGUUGGUUGCAAGGAAGGUAAAUGCUGAACUGAAUUUGUUGAAUUGCUGCUGUGUUGCUGAUUGAGUUGAGUUAUUGUAGGACUCUUACCCUGUUGGCAUUUUCUCUUUUUUUUGCCUUGUAUAUUUUUCGUAAAAAGUAUUUUGACCAUUUUUGCACUGUUUUGUAAAUAAUUUUUGCACUGCACCUAAGGAAGCCGGCAAUGAAUAAAUUUCACCAUCAACGUAUUUUCGACUGCGUUUGUCUUUUCCACUGUUUUUGAUUGUUUGAGAGAGAACCCAGAGGCAUCCAGAAAACUUUACUUGUGAGCAGUUUGUUGCUACGUCCAGGUUAAAACUCUGUCAUGCAGAGAGGGAACAAUAGGUGAACAUGCUCCUGACCUGUUCGAGCGACUUAAUAAAGGUGGACUGCUAUGAAGUGGAAACCAACAAAUCAAACUUUAUUUAUUUAUUCAUUUUUUAAAAUAUGGAAUCCAGAAAAGGAGAGAAUCCCCUGGUCUGUUCUCAACAUACAAUUCUCUCAAACUGUGUGCAGUGCUCAUUGCUGCUGGUGUAUGAAUAGAGUCACCUUUGUUAUGAUAUAAUACCUCCAGUUGUCAUACAUGAGCAGGAAGGAUGAGUGCGCUCUGUCUGCAGGGUCUAUUUUAAGUGGAGUGAGGAACAAACUAACAAGCAGGUCAAGUUGUAUGUUUAUGAUGAGUAAAAUCCUCCAACGCAGGACCUGCAGCUUUCCAAAAAGGCACUGAACCAUUUUUGCUUUCCUGCAUUUGUCAUAGCCACUGGCCUAAUUCCAAGAAUUAGGGCCCCAUAAAUCAUCCAUUUUCUGUACAGUUUUUUCUUCCCUGUUAGAAUUGGUAACAUAAUCCUGAUCUGCUUUUCCAGAUUGUGCCACAACCCGUAUCUUUUCCCCAAGCCUGGUCAAGAACCCCUUCCUGAACUACACCCAAGGCUGAUCAGUUUCCCAGUCAGGUUCUCUAUUUAUUUUCCCUCCGUCUUCUAGAGUUUAAGUAUUCCUCUCAGACUCAGCCUGACCCUGAAACUUAGUCUGAGUGAUAAACACUUGGCAAAUCCCACCCACCAAUAUCCCAGCACCAGUGGUUAUCCAGUUGAGUUUCCUGUUUGAGAAAGAAGCAUCAAAUCUUUAAGAAGAUUGAUCGCCCUUCUCUGUGUGUACACCAGGAGCUCUCCGCUGCCUUCAUUCAGCAGGAUGUAUCCCCAAGUGAGGCUGCUGACCCAGCUUGACAUCCUCCUUGCCGUAGGCUGGGCUGUCAGUUUCCUUCAACCUCCUCCCUAACUCUGCUUCCUCACUCGACCCUCUGCUCCCUAUCCCUAUCACUGAUGGUAAGUGACUGCACCGCCAGAAUUAUCAGGGCUAAAUCAACUGUCAGAGGAAUCGAGCGACCUUUCCUCAUACAUACCUUCUGAGUUUCUGACAUGUUGGCAAAAAUGGUCUUACAUAAGAUGCACUGCGAUGAUUAUGAUCAUGACUGAAAGAAACCUUCACAGAAAUGGAGUUCUUCUAACUCCAAUACAUCUUGACAAAUGUGAAAAAUUUAUAACAGGUAAGAAAUUUACCCAGCAAAUCUUUUUCACCCAUUAAUCAUAAAAACAAGUUUUAACUUGACUAUAAGUGUCUUUUUAUUCUUGUGAUGCUGUAAAGUUUUAUCAAAGUUUCAUGCACAAUCACAUCCACUCAGUUGUUGACACCAUAGACUGUAUAUAGAAUAUAUAGUAUAGAGUAUAUAAUCGUCUGCCUCCUCACUGGGUAAAGCCACCGCGAGAGCAGCCCCCUCUGGUGACGGGCUGUAGUAUAGGUCAUAAAUCCCGCCUCCUCCAGCAAUCCCAAUGGAGCUGUGGACAAACUUUAAAAAUUUAUUACGCAGAAUAUAAUUUUUUCUGUGCCCUGGUUGCGAUGUUUACAUGUAGUUACUGUCAGACUGGUUUGUGCUCAAGUCCUCUUUUUUCUGUGCAGCUCUAUUUAUAAAAGUUAUUAGGGGGUUCAUGUUUUCUAUGAUUGACACUUGAUACAGCCUAUGGGGGUACGAGGAUUGCGUGGCUCACCUGGGGGAUAUACUGUUUGAGCAGAGCGUCAUCACAGCGACUCUUAUGCUGAAUGUGUACAAUGCUACUGCGCAAGUGGUGGUUCCAGGAAGUGAAGAAAAUCCCGGAAAUACAAAGAGCAUUUCAGCUUCAAAUUCGUAUAAUGGCGGAAGGCGGAGCCAAGUUGUCCAUAGUAUAUACAGUCUAUGGGUGACACAUUUAAAUGAGAGCAUCACACCCAGUUAAAUGACUUGUACAAAAACUGCUUUUGUGUUUACUUGCUCAUUGCUCCUGAUUUCACUCCCCUCUCCUUGAUCCUCUCUUCUGUAGGCACAAUUAGAGCUUUGUGACACUCUUGGGUCUGGUGGGUCGACCCAGAAUCAAGAAUAGGGGGUUAUCAUUUAAAGGGAUGCUCUCAGCUCUGCCUCCUUCUGCCUGUGAUUUUCCUGUCGUCUUGUGUGUGUUGUGCCCUGUUUGUUUUCCUGUGUGAUUAGGUGUGGGCAUGACACUCAGUCACACUCUGGCUGUCAAUCUCUCUGCACACCUGGGACCCAUCUACUCACCAAGCUCCUGCAGUAUAAGUACCCCAGCUCCACACAACAGUCAUUGCCAGGUUGUUCAGUUCCCCGAUGUGACACUGUGCCGUGGCCAAGUUUAUCUUAGAACUCUGACUUGCUUGUGGAUUUGGACUUCGAAGUACCUCUUGGUUGUCCUUGUGUCCCAGGAUCAACAUUUGGUUUUCCUGUGUCUUGGGAUCCUCACCAGUCUGGAUUUUCAGUCUGCUGGCCUCACUCUGAUGUGAUCUUCCCUUCUGCUACUCCACCUUAACUCCCACUCAGUUUUACACCUCACUUUAACAACUAAUCCAGUGAGUUACAUCCAACUUUUACCCUCUGCCUCGGUUUUUGGGUCUCAGAGCUCACCACUCGACAGUUUCCCCUCGAAUAAGUAUUUUAAGUUCAGCUGUUAACAGUCCUUGGCCCCCAACCUCAAAAAAUACUGUUUGGAUGAAGAUCAAUGCUCCACUCUCUGAUAUAUCUUCAACUUGUCUAUAUAACAUUGGCAACCCACCUUCGCUGAGAUUACCUAUCAUACUAAAAUAUCUGAGAAGAUUCACGUCAAACCAUUUUGUUUGGCACAAAAUAAAAUAAAAGACCCGCUUAUCCUUCAAAUAACAGCCAAGAGGUGAUGCAUCCAAAAAUAUCUGCAAAUAUCCAUGAGCAGCCAAUCUGCAACCCACCAUAAAACCUUUUUUCCAAGAGAUUAUGUCGUGUGUGUGUGUGUGUGUGUGUGUGUGUGUGUGUGUGUGUGUGUGUGUGUGUGUGUGUGUGUGCUGUUUGAGAUGUGAAGCGAGUGCGCUGUUGGGGUUUCUGUAUUACUUUUGAGAGCUCUUGCUGCUGUGCGCCGCUCCUUCACCUUAAGGGUCCACUUGCUUAUGUACUAUUUAUCAUGUUGGUCUCAAAGAGCUGCAGGUCAGCGCUGCCUCUUACUGUAUAUAUACAUCCUACACAUCAUGAAAAGACUAUUAAGGAUUUAUCCUUAGGGUAUUUAACAUGAAUUUUAAAUUCUGAUUCUGAUGUCAUGUCGACGUCGGCCUCAGUCUAUAAUGUUUGACAAGCAUCGGUGGAUGAAAUAGUGGAUGAAGUGCUCUAAUGUCCCAGCUCAUCAAAUGCAAGGUCGUUUUUGCAUAGGCUGGCCGACCCCGCCUUCCAGUUUGGACAGUCACCAGAAGGCAGUUGUCAUUACAUGGCGUUAACGCAGAUGAAAAUACGCCAACUCCCCGCUAUGUUUUUCAGGUGAGCUACUAAUGUAAAUUGGCAGAAAAUAACCUUUAAGGCAACUCUGUGAUGGUUUAUAAAGUUGCUAAGAAUUCGUUGACGUCAUGAGUAGCGAAGGAUCCUGGGAAUCAUUUACAUUCUUUACCUGUUAGACAGUUACUGCAGCUUCGGGUGCCUCCGGUGUACAUGUGUAAGAAGUUUUCAUGCCCAAUCAUCAGUCAAGGUCUCCUAUCAGACGCAAACUGACCAGGUAGUUACAGGUAAGCACUAAAGCACCGAACUGCUUGCCCUGGUGCUGCUGUAAGCUCUGUUAGCUUUUAGCGUAGUAGUCCGUUGUUCGGCAUGAGAUUUGGUGGUAGCAGAUCUGAUCUGCACGGAUCUCUUCCACUCAGUCAAAUGGAUCCGGUCAUUAAGACAAGCGGAACAGUUAAAACUAUGGAAAACUAUUGAAGGCACACAGUGAAUUGAGAUGUACAGUUACUAAAUUUUUGUCUUUUGCAGGCUGUCAGAGUAAGAACUGGUUAUGUUAACUGUUUUGCAGGUGUUUGUUUCUCCAGUCUAUAUAAAGUGUUUUGAUUGACUUAUGACUCUUUAUUAUUCACACACAUGAAAGUAGGUAGUAAUUAGCAGUCAGUAUUAGGUUGGCAUUAUUUUAUUAAUAUUUCAUUGUAUAUUUACGGUGCAGCUGCAACCUAUAGAUAAAGAUUGUGUGCUAAAACUUUGAUCAAUCGUCCAAAAAUUGUGUGUCGAUCAUUUUGGAUCAAAGUCUGACCUCUUAGCAAACGCUCUCCUCGCUACAUCUCGGGCUGACGUCGGCACAAUGCGCGUGUGCUGUCUGUGCUGUAAAUUACACCGGGAGAAAAAUCUCUUUAUACAAGAAGAAGCUCAGGGUUGCAGGUCUAAAUGGAUUAUGACUUGCUUUAUAUUUUCUACAGAAUUCGAGUCAGCAGAACGGUCCAGGACUGUUUGACCUCUGUUGCUUUCAUUGCAUAUGUUAUAUAUUGCUGUUCCACAUCACACUGACUAAAUGCUCCAUUUCAAUAACUUGUGGCUCCUCUUUGGUUUCCUCUGAGAGCUCGGCUGUGCUUGCGGAAACAGCGGUACAUAAAUACUGUAUGGUUUUAUGUUAUUUUUCUAACCUGAUGUAUUUUACUACAGGACCUAUUGUCAUUUACAGAGACAUAUUUGAUCCCAGAAGUCAUAACUGAGCAAGAAAUAGGAGCCAUUAUGUGCCCAGUUGCUUACAAGAGCACUCUGUAUGCAUGACCUAAGCCAUCACAGUUCUUUCUGGAGGACAGUGCAGUAAGAUACUGGAGGCUGCCUGAUGCUGAAGCAGACUUGAAUAAAACGGUGGGCUCUGACGCUCAGCAUGGCAGACAGAGCUGUGUGCAUCAGGUGAGAUUGUGGGAGGCAUCCCUCAAGGACCGACAGAGCUGCCGCAGGCAAUAAAAAGAUUAAUAAUUUAAUAAAUACACAUGCAUAAUAAAAAGGCCAUUAGUUUCAAUUGAAGGGUGAUUAAAUUAUUCACAAGAAACAGUGGAAUAGAAAAGACAGGAUUUAAAGCAGUGUCUCCAGUGUGUCGUUUUCUAUAGUUUGUGAUAAGGACGAAAAAAAUGCAUCAUCCAAACUUGUCCACCAAACUUCAAAUUGCCUUUCAAGAUUUUAAUUGAAACAAAACAGUAUGCCCAGACUGUUUAAUCUUACUUAACAAAUGAGCGCAGUACGUUUAAAAUAUUCAUGUGUAAGCUCUGUGGAUAGCAUCUAGUCAAAAACCAGGUCUAGAUCAUGGAAAAAGUAUCAUGAAGCCAUCUCAGAAGUUUAGUGUGGCACAUCUGUUAUCCUACUUUUUUUUUUCCUCUUCACACUGAAUUUCGGUCUUUUCAUACUCAUACAACGCUCAUCUCCUUUUCUGACAGCUGAGUAAACCUCCACCUCUUUUUUUACCAGGAACCAUGUGCAACCGUGCUGCUCUUCCACAGUGGAUAUACGUGUUUGUGUCUGUUUCUGCUUUGGCAGGCAGAGCUAUGGUGAUAACAUGUCAAUCUUACUUUCCUGUCGGAUUUUUUUCUCACUCUCUCUAAAUGGGUCCAAAACUUCUGAAUUAAAAUUGUGAUUUAUUGGACAAGACUUGUAGCCAUCAGACCUUAAAAUGAAGCCUUGAAGUGAGACCAGAGGAAAAUGUUUACCGAGGUGAUAAAUCAACAGAGAAGUGGUGUCAUUUUCAGGGAUUUUAUGGGAUCAGACUUAUUUGAACCCUGUGAAGUCUCCCCUUUGCUGGCAGUAAGAAAAAAAAACUGGGUUUCAAACUCUUCUUCCUCAUAAACCACUUUGCAUGUAGUGUUUUAUUUUAGGGUGGCUCUGUUCUAAGAGCUUCCUACCUUUCUUUGCUCAUAUGGGGAAUGCCAAAGCCUGAGGAGGUGAGAAUAUGCCUCCCUGCAUGCAUACAUAAAAAGCCAAGGCAGGCAGAGCAGCAUCAAAGACCCCCUGAGUCCAGAACAAGCUCUCAUCAGAGACGACACACGACACCAGUAAAAUCAGACACAGCAUGAGUGCCGGUGUGGAGGCGGAUUACUAAGCACCCUGCCGCAGGUAGAGAAGGCAGGCCAAAGCAGUUUCAAUAAAACACCCAUUUUGACAGUUGCCUGUUGUAUGCAUAGACCGAUAAGGGUUUGCAUUUCAUGAACAGUUAUACUUGGUGCUAAGCUUGACUUCAUGGCCUGCUUGAGGUAGCCCCUUUGUUGAAUUUGUGACCAAACCAUCCCCAUUGAAAGUGGGUGUUUUUUUUUCAAACAAACUGUGGUGACAUGAGAAUGCUGUGGGAGUGUGAACAUCAGGCCAGUAGUUGGCAGUAUAACUGAGUCAUGAAACACCAAGUGUUCUUCAAACUGCACUUUGCUGGAGAAGUGCUAAUAAACUCAUUAAAGUUGGCAGCACAAACACAUCACAGUGGUUUGCUUCUGAGCUGUGGGACUGUGAUUUUACCACCGUCACAGGUUUCAGACAUUGUGCAAGUAAAUGACAACAGAGGAUUUGGCAUAAUCAAGAGAUUCUGCUCAGGAACCUAUUUCAAACAGAAAUGCUCAAAACUCAAAAUAGUUAGUAGCUUUCUAUUCAAGAAGUUUCUAUGACAGCCUACCAGGGGCAGCUCUGCAUGUUUCAUAUCAACCUGUAUUAGAUCAAAUGGUUUACACCUAUAGGACGUGAUUUCUGAGCUCAUAUACCAUGCUGUUUGAUAUUUUCAUUGACCUCCUCCUGGGAAUUGAUGAGUUUUUAUCGAUAUAGAUGCCUUCGUCACUUCUACCAGCAGAUCAAACUCCUCAUCAAGUCCUGUGGAUUUUAAGCGUAGGGAAAAUAGACCUGUGCAGGUUUUCCUGUGUCAAUGAUGAAACAUUUUGCAUAAGUGUCUCACUGUGAGUCUCACAGUGAGACACCUAACCUCUGACUCCUGAGGACCUUUGCAAGUCAGCUGAUUGUUUUGACAUGUUAACCAGACAGAGGCUGUAUCUGCAGGGAUGAGAACCUCGAUAUAGCAUAGUUAGCUGGCAAUCAAAGUGGCACACGGUCUCAGAAAGCAUUGUGGAUUACCUUCAGUUUUAAAGGACCAGAUCUAGUCAGUGGAAUAGAAAAACCACACAGUUUACAGCUAGCAGGCCGCCUGUCUCAAGAAGAGAGUGGAUUUUACUGGAAGUCUGCACUAUCCUGUUUUUGAGCUAAUAUUAUAAGUGCAAUAUUUAUUCCUAUAUGUAGCAAUUUGGACUCCUACUGUUUGCUGUGCUCUACGAUUACAUCCUCAAAAUCCUUGGCUGUUGUUUGCGCUGGCUGUUGUUUUGCAAAGCACCAAAAGCAAAGUGAAAAGCACUGAGAAGAUAACCAUUAAUUAUUGUGAAAAAGUGAAUUAAUGGCUCAAAACUGGUCUGAACUGGUCUCAUCAGGAACCAGCUCUUGACUCCCUUCUCUGUUUCAUUACUGAAGAGCCGUUUUAGGAGCCUUUCCAAAACACAUAUAAAGCCUUCAUGGACAGUGUUUUAUUUUGCCUCCAUUAUGAAACAUUUUUAUAAAGUUAAUUUAAUUAACUGCUAUAAAAUUUCUCUUUGAACGGCUUGUGGGCUGUUAUCUCUCUUAAUGUGCAAGAUGCAAAUGCUGCAUUUUCAUUUUAAUGUAGCAUAAAAAGGUUUGUUUAGACCUCCUGAUUCAUAACUAUUUUAAUAAUCAUUUACCAAAAUAAUGAGCCUUUGGGAUACCUUAAGGCAAGGUAAGAUACAAUAUGGUUUUAGCUACUUAUCAAACUGUAGUCCUCGCAAAGGGAACCUGCUCAGUCAGCACAUAAUGAUUUGCUCUGCUGUGCUGUUGGGUCUAUGAGUACUCUUAACUAUCUGCCUGAGGCCAAUAAUUAGCUGCCCAAGGUGUAUCUCACCAUUGUGUGUAUAUAUAUUUUUUCUCAUACUCCUUCAGUGCUAUCUUUUGUUAAUUAUUGAACCAACAACCCUCCUAGCAGACAUGUGGAAUUAUUCAUGGGCUGCGGCACAAUCAAUAGGAUUAAUUGCUUGUUUCAGGGCUGUCCAAUAACACCAGUUUGUCAUAUAUAUGUAAUUUAAUAUAACACUGCUAACCUUCAAAAGGGCAAUAAGAUGAAAGGUGUUGGAGAAAUUCCUGUGGGUUCCACCUCAUAACCUUCAGCAAGUUUCUGACUCCAAACGUAUUUGCCUCAGGAAUAGAAAUGGAGGAACAGAGUUUGCCCCCUGACACUGCCUGCUGAGUGACUAUUAGAGCAACACAGCCUCCUGAGGUGGGCUCCAGUGAAGAGGUGAGCAGCCAGGGAGUGAGUCAUCAGUGAUUCCUCGGCGUGAGAGUGGGUGCACAGUGGAAAAGUUCAGAGGCGUCCUAGGAGUGUGCCCAAGGGUGGUGGAUGGAGGUCUUGAGGGGAAUCCUCCACGCAAUGUUCAGCAUGUCUGAUCUCAGCAGGAGAACCUUGUAUAAACAUGUGUUUGUCUGCAGGGGGAAGCAGGCAGGGAAGAGGAGGGAAGAGCAGAUGCAAACCAUCAUUAUGCUAGGAGUAGGGUAUGUUGAUGAGGACAACAACAGAGCCAAGCAGCCAGUGACAGUCCCUGGAUGUCACAGACCACCCAGCUCGUCAUAUUUCAAAGCCUGUUCUCCUCUGGGUGCUGAUGUGGCGCUGGGACAGUCUGGUAAAAGGCAACGUAAUCAAUCAAAGCCGGCAGCCUGACAUUCAACACAGAAGAACAUUUCAAAGGGGAAAUCACAGCCAGAGCAGGGUUUCUGUUUUUUUGUUGUUUUUUCCUCUUAUUUUGUCUGCGUUGCACCGGCGCACAACAAACAGAGGACUCAAAAACAGUGCCAUUACCUGAAUCCAAACCGUUUUUCUAUGAAGCACAGAAAGAUCCUGAAUAUGAAAUUGCUGGAAGAUAAGACAUAUAAAUCUGCAUAAACUUCAGUCUGUUGUUUUUUAGUGACUCUUACGUUAACUCAGUGCACAGUUGUUGUGUUUUUAUUAUAAUUAUGAUUAUUUUUUUAAAGCAAAGGAGCUCUGGAGUCUUGUAUGUCAGGCUCAAAAAAUGUCUUCAAUGGCUUGUUGUCGAGAAGUCGAGGUAGUUCGAUUUUAUUGCAAUGAUAGUGAUCUGAAACCGUGGUUGCAUGUCAUGUUUGUUUGUUCUUGUCAUAUUUUUACCUUUACUUGACAGUUGAAAUCAUUUAUUGCACCAUGUAAAAUAGAUGUAGUCUCUGUGAUGUCGCCCAUUGGCCUCUGAUGUGUUGUUGUAAUGCAUGUUGAUGGUGGGCGCCAUAUUGGAAAUGCUAAUUUAGCCUAUUUUUUAGUUGGCCUCGUAAGAGCUAAGGAGAUGGAGCACCUGCCUGUCAGCUAACCAAAAUCAUUGCUUGAAUCAGGCUGCCUUUGUUCUGUUUUUGCUCGACCACAAUAGCUUUUAUGGGGCACUCACACCAAGCGAAUAAAUAGUACCUACUCGCUUCAUUCCCAUGUUUAUAGCCAUAUAUGCUAAUUUCAUGGUAAUCCCUACCAAGUGAUAGACAAAGGUUUUGUACAAUUUACCAGGUAAUCUGACCUCCUCACUCACUUUCCUCCUUUUUAUUCCAGUUUUGGUAAUUGAAAGAAAAGGUAUCAUAGAAUUCGGGGCACCCACACACAGACACGAUCAAUUUGUUCUUCAUUUUAGAUACCAGUGAACAACCGUCCAUUACCUUCAUGCUGAUUGCUUAUCGUAACACGAAUAUUCACUCAUGUUGAGACAUUUUCAGCUCCGGCCCAAUUUGCAUCAUUUGCGCAGCCAGAGUGGUACAACAUCUAAUUGCAUCUUUGCAUUGCCUUAACAUAGAAUUCAUUUGGUUAGGGUUAGGGUAUGUGUGUUUGCUUCAAGAGCUUCUGCAGGCAGCUAAAAGUGGGUACCAGAACUCUUAAGCUAUGGCUUCAUUUCCCAAGUCUACAGGUUGUACCUUGGUAGAAACAGACUUGUGCUUAGACUGUGAGACUAUGAGGACCGUCCGUUACAUAUUCCUAUAUUGUACAGUUUUUUCUGCUGGUGUCUACUGUCACCUUCUUUAUGGAGAAAAAAUCAGCUCUGUGUGUUUGAACAGAUUGUAAUGUGUGUUCUGAAUGCCAGAGCAAGGAAUUAUGUGAAGAAAACCUUCUGCUUAAGCUGGCUGAGCCUCACACUACCUUUAACAUAUGGCAGCAGAUCAGAAAACAACUCAUUUCAGUAAUUUAGAUAGGCUUUGACAAAUGACCUACUUGUUGACGUUGGAUUUGGAUAUAAAUCACAAAAUAGGACCAACUCAUAAGUAUAAAAAAACAUGUUUAAAACUGCACACUGCUGAAGGCUGGAGGGAAGCACACAUGCUCUAUCUGGAAAACAGCUGUGCUGAAUUAUUCUUAGUCUUGUGAGUAAUUAGCUCACUUGGAAAUAUGCUAGAUGCAUACCCGCUCGAGUUAAAGAAAUUGAAUUUCUCAUGUUUAUUUGAUAAAUAAUGCAGACUUGCUAAAUCACUGCAAGAGAAACUCAGCCUUGAACCAUGUUUGAGUAAUAAAGAUUGAGAAAUGGACCCAGAACUGCUCUCAGCACAGCCUGGGAGAGAGGAUGGGCAGAAAUAUCAAAACCCUAUAUUUCAUUUUCUCCAUAUCACAGAAAUUGCUAAACUCAAGGCAAUUGAAAGGGAAAGUGAGAUAGGGAGAGGGAUGAAAGAAAACUAUUAAAUGUCCAAAAUGUAUUACUUCCCCAAAGAAAAUUCACAGACCUCUCCUGAUUGUGUGAAUAGCCAUAACCAGGGAGUUUAUAGACCUUCAUGCCAUCAUAGUUUUUUAUUUUUUUUUACAGUUUCGAAAAUUACUCAGUCCCAGGGUGUAACAUACUGUUUAUUGACGACAGAAGACAAAGUCUACUACAGCCUGUGAAAUAAAACCUCUUUCGUGCAUUAACUUGGUCUGGUCAGUUUCAGGAUGUGGUCUGAGUCUGACGCUCUCACAGCUCGGUAAACCCGGUCUGAUAAGGGUUGGGUGCGGUGGGGGGCACCUGGAUAGAUUUUCGAGGGUGUCUUCUUUAUUUGUGAAUAUUUCAUUUUAAAAACAAUCAGACAUAGUCCCCUCAACACUAUUUCAAGAGCUGGAAAACAAUUAUAUACAUAGAUCCGUGUUUAAUAUAAUAAAAUCACCACCAUGUGAACAAAACCUGUGAUGUAGUUUGAGAAAUCAGUCCAAGUCAGAGCGAAGCUUCUGUGCUUCUUACCUAAUUUGUAUUUUGUAUCUGAGCUUUUCUGGAGGCAAAUGUGAAAGCACCUCUCUCCAUCACUGCAAAAAGGAUGGAGCUGGAUUUGACUUGCAGUUAUAGAGGAUAAGCCUGCAGGCAAGCAGUGAAGCAAAUGUCAAGGCAUUUGCUCGCAAAUCUGUGAAUUUACAAGAUGGGGUGGGAUCCCAAAAAACUGCUGGGUGAAAAUCUGGUGUAAAAGUUUGUCAACAAACAGGAAAAACUACAUCAUAAAAAUGUCCCCAGUAUCUGUUUAAGGAGGAGCAUUUCCACAACUUAUGCCGAGGACAAGGGUGUCCCUUAAGUGAAGAUGGUGAAGUACCUUCAACAGAACCUGUGAUAAAGGGGGGUGUUUUUUUCAACUCAGUGUAACCAAGUGGUUCAUGGCAGGGCUGGUAAUGGUUGUUUACGCUGUUUGCCAUCCGCCAUUAAAGAGAGGGAAAAUAAAGAGGAAGCAGCUGCAGCAGAAGAAGACUCAGAAACCAGUUAGCCUUGAGCACAGUGUGCACUUACUGCUACUGCACCUCACCUGCACCCAAAAACAGUUUCCUUGUCUGUUUGGGAGAUUUGAGGAUUUUGCCAGAGAAGCAGGAUGUUUGUGGACAACAUGUAAUGCAGAAAUUGGUCUCAGUUUGUUUAAUUAGACGUUCUGUCAUAGUGCUGGUGACAUGGAUAAAACACACAAACAUCAUAUUCAUGUUGGUGCAUCCAGAUAACGUUUGAAAGAACAGAUUUUAAAUUCCUUUUUUCUGCUAAAACAGAAAAGGAGGAAAAAGUAUUGCGCCUCAGUUUGCUUAUUUGUUCAAGUCUUUGUUUGUAGACCUCGGGCUUCCUUUGCUCUGUCCUCCGCUCAACUGACAGCUGUUCAGCCCAGCAGGCCCCUGAGGCAGAACACGAGGCUCCAUCUGAUGUCAGUUUGUCUGGUGUCAGCAGGGCAAGGCGCCUUGUUUUUCCAUCAGCAUCUACACCUCUGUGUCCAGAGCAUCUUUUUUUCCCUGUCUUCUUCUUUUUGCGAGUAAAGAACGGGGGGGAUUUCAACAUCGUUAAUGAGACAUGCAGCAUGGAAAGACUCAUGCAUGACAACUUUAACAAGUCUAUAAAGACAGUCACGUAAGUCUUCUCCCUCCCAUGUGGCAGAGAAAAAUCUCUGUAUUUCUGGCACAGAAAAAUUGCCAUGACUGUUAGGAUUAAUGAGUCCCUCCAACAGAGAGUGUAGGUGUACUUGUCGGUGACACUGUCCAGGCAGUAAGUGUUCCUGUCAAGUGGCACACAAUCCUGUCACAUUCCUCAGUCUUUAAUUAUAGUCGAAGCUCUCCUCACUCUCAGAGUUUAUUCGGACUGAAAAGUAAGUCUUUGUGUAAAAAUGAGGUCUGUAAAAAGUGUGACAGUGGAAAGUGAUGGGAAGUGAAUGUAGAUAGUUUUAUCUUAGUCACAAGAGAAUUAACUGGACUUAGUAACCCUCUUGUGAUGUCCUCCUACAAGGCUUGUGGUGAUAGCCAUAUGGCAAGGGCCAGCCCACACUUUCUUGACAAAGUUCCUUCAGUAUUUUAUGGCUGAAGGAGAGCAUGACUCAGUCCUGGCACUCUCUUCCUACUCCCUCCAAACUGACGACUAGUAGGGUCUGUUAGGUGAAAAAUCGUUACACGGUGGAUAAAAGCAUGAAAUUUGGCACAUAUGUCCCUUAGGUCAUCCAAAAACAUCCUAGAAGGGGUGCCCAAAAAAAUGUCAAACAGGAAAUGAGUUAUUGACAAAAUUCAAAAUGGCCGCCUAAACAGGUGUUUAGUUCACUCAAAAAACACCUAAAGAAUGUCCAAAAAUCAUCAAGUUUGGCACACGUGACCCUUGGGUCAUCCUGAGACAUCCUAGAUAUAGUGGCCAAAAACAGGAAGUGGAUUAAUGACGAAAUUCAAAAUGGCCGCCUAAAGUGUUGCCAAUUGAUUCAAAUAGCCUAUUGAAUCUCAGAGAAGCAUACUAUUUGGCACAUAUGUCCCUAGGGUCAUCCUAAUACAUCCUAGAAGGGGGACCCAAAAUAAUCUGAAACAGGAAGUGAGUCAUUGACUAAAUUGAAAAUGGCCUACAGUGUUGUUAAUUGACUCAAAAGUCAUCUAAAGAAUCUCAUAAAACUAUAACGUUUCUCACAUGUGUACCUUGGGUUAUCCUAAACAUCCUAGAAAGGGUGCCCAAAAUAAUCUGAAAGUGAGUUAUUGAUAAAAUUGAUAGAUGAUGCAAAUGAAGGGGCAGAAAGAAAGGGAGAUGACGCUCACGGUGCAGGCAUUAUUUUUCAAAACCCUAUAAAUGCAUACAAAACUAUUCGAAUUACAACCCUCUGCAUUUCCCCGGUCUUGGGACCGGCACAAGUAGAACACUGGCUUGUGUCCCAUUGAGGCUGCAUUCAUUCAUUCAUCCAUCCAUCCAUCCAUCCAUCCAUACAUCCAUCCAUCUACCUACUAAUCUACUGUAUCUAAUCUAUGUAUCUAAUCUACUUCCACUUCACCAUUUCUGUGUGCACCUGGAGCGAGGAGAACAUUAUUUUGAUUAGAAUCCUUCACACAAAUCCUCCGUCCCUUUUUGAAGUCAGAGACCCCCCUCUCAUUUUUCCAGCUUCUCUUCUUUGGUUUGAGGUUUUCGGUCAUGGUACAACCUUGAAAAAAGAGAGAAAACACCUGGUUACACUGAUGCAAUUCAUGAAACUUUAAUCUUUUUUUUUUGUUGGUGAAAUUGUUUGAUUCAAUAAACAUUACAUUCCUUGCUUCACAACACCUUUACUCUUUGUAUUUAAACCUCCCAGGGUUUUCUCAUGUUUGUGGAAAUUGAAUCUCUUUAGCUCCAAGGAUGAGAACAUUCAGUACAACAAAACCCUUAUAAAGUAAGGUUAAUGUAAUUAAAUUCACAUCACCACAAAGAAUUAUUUCGCUUAAACACUUAACAGGAACUGAAAAGAAGGAGGUUAGUAGCAUACAUUUGCUGUGGUGGAUGUUGUUGGAAAACAGCAACAAGGUCAUGAAACACUCUGUCUUAGCACAAGUAAUGAUCCCAGCCACACCCUUACAAAUGAUGCUGACAGUGAAGAGAAAGAUGGUUCAUGAUCACAGAGCUUCUUGUUCAGUCCUCAGAGGUGUGAUGGGUGGUCCUUAUUGAUAAUGCCAACCCCAUUUUUCUUUCUCAAACAUCAUUUUCCCCCGGAACAUUCAAGCUCAAAGCAGCGGAUGUGAAAGCGCGGUAUUAUUCUGUGUGCUUUGGCCAUUCACUUUUCUUUGUAAUGUAUAAAAAUGCACCGUUGUGUUGGGAUGAAUGGGAGCCAUUACCAAGAGGAUCAGAGAAUGUGGCCGCCGCUGUAAGGAUGUUUUCUCCUUUAUGUCUCCAGCUCAGCCAUUAAAGUUCACACAACUCAGCCCAGCCUGUGUCUCCCAGGUCUGAUGGCUCCUCCGGGGUCAUUUAUCAGUCAGCAAAUGUUAGAGCCAGGAAACACAAGGGCAACUCGGGUACGGGACAACACUGUGGUGAAAUAAUUUGUUCCUCUCUGCCAAACUCCAAGCACAAAAAACUUGGACAGGAAUGAAUCGCCGAGGCCAGUUUAUAUCUGAAGCGUACUUUAUCAUUACAGUGAUAAAACCACAAGAGUAAAUAGAACCGGGUUAGCAGGAUGUGCAAAUUCAAAUAAGAUUUCAUUAUUCUUACACUGACUUUGCAAAAUCGGGGCCAAAAGUCGGGACGAGGUGGAUACCUGCGCCCAUCCUCUAGUGCCUCUGAACAGACACUUCAAAUGGGUUGGGACAGGAAUACAUCAGUAACAAGCUGAAGAAGGAGCGCUUCUUUGAAACGAUCUGCCAACCUUCCAGCAUGAAAUGGUACAAAGCUAUCUCAGUGCUGCAGCAGCACAUCACAAAUCCUUUACAGUGAAUUUUUCUGUCAUUUGACUUUUUGAUUCGUGAAUUAAUCGUCAUGAUAGUAAAAGCAGCUGUUGAUCUUAGUCAGUAUCAUUCAUACUACCUCUGAUAAUUUUCUUAAACGGCUCAUUACUCUUUGGUGUAAGAGUGUGAGAUGAUUUUAGGGUUGAUCUUUAUUAACAGAGCAAGAAAUGUUGUUGCAAAUCUGCACAGCAGUUCCUGACCUCAACAUGAACCUGUGGGAGUGUGCUUUCCCUGAAACUUACAUGCAUAUUUAAAAAGUGGAACAGUGUGCUCUGUAAUUGUAAAACCUAGAAUCCUAUUUACUCCCAAAUAAGAUCUGCUGGAGUGUGCAUGAUAAGUCUCUUUAACAUCUGAAAAAUGUCUGACUUUAUUCAGGGGGUUGCAUCAAAAAAAAAAUGGCAUUUUUUUCCCCGAGACAUUUUCCUGCAAACCCCAGAGUAAAAAAGUUCUGCAAGGAGCCGAGGUGAGCUGAUGUGCAAAUUUAGCCGGGAUAAGCCUGAAAAAUGUCCCCGGAGCGUGUGGACGGCAGAGCCUCUCUGCUUUGUACUAUUUCCUGCUCACCUCAUUUGUCUGUAUCAUGUUUUCUAAUGUCAUGUUUGUACUGCGGGAACACGGUUACGCAUGAUGAGGUGAAGUAAACACAGACACAGUCACCAUUAUAGAUGAAGACUACUCCUCCUCCUCCCCUUCAAACUAACUAUAGUAUGGAGUUGUAAGAAAAUACUACGCAUGGUGAAAAUAAUGUUCAAAUGGUGAUAAAUUUAUUGGAAAAUAAAGAUUUGAUAAAAUCUUUGAAAUUUAAGCUUAAAAACAACAAAAUUAACCAUCUGUAAAAGUACUUUUUAAUGCAUGCUUUUUAAUCUGUUUACUAUUGCUGACUUUAGGAUAUGGUGAUAAUAAUCUGUAAUCUACUGAGCAGUCCAAGUCAAAUAUAUAUGCUCUUGUCAGAAAACAGGAUAAAACAGCAACUUCUUGAAUGAGAAGUCAAACUGAAGGAAGGAACCCUGAAGGAGUAGAAACUGCAGUUUCUUGGAUGUCCUCUUGAAGUCAGCUAUAAAGGCCUGAAAACCACACACACAUAUUUUAAAAGGCCUGUCCUAAGGACAAAAACAACUGUGUUUAAAGCCUGGUCCAAAAACAUGUUUGUCUCAUUAGUUUAUGUCUCUGUCUACACACCACAUAUACGGGGGUGGGAGCGGGGUGGUUUUUACAUUCAUAACUCUUUGUACAGUAAAGCUGGAGAUUUAGUUACUUUCUUCAAAAUGAAAAACAGUCAGAGAUGUAGAUAUUUUUUAAAACUUUUGAGCUCUUCACAUGUUCGAACAUCUGAUCACCAAAGUUUUUCUUUAUGCAGCUUGAAACAUCUUAACUGGGCGUUCAAUAUUUUCAUAAACUCGUGAUAUGACUUAAUUCCUCACCCCUACACUGGUGUUACCUAUUGUCACUGCUCUACAUCUGGGACAGUGAACUGAGUAAAGAAAAAGUGAUCAGCAUGGACGACAUCCUUGUCUUUCAUUUCAGCUGUCUUUGCUUUUUAGUUGUAAUGUUGUUUUGGGCGUGUAAGAUCUUAUUCUCAAAAGUCUACCUCUUUUGUAAGAUGUAAAUAUCAUUUUCUUCUGUUUACAAAGCAAACAAUCAAAAUCAUCUUAGCUGUGUGUUUUGUACUCUCAGAAUCUCAGACACCAAUCAGACUAACAUAGAUUUGAUUCGCUCCCAAGGCAAAACAACCUCAUUGUUUGAGGCUGGCUGCUGCCAAGCAAGCCUGAUGUUGUGAAAUGGAUACACCUGUGAACCACCUGCAUCAAAUCAAGGUUGUUCUUCUGUGAUGUCAGGUGGAGAAUAUCUCUUUGUGGCAGCCAUGUCACUGGAACGUCUGUCUCUUUAAUGUAUAUUGUAUACACAAAGACCAAGUGUGCAUAAAUUACUGUGUUGGCUCCCAGAAAGGUUAGCGUGGUUGUUAGCCAUUGUUCCAACAAGGUAAGAGUGGUGUAGGUGGCAGGAGUUGUAUUUGGUGUUGUGUGGGAGUGAAGGAGGUUGCUAGGUGUCAGAAUUCACAUAUCUGUUAGCGUAGCCUGUUACCUGUGUGCCUGAUGACUGGUGAAUAAUGCUGCCUCUGUGAUUGCCCUGCAGGUGUUAUGAUGGGGCCGUCUAUUAAAAACAGUUUGAAUUCUUCAGAGAUCCACAUGUAGCCUUUGUGUUGCUGCUCGGCGAGUGAUUAGGAAAUGUUUCAUCACACUGGGUGUGUAAUUCAAGUCUUUUGAAUGGUCCUAUUCUGCACCAGUGCCUUUUCAUUUGGUGGACACAUACUAAGUGUCCAUGCACUGAGCUAACAGAGUGUUAUAAUAAUUCAUCAAUCUCCAGCUGCAUAUUGAUCUGGCUGUAUUGAUUUCAUUAUUUCUUAUUAGCUCGCCUUGAACGACUGACUGAUGCAGAGCAAACAAACUUAGAAAAUAAGACGGCCAAUGUCCUGGUGUGCAAAUGCUCCUAUUUCACAGAGGAUUAACCCUUAAGUUGGAGACACACCACUUGCUAUUCAACCUUCCAUUCACACUGGCUGCACCAUAAACACAAUAGGACACACAGAUGAGGAUGCACAACCUGCCUCCAGAGUGCAUCUGCAAACUGCAUCCUACAUCCGUGUGGUAUUUAUCUAAAAACAUGUACAGCCAAGGCACCAAUCAGAGGCUGCAAACAUGGCUGAAGAACGUCGAAGGGUAUCUCAAGCCUCAUUCUUAAAACAUGAACUGAAUAUGAACUUUCGGUAACCCUUUCUUUUACGAUACACUUAUAACCAGGUAAUUAACAGGUAAUUACCUAGUAACAACAUGAAAUUACCUGAUAAUUACAUAACAACUACUGAGUCAAUACUGUCUAGCUACCAGGUAGGUAACCUUCCAUCAUCGUACAAAUCUGAAGCUGAAUUGCUCUGAUAUUUCCAGGAUUUUCUCUGCUUCCUGGAACCACCACUUGCGCAGUAGCAUUGUACGCAUUCGGCGGCUGAGUCGCUGUGAUAAUCCUCGGCUCAAACAGUGAAUCCUCGUACGCCCAUAGGCUGUAUCAAGUGUCAAUCAUAGAAAAUAAGAACCCCAAAUAGCUUUUGAAAAUGGAGCUGCACAGAAAAAAGGAAAAAAGAAAAACUAGACAGUAUUGACUUAGUAGUUAUCAUAUAAUUACCAGAUAAUUUCAUGUUGUUACUAGGUAAUUACCUGAUAAUUACCUGGUAAUAAGUGUACCGUAAAAGAAAGCGUUACCGACCUUUCUAUUCAAACUCCUCUUAGACUAUAUAAACCUUUGAACUCUACAUAUCACAUCUCCACAGUUUCAAUGAACACAUAAUCAAGACAUAUAAUGAACUCAGAUUUCAUAAAGUCUGUUUUGGCUUGAAAAUGAUCCUGAUGUGUGUUUUUGUAACUUCAAUUUCACAACUAUUUCUAAAAGUGUGUUUUUAACAUUCUCUGUCUUUAAAUGUUGUCUCUUCAAAUUCAAAACAAAAAUAUCUUUUUUUUUUUGCAAUAAAAAGCAUCAAAUUUCUAAGCAGUUAAACCAAAGAGGUUUUAUUCUCUUAAGGACUAAAAAAGAUGAAUCAUAUUUUGCUUGACGAAGUCAAAAUGAUUUUGGAAGGGUAGCCGUAUCACUGCUAUUAUUUGUAAAAAAAAAAAUUUAAAAAAAUAAAAUAAUAAUAAUAAUAAUAAUAAAAAACUUGAAUUGUAUCAUAAUGUGUCAAAGUAAUAUAACUUAAAAUUGCCCAAAACUAAAAAAAAAAAAAAAAUAUUAUGUUUAAAACAGAAGAACCUUGUUUUCUCAUUAUUGUAUUUAUUAACCUUUUGAAAAACGUUAAUGUGAUUAUGUACCUUUACUGUAGAUAAUAAAUUCCCAUUACAUGUUUAUACAGAGGAGUAUAAUUCUGCAGUAGCUGAAAAAUUAACCAUGCAGCCUCUCACAGAGUGGUGAAACAUGUUGAAAGCAUCGCAUACAAAAAUCAGUGUCAAAAACAUUAUGUCAAAACUCAAUAUGUUGUCCAUGCACAAUUGCAAACUAAGUAUGAGGUUUGAGUUAUUGGCAAACCACAAAUAUCAGAUUUUAUUGACAUUUAUACCAACAUUUUUGGAACUUGGGUUUCAUAUGUUUUCAGUAAUUCAAGACGUGUUUUCGAUACUCAAAGUGAAAUUGGACCAGGGCAGACUGAGUUUGGAUGAGAUAUGUUAAAACUGCCCUUUAAAGAGGUUGUCUGAGGUUUCCAUUUAGUGUUGUGAGUGAUUACCUCAGUUAGACUCUUCACAUAAAACAAACCGUCACCAAGGGCGGUGCGCACACACACAAAGGAAGAAGAGGCGCACGUGAAAGCAGCAGAAAAAGCCCUUAACAUCCUACUUGCUGUGCACAAGGCUCUGUUUUGUUUUCAGCAAAUGGCUCAAUGGUUCGGAGCGUCAUCAAUUUCAAUCCGUCUCUUUUCAGCUCAGGUGGUCUGCAGCGCCUCUAUCACUCCGUCGGUAAACAUCCCGACAAAUAUGGAAAGAUCAAGUGAGGUUUUAUCAUUAUCAUCUCUGCCAAUGUCAUACAGGUAUGUGCUUUCUUCUGCUGGACCAUUAGCGGUAAAUCAAAUGGAACAUAAGCACACUAAUGAAUGGAGCUGGGAACACUUUUUAUACAGCCUAUCUGCUGUGACAUGCUGACUGAGGGCUCCCUGUAUCUUUCCUGAAGGCUAUUUAUCUCAUUUCAGUUUAUUUUCAGAUUAGUUUUAAACAUAUGCAGCGUUGCCUCUCAUCAAACAAUGUCCCAGUUUUUACACCCGCUGUGUGGAUGUUAUGGUGUUUCUCCAUCCUUGCAAAUUAGAAGUGAAAAAAGGCCCUUUAGAGUGAAAGAAAACAGCCAAAGAGUUCAAAUACAUUAAAUUUUCAGCAAAGACAGACCACCCUUGCCCUGCCCGCAUCGCUGCUGGAGCCUCAGCUCUCCCGUUAAUCUGACAAAAAGAUCCCAGCCAAGCACUUUUCCUGAGGGUUAAUUGUACGUGACAUCCAUAAUACAGCUCUGGUCAAUGGUUAUCUUCACUUGGAUGAGGAGCAAGUUGUUUCAGUCCUGUUAGAAAUUCUUGGGUGCUCUAUUUCUUGCCUUAAAAAAGUGUCCUCAUUAAUGCAAUUGUUCUGUGAAAAGUUCAAAUGCGUAAUUCACUUAACAGUGGGGGGAAUUGAUUAAUUUGACCUUUACUGUGUGGUUACAAUCCCAGAGAUGAUAAGAGGCUAUGAAUGGAUCGUGAUUAAUGCUGAUUACAAAUAUUUAGCAAAAGGGAAGCGAAUGUGUCUUGACAUUUGUGAAAAAUGUUUAAAAAGCCAAACAGAGACGUUAAUGGUUCUUGUGAGAAGUUCAAAGAAAGUUCUGCUUCUCAAAUGGUAUGAUCCAUUCAAUUAAAAUAAGAAGGUAAUGCUGCAUUGGUCUCCAUACUGUGCUGCUCGACUGAACUGCAGCACUAAUGAUGAGGCUCGGGGAAGCCGAACUCCCUCAGCUAUCUGUGUCCCUUUUAUUAAGAUGGAGGGGGGUGGACGACUGCGUUGGGGAGAGGAACUGAUGGGUUAAGCAUCUUCCUCCAGAGGAACUUUAUCUGCAGCUGAGGCCUCGGUAGUAAAUUUUAAUUACUCUGACUCACACACAUGCAUGCACACACACACACGAAGGCACACAGUUGGUACACACCUGUUUUCCUCUUUUCUGACUGUUUUCUCUUUUUUGGUGUAUUUCCAAGAGGAUCACAGAGUGCUGCAUUUUUAGGUAGAAGAUUUCUCUUCACCAAGUGCGAACAUAAUUGGGUCAGUCUUGUACUCUUGGUCACUGUGGCUGCUCUCUAAACCUGAAGUAUUACUCCCAUUAGCUGCAGUUCUGUUCCCCUGGGCCAUGGGGGACACAUAGAAGGUAAUUACAGAACAUAAUGUUAUUAAUUACUCUGAGCACUCAUGCUACCGUUGGAGCUGAACUCUGCAGAUGAGCUUUUCAAAGCCAGGCGAGUUUGCAGCACAAUGCCUAAGGUUAAGUGACCCACUCAUCUUUGUCACUGCAUGCAGGGAAAUGUCUCAACUCCUCUGUUCUUGUGAGAUUCUGGGUACACUGACUGUUUUCCUGCUGCUGUUGCUGCCAAGCUAAAAAAAGAAACAAGAAAGAUUUAUCCACAGCGGUCCCCUGCAGUCAUCAGUGUCCUUAUAAGGCAAGCAGAGGGGGGAAAAAACAACAGGAGCAGAUGCCACUGUGAGGUUCUGAAAACAAAUCCAAACCAGUUAAACCAAGCGAUCGGUGAAAAUUAUUAUUUUUAUUAUUAUGAUUAUUAUUACAGACUGAUUUGUCGUGGCGGGUAAUGAGACCCCCUUGCAUGUCAGCAUUGUCAUUAAGCAAAAUGCCUCCCGAUUAUGGGUGUGAAAUUUCCCACCUUCAGCAUGAGCUCCCCGUGAUCUCCUCCUACAUGUGGAGUUAUAUAUAGCGUAAUUUAAUCUCAUUAGCUCAGUGAAGCAUAUGCUUCUGUGUUAUGAUGAAAACACAAAAGUAGGUGUUGUUUCGCAGGACUGGGGAGCUCAAAUGAAUGUGGGAAUGCUUCAAGCUUGUUUGUCAGUUAUUCACACAUUGUUUAAAUUGGUAACAUAUCUAAAAAGGAAAAUGCCCAAUGUGGUGUUUGUGAUUAUGUGGGGAAAAAAAGCCAGAAUCAUCAGAUAUUCAGUGCAUGAGUCACUGUUUGUGGGCACCUUAAGGAGGACAUAAGCUUGUUUAGAUCAUGGUUACUUACUAAUAUCAGUAAAUUAUGACUUUUAAAUGAUCUUUUAUACAUUUUAAAGCCAAACCUAAAUAUUUGUCAAAGUCAUUUCCCUGGUAGUAACCUUUCACUAGGGUUUCAAUUCACUGGAGCUGUUGCUAUUGUACUGAAUAGAACCAUUAGAAAUGACUUGGCAUUGGGCUGAAUUGGGGUCCUUGGUUUAACUGUGGGGAGUAUGGCUAACGUUGGUGGGAAUCAAAUGCUCAAAUGUUCCACCUCAGGAUUAGUUCAUCUGGAUUUAUCUCCUUCCACCAUGUUUCUCGUCAUGUGUUUCUCGUCUUAUUUUGAUACUCACUCUUGUUGUCUAGUUCAGGUAAUUGACUUCCUGCCCGCUGUGUUUCUCUGAUUGUGCUCGUGUUCUUCUCCUGUGUCUUGUUAUUCCCACUCCCUGUGUGUAUUUAAGCUCACCCUCCUCUCAUUUCUGCGCCAGUUUGUUUUGUUCCUUUGUUUCAAACAGUUCAGCCUUUUUUCCACAUGUUGCCCUUCAGGAUUUUUCGACCAGUACCGAUGUCCUUUACCUCACCUUUUGGAAACCUCUGCCUGUCAAGUGGGUGAGCCUGGGCCCACCUACAGAGAUGCUCCAGCUCUUAAGCGAGAUUUGAGUUCCAGUUUUGAGAGAAGUGAUUACAUCUGUUCAGACGCAGAUUAACCCUCUGGUUCAUAGUGGUCACUACAGUGGACAGCUACCAAAAACUCUUUUUCUCUUAAAUGCAAUGGUUUUUAUGGUUGAAGUGUAUAUCAGCCUCUAGGGUGCUCUCUACUGCCCUACUCUAUUGAGUUACAUUUAGUGAGCAAUCAGUGUAACUGCAAGUAAAUUUCCUACGAAUCCAAGAUGGCCGAGAAACAGCCACCCCUGCUGACUACAGCUGGCAUGUCCUGUCAAUACUUCUAUAGUAGAAGAACCCCAGCUGUAAAAAAAAUAUGAUGAUAUCCUGUAACAUCUAAGGAAGGAUAUUAUCCAUUUGGAAUUGAAAAUUUCAUGUCCAAUAUGUAGAAAAUUACAAUUAACCAUGUGUCCAACUGAGUGGACAUCAUGCAUCACCCAGUAUUUUUUUUAACAGGAGUCAUGUAAUUGCUCCACUGUUACUUGUGGCUGUUUUGGUUAUAAAUCAGUGUAUACAGUGUAAUCAGUGUGUAACAGUGACCAGUAGUGGCUGUCAGAGAAGAAUAGACAUGUAGGAGCUGAGGAUGAUGGAGAUACAGACAGUCAGGGUGCAGAAAGGGUAGAUGCCUAUAGUCAAGUGGAUGAGGACCAGGAUGAUGAGAGGCAGGAUGCAGGGGAAGGUCAGCAUGAUCAGGGAGCUGUGGAAAAUAGGCACAUGACACCUGACCAUUCUCAAGCUCGCAAAAAUAUCUGGAAAGUCCAAGACAAUCUCUUUGAUAGAGAUUUGCCUACUUUUCUAGGCGAGUGGAAAUUCAAUGUGGAGGGAAGAGAGCCUAUAGACUUCUCCAGACAUCUGUUUCCAGCAGAUCUCAUUGAUGAUAUAGUGAAAAACACCAACUUGUAUGCUCCCCAGAAAGGGAAAGAAAAUGUGGCAGUGACAGGAGAAGAAAUGCAGACUUUUUUAGGGAUCAACAUGAUCAUGGGCUACAUUCGUUAUCCCGGGGCAGAAAUGUACUGGUCUAGUGAGGAUGGCCUUCGUCUAGGGAUGAUUGCAAAUGCCAUGUCUGUAAACAGAUAUGAGCAAAUCCUGUGCUCAUAUUAAGCCUGUGUGCCACUGUGCCCUGGAUGCUUUGCCAACUUUCAUACAUCCUAGGUGUGAUGAGCAGAGACAUGUUUGGAGAUGCAGGGACUAAAAUGUCAGUUUUUGUUGUUGAAAACAACAUGCUCGUAUAAGGGCAUGGUAAAAUCAGUCCUGAAUCUUUAUAGUACUGUGGGGACUUACAGUUUUGUUUCCAAUGUUGGAGAUAGUUUGGCAUAUUUAGGUGUACUGUACUUUUUACUGUAAGUUCAUAAUGUUUUGUGUUGAGUGCUCAGGCGCAUGUAGUCCACUUGAAUGGACACUUCUGUAGUUUUGUGAAAAAAUAACAUUUUUGGAAAAAAACAGUUUAACAUGUUCUUUUAUGUCCUUAGAAUAAUAAAAACACUUGUGAAAAAAAUCUUAAUCAGGGCUUUCAUAAUUCAUGCAUCAGAGGGUUAAUACGAAAGCUGCCGAUGAUUUUUUAACCGAGGUAUCCAUUGUCAGGAGUUGACUGGCAUCCUUGGAAAACUGAUAUGAAGCCUUAACUCAAACCAUGGUGAAGGAAAAGAUAGUUUCUCUGACAUCGAGCAAAAAGUUUUUUCUCUUUAAACCCUGGGUUCUUCUAUUUCAGGACUUCAGCUAUAAUGCAGCUCAUAAUGAAAUUCCCUAUAAUAUAUGUGGCCACCAAUCCCAGAGGGUAAUAUUCUUCCAGUUAUGUUAACAGUUCUGUUUGAGUAAGCCAUGGCAUACUGAUCCUCCAAAACAAACAAUGGUAUUGAACCAGAAUUAGCUUUAAUACCUCUGUAAAUGUCACCGCUCGAUUCGUGGUUCGUGCUACAUCCAACUCCAUGGUGUAUAGGCUUUAUAGGGAAAGCUUAUUUAAUUCUACUAAUUAAUCAAUAACUGUAUAGAUAUGAUCACAUUACACACAUGUGCCUGUGUCCCUUAAUUAAUAGCUGCACUGAGAAUACAGAACAGCGUUGAGGUUCCUGAAUGCCAGUACUUGUACCUGGAUCCUGCAGCACGCUGGUGUCAUAAAACCAACGCCACACAUAUUCAACAGUUUGUCUUUGCAGUUGUUUAUGGGUGAAGAAGAAGAAAAAAAGAAGGCAGCAUCCAAACAGACGCUGUGACGGUCCUCCAGAAGGGAGCGAUGCCUCCCUUUAUUCCCACGGGACUCUUUGGCAGUUAUGAUGCAUUUACUUACCCACCUGAACACAAAUCAUUUUCUUUCAUCUGUUCAUGCUUUACAGGAGAUCAGUGAGAUACAUCUCCACCCGUUUGAAGUACUGUUACCUGGAGACACGCUGCUGGGCUGCCGCACUGAGCUUAUUUGAUAUACUGAAUUUUAUGUCAACUGUGGCAAUCCACUCUAUGCAUCAUGUCUAGUUUCAAGCAUUGGGGGAGGAUAUAAGACAUGAUAUUGCUGUUUCUUAAAGCCGCAGAUGCUGCUGGACUGCCCGUUGUUGUGAUGUUCUGUAACACAGAUCGUUCGCCGUAUGAAGAGGAGGUCAGGGAAGUGCAGGAGACAUCAGAUAAUGAUCGCUCAAAUCAAUGAAAGUAAAGAGCUUAUCAGAAAUACAGUAUGCAAAAUGAGCGGAUGCAUGUUUAUCCCCUGAUAUGUAGUCUGCAGGUGUGUCAUGUCAUGUAGGGACAAACAAAGAAAAAGACCCAAAUGCAGAACAAGAAAAUGAUUGAAUUAAAAGAACCAAUUGGAAAAUGCGGGCGGCACAGUGGUGUAGUGGUUGGCACUGUCGCCUCACAGCAAGAAGGUCCUGGGUUUGAAUCCGACUCAGGGUAUUUCUGUGUGGAGUUUGCAUGUUCUCCCUGUGUCUGCGUGGGUUUACUCCAGGUUCUCUGGUUUACUUCCACAUCCCAAAAACAUGUCUAGGUGGGGUUAGGUUAAUUGGCCACUUCCAAAUUGCCCAUAGGUGUGAAUGUGAGCGUGGAUGGUUGUUCAUCUCUAUAUGUCAACCCUGCAAUGAACUGGCGACUUGUCCAGGGCGUCCCCUGCCUUCGCCCAAAGAUGCUGGGAUAGGCUCCAGCCCCCCUGCAACUUCAGCAACGGGAAUAAGCGGUAGAAAAUGGAUGGAUGGAAUUUUAAAAAAGCAACAAAAGAGAAAAAUCCCAAAGACAAAAUCCACAAAAAUUACUGGGUCAAAAUCACAGGGAGCAACAGGGAACACAAGCAUAGGCAUCAACAUACAUACAAUGAACCAACAAGGACAGAGGGUAAAACAGGGACUAUAUACACACUGGGAAACAAGCAACAGGUGAGGCAAACGAGACACAGGUGGAACUCAUGAGUGAUUAACGAAGGAGGGAAAACUAAGGAAGUAACAACAGACUAGAAACACAAGAAAUCAACUACUACAAAAUAAAACAGGAAACACUGAAAACUGAUCUAAAGAAUAAAACACAGAGAACAGGAGGGAAACAGGGUCAAACACAAACUGAAAACUCACAAGAAAAGAACACUAGGGAACAGAAACACUUGGGAAAAAUCACAGAGAGACUCCACUCAACUUAACCAGGGAAAAACUGAAAUCAACAGAACAUAUCCUGACAGAGUAUUGCAUUAUUGAGUUAGAAUAACAUCAUACUUUCAAGCUAUUGUAAACCUAUGUACAAACUGUGUCUGCUCAGUUUUAUGAGCUCACAGAUUCGCUUCAGUCCGACACAUCUGUUGUGCAAUAAUACACAUCGCCCCAAACAUUUUAUUUAUCGGGGUUUGAUGGGACUGUUGUGAACUCCACAAUGCUACAGGAAAGAAAAGUUAGUGAGUGAGAUUUUACAGCCAAAUAAAAUUUUAGUGGUUGAGUAAGACUCGUCUCACCCUGGAGGAGUCCCUCUAUUAUAACAACUUUAUAUUAUCCCACUUGUUACACAGCCAUUGACUUUGCUCAUAGGGUGGAUGUUGGUUAUUUUACACUGAAUUCUUGAUUCACAAAUGUGUUAAUUGAAUUAAAAACGGCUUUUAAAGAUAGGGUAAUGUGUCUCCAGCUGAGGUCUUUUUUUGUUGAAGCAGCCAGAGAAACAGAAAGAAAACUGCUGCAGACAGGGACAACUGCACCAUGUAAUUUGGCUAAAUUUAACAAACACGAACCAAAGCACUAUUCUCAGUGUAAGGGAACCGUCUAUUUGGGGUAUUUUCCUUGUUUUACUGUGUUAAGGUUAUUAUUAUGCAUACAGCACACUGGUUUUGUUCUCCAGCUAGUUUUCCAGCUAAAGGGCCGAGCUAGUCAGCAUCACUCAGCACAGCUAAGGUAUGUUCACAGAUCACUGAGGAGAUUAAACAGGACUACAGCACAAGAAUCAAAUUGUUGACAGAAACAUUUCUACAACAGCUACAGUAGGGGGCGAAAUGCCAUUUACAACUGAUCAGAUGACUUACUACAUCCUACACCCAACAAUCGACAAGUACAUUUUCAAGUGGUGAAAGAUAAAAACAUGGUCACUUUUUAAACGUACAACGAGAACCGACUUCCUAGCAACAAAUUUACCAAGUCCACUUCCAGGCCAAAGAGAGUGUGAAUUCUGGAGCACAAGCAGAACACUUAGACCAGUUUCAGUCCAACUGAAUCAUCUAAAUCGAGAAGAAAAUUGAGCUCCAACGACAUUAUCCAGGUUUGUUAGUCCAGCUAUGAGAAGUUUGUGUGAUUUCAGCCGGACUAAAGUGAAAACGUAUUUCAGAAAGUAUCUAUUUGAAUUGUACAGUUGGAUCUGUGUUAACAGUAACAGCUAAAACUGACGGCUUCUUAAACGGAGUUAUCUUUGCUUUAGCCGAACGUUUCUACUCAUGACUGUGAAAGUAUGAUCAGGAAUGUCGUCAUUGAAAGUUAAUUUCUGUCUUGUGACAUCCUAUACCAUCUAUAUAAUAUUCACUUUAUCAUCUGUUUUCAGGUGAGACUCGAACCCCCGACCGCUGCGGGGACCGUUAACCCACUCGGCCAUCUGCGUACCGCACAUUUUAAUGUGUUUAUUAGCUUUUAACUCCUUCCCUUCAUCUACUAUCAUCUCCUUCCCUUCAGUACACAACCUGACAUGAAAUAGACAUGAAUUCUUCCUGCACCACGACCUGUCACUGCCUCUGUGAGUACAGUCCCAAAUUGAUGAGGGACUUUUACUUUUUUUGGAGGCAACAGCAACUCAAUCUUAGGGAACUCACUUUAGGAAACACUGGCUGAAAUAAGAUAAAAAAACACAGAUUUUAAAUCUUAAACUUGCAUUAAAGACCCAUUCUGAUAAAAUCACAUUUUCCUUGUUGUCUACAUGUUCAUAUGGUUCUAACCUGCUGUGGAGGCCUCACUCAGAGGAGAAAUACAGAGGGGGGUCGCGGAACAAGCGUGUACAAUAGUGGUUUGCAUUGUUCGUAAGAAAGUUAAUUAUGAAGAAAAGCUCUUCAAAAUAACAGGUAAUGUGAUUUUGGCUAAAAACUUAAUACUCACAAUUUGAAGACCACUGAGAACACUUUAAGAAGUAGAAAAAAUAAAAGAUCAGAGUGGGACUUUAAAUGUACUGAAGUUCAUUCCCAUAAAUGUCCGUGUCGACCUAACCAGGCCUCUAUUAGCUGACAGUUAGGCGAGGGAAUAGAGACAAGCUGAGAACACAGUGUACAGUGAGCAGGUGAUUAUGUAGAUUAUAAUCCCAAGAGGCCCUGUCCCACUCCAUCAGGACUCUAAUCAACAUAUUUACCUGCUCUCUGUACAUGAGCUUGUUAUCACAUGGUUACCAACCACAGCUGUAGACAUGGAGUCCGUACUUAAGGGGUUUUAAGGAAGGUGAACAGGUGAUUUCUCUCUUUCUAAGGGCUUGUUAUUCGUCCUAGCCUGUACACAAUGAUUUAGCUGGAACAUGCUAAACUUUAGAGAGGAAGUUCUAGAUUAAAAACAGUGUUCGAAAAUUUGCAUUUCAGUCGACAUUUGCUCACAAACUUAAAAGAAUAAAUCAUAGCUUGUAUUAUUUCUGACUCUUACUGGAUUCUAGUGUUUCUAGGAUAUUUUCUUUUGAAUAACUGUAUUUAAAAUAUUUAUAGAAAGCAUCCCCCUUUUCUCAGUUGUAUAACAAACCACUUACUUUAUCUCCCUCCUCCUGAACCCAAAACUACCUACGCUCGUGGGUAAAAAUCGGGACUUAGCCUAAAUCCCAUGCGAUUAGCUUCUGAACGUGAGUUAUUUCUCUUUCACGACCAUGAAUUUUCCCUGUGAAUGAGAUGUUAAUCCCCCCGGAGAAAGCGUUUACUAGAUAGUAAUCCAACGUUUGUUCUCUUCAGUGUUGGACCAUCUGAGCUGCUAACAGGUGAGAGCAGGUUUAAUGUGUCAUAGUAGCACUUCAUUCCUGCGCAAUCAAAGUGUCACACAUUAUUGUCUGCUGUGUCUGGCUGUUUGCAAACACUGCGCUAAUACUAUAAUACCUGGUAGUGCGGUAUUGUUCCCUGAGGGCUUGUUGUGUACCACCUCUUCACAGGCAUUAUUUUCUUUUCUAACAAAGGUGGGUGUUUAAUAGUGUGAAAAAAAAGGAUGAAAGACAACUGUGAAGAUGAUUGUAACACACUCCUGAACACAGGCUCCUUAAAUUGGAUUCUUAAGAGGGUUCUCUAUCAGUAAAUGAUGUUUUACACACUCACCCGACGACAGCUCCGGAAGAAUAAUGGUGUCAGAAAUCUUAUUUUGUAAUACAAGGCUACAUGCUGCAAGGUCAGGCAAUUAGGGAAAGCUGUUAAGGUGCGCCAUCUCAUUUUCAUUUGUUACACAAGCUGGCCCAUUUCACACCCGUCAUGGAUCCUAGAAGUCAAUAUUGUCUGCAUAUUCGUAAAUAAAAGCCUGACUCUCCACUCCCCCAAGGCAUUAUUGGCGUUGCAAGUCCACUUGAAAGAAGCAGUGAGUCUCCAAAGGUCAUUCUGCUUUUGAGCUUUGUACCUCACUGCCUGGCAGGUUUAUUCUCCGACAAAGGGCCAAGGGGGGAGUAGAGCGCUCUCGGUGCGAGCCAAUUAGGCCUUGUUUAUUUUCCUCUGCUGUCUAAUAAACGUCACUUUCUCGUUUUAAUGGCUUGAAGGGGAGAGUGUGAUUAAAAUUUAGGCCCCUGGUGUGACCGAACGUGAAACAGAGUCACGUCCUCUGCACAGGUUCCUCCAUCACAUAAAAUGGCUCUUGACACAGUAUUGUUAUUGAAGGUUAUGAUAAUAGAAAUAUUUAUUAGACCCAUCUGACCUCUAUGUGCAAGAAUAACGACCAAUGUGAGGCCAACAUGAGUAAAUAACAGCACAGACAACAACUGCGUUCAGUUUACCGUUUUUCAAAGAACCUCAAAUUCCAAAAAUAAUAAGAAAUAAACCCAAAAUUUUUUAAUUUUUGAAAGUAAUGACUCGCAGAUCAUAAAAUGCACUCCCUUUUUUUUUCCUAUUUAAAACAACAACAAAAGAAAAACAAAAACGGUUUCUUUCACCACAGCUACAAUGUUGCACACUGCCAGGGGCAUGGCCAAAGGGUAACCAGGGACGACACAGGUCCCUUUUGAAUCGGAUUGGCUACCUUGGGUGCCUCCUAAAAAUACCUCCUAAAAGGUGGAAAUAAAUGUUGAAAUCAAUCAUUCGGACCUAUUUUGUUGGUACUUAAAAUUGUUGGUAAUACUUAACAGAUUUAUUUCUUACAAGUUCAUGAGAAGAAGAAAUCCUUCACCCCCCUGAGCAAAUUCAAUCAAAAAAUGUCACUAAUAUCAUCAGACCCUUUAUGCAGUCAUUUUAGCAUUUAGUCAUUUUGUACUUUUCUUAACUGGCACAUGGUUGAAAAAUGCUCCAACUAACUGCUCUUUAGACUAUUCGUUUUGUGCCAUUAUUACAGGGCCCAAAACGCAUUAAAAACAGCUUCAUCCAACUAAUGUACACAAGUUUUGAAAGUACUAAGAGCUUUAAAACACCUUUACAAUAUGAUAUAGACGACUUCAAACACACAAGUUAAUCAGUAUUUAAUAUUUAUGACAUGACUCUCUCCUCUCCGUUUUUUUCUCACGUCGCUCCUGCUUGAAGCGCUGCGUUUCAGUCUCAUUAUAAUCGUGAUGUUGUUUUUCAUCCGUGACAUUUAAAAAUGUCAAUAGAAUGCAGAGCACCUAAAACAUAUGAUAAUUUAGCAGAUGCUUGGCGCACACUUGUGGGGAAUUCUCAAUACCUCAGCAGUUCACUUUAUCAUGUUUUGUUUGACUAAGUCACAAACUUGUAAAAACUGGUUUCUAAGAAUAGCAGAGGAGGCUUUUUUCCCCUCUUUCCCUUUACGAGCUUGAGCAUUAUGACAACAACAAAAAAGCUCAAAUGCUUUGGUAAUGAUGGACUUGCAUCCCAAAAAUAGGGGCAAGAGAGUAGCAGUAGAUAGGGGAGACUGGGGACAGUUGCAGCAAGGCUUAUUCCUCCAAUCAGAAACAUGCUUGGUUGAUGACACUGAAAUUGCAGAUGCUCAGUUGGAAGAGACACAUUUAACAUCAUCAUCCGGAUUUAUAGGAAAAAAACAUGUUUUUGAUGUAUGAGAGUAAAAUUUUUCAAGCGGUUUAUUUUUGUCAUCCUGUCGUGACUGUUUGCACCACAGGCUAGUGUUGCAUGAUAUGCAGUGUUACAUUUGCAUCAAGAUUUGUAUUCGUAUCUUGGUAAAUUCCACAAUCCAUUGACUAACAUUGCAAUCUUUAACAUCUGCACAUUGACUCAUAGUAGGCUUAUGUUUUAUGCAGAAAGAAACAAACUCAAUAUUAGAUACUAGAUCAAGGAAAAAGUACUAUUACAUUUUGUGUAUUAAAUUAUCAUAAUAAUACAAUAAAAUAAUACAUAUUCUCAGACUUGUAUGCUCACUGAGAUGAAACAAAAAUUAAAAAAAUUGAAAAUUGAAAUUGAAUGAAUUUGUGACAUGUCACAACCAUCCAAGGGAUGGGAUCAGUUGCAAAAGUUGACUUUUUUCUUUUUUUGAAUGAACAUAGUGAAAAAUCUGUCAAAUGUAAUCAUAUUUAAAUGGUAUGGGGAUACUGAGGACAGAUGUAAAUGUACUAUUUAAAUAAAUGGUUGGCCUAGUCCAAAUCCUCUCUGAAUAAUUGAGAGAAGAGUGAAGUGUCGCAACUGUCCCCAGUCUCCCCUACUUCUUAAAGUAUCACAUUUUUAUGCUGCAAAUUCAGGUAAAGGCUCUAAAUUCACUUUAACUUCUGAAAAAGAAAUGCAUUUGGUUCAAUAAUCAAAUGAAUCAUAAGUUUGUACGGUUUUCAGGAACAAUGGGUUCUUUUGAAGUUCGACAUUUUCCCUUUAAAACUGAUUUCAUAAUAUUUUUAAUGAAAAUGUUGAAGUCUCUUUUUGAUGUAUUAUUACUGUCUUGAGCUGUGGCUCAUUUUUUCCAUUUCAGUUCUGAAUUCCUCCCUGAAUCCAUUUGUCCUCGGCUUUUUACAUUAGUACCAAGCUAAUUCCUAACUGAAACCCAGAGAUUUAAUAGAAAUCUUCAUUCUCUUUUCUUUACUUUUUUUUUUCUGAGGAAGGCUGUGAAACAUUAAGCAGAAGUUUUAGUUACACCCCAAAGAAAAGGCUUGGAAAUAAGAAGGGCAGAAAAAUAUAUCAAAGACGAUAUUCUACUUUUUCAUGUUAAAAGAAAGGAGACAACUGCAAAAAUGAAAAAGACACUAAAAUGAGGGUUUAUUAAGGUGCCGGUCUGAGAUUAAGAGUUUCUGAAGCUGUAAAUCAUGUAAAGCCACUACAGAUGUUUCAGAGAGAGAGAGAGAGAGAGAGAGAGAGAGAAACACACACACACACACACACACACCCAUCUAUCUAUCUAUCUAUCUAUCUAUCUAUAUAUCGAUAUAUAUAUAUAUGUCCACAGCUCCAUUGGGAUUGCUGGCGGAGGCGGGAUUUAUGACCUAUACUGCAGCCUCUCAAUAGAGGGUGCUGUUCUCAGAGUAGCUUCACCCAGCGAGGAGGCAGACUCUGUCCAUUCUUUACAGAGUCUAUGGAACCUGCAUUUUCUUUAAACAUGGUUGCAAAGUGUUUUAAAAGAAGAAGAUAAAAACCACGUGGAACGAUAGAGAACUAAAACGGGACAGUAGAAUUGAUCCGAUUGAGCGAUGAUAAUAACAGUCAUGAACAUGACAGGUGCAGAGAUGUGAACACAGCUGGAGAGACGGUGCUCUCAUCGCUGUUUUCAACAGAUUGGAGUAUAAAAAGCCGCACAGUUGUGUUUUUAAAGUAAUAUUCAUGAGAGCAGAAAGUGAACAAGAUUAAAGACCAACUGAGAUGGAAAUUUCUACAAACUUCUGUCUAAAGGGGGGGCACCAGAAAGUACGCUAACAAUCCAAGUCCAGUAAAUGAUUUAAAUCCAAACAUACAUAAACACAAAGAUUCACGUAUUACUUCAAGUCUUUAAAUGUUUGCUCCUCAAAGAAUGGCCUGUAACCCAUGUAACCAUGUCAAGGUCCGUCCUCUUUCUCAGGUGAACAACCUCAGCUUUUUGGGACUGCUUUUUAUAGGACUAUUUGUGGUUCUUGAGAGUUUUGUUUUUAGUGUUUUUUUGCUUGCAACCAACACAUGCCUCCCAUUUAAGUGUAGAUUUGCAUAUUCUGCCAGCAUAAACCUUGACAAUUCUGGAUGAAGGACUGCACUGAUGAAGAGCUGAUAUGUAAAAUUUUUUGAAGCUUUUGAGGGUUUGAGGCAGAAAUUGACGACAUGUCAGAUGGAGAUUUAAGAUGUACGAAUGACUGAAGUCAGAUUUUCAAAAAGGGAGAAUAAAAAGUCAGUCUCUCUGAGUGUAUAUGUGUAUAUACCUCAACAGUCAGCAGAAUUAAUACCAGGAGUUGGUUAUUCCGGAGUUCAGGAGGACAGUCACCUCCUCACAGUACCAGUCCAUUCUCGCUGGAUGACCUUUUGGAUUGACAGAUUUCUUGAAAGUGAUAAUAAAGUGUCAGUUUGUUCUUUUAAAAGGCUGUAAGGGAUUAAAUGAUAAAGAAGAAGGUGAAACAUCUUUCAUGGACCCAGUGUGUGGUUUUAGUAGAGAAGAUUAUUGGAGAUUGAAGGAGAAUAACAUUUAAAUUAUAAUACACAACUGCAGGGAUUGUUGCUUUUCUCUUUUCAGCCUUUUUUCUCAAACUAUUGGUGAGAAAAUGAACCUGAAAACAGUCAGAAACUGUCUUACAUAAAGGAAAGAGGAUGUAUGUUUCUCAGAAGGUCUAACCCUGCAGAGAAGGACGUGUACACUUAUUAAAAAACAGGAAUUAAAAGAGAGUUUUGCAGAGCGUAUUGCAGAUUUAUAUGUUUUUUUGUGACUGUUUGGACCAAAAAAGAAUAAAGUCACAUCCUGGGAAGCUUGUUACGCCUGUGCCCACACUGAGAAGGCCCAAUUAGCUUUCUAUUCAGCCGGGACUCUGAAAGACUAACAGUCACUGCCAAAGAUCACCAGCUGUGAUUUAGGCGAUAUAAAAUGCCAGGGAUAGUACAAAAAGAUAGUGGAGAACAAGCUCUGUAGGUGAUCAGUAGAAUCUUAACAUUAGUUCAAAAAUUUACUGGCGAGUGUUGCGCUGUGUAAAAGCCAGAAAAGGUCAAACAAGGUCGUGUCUUUUAGAUUGAGAUAAAAGCUUAGUUCAGUCCAGAUAAUGUGAACUGCUUAAUAUCUGCGAUUAAAAGAGGCUCACUUUAACAGUUUCCAAGAGCUGUUAUCCAUAACAAUGAGCCGGUGAUGUACAAUCUGCAAAAUUAAAUCAUGCUAUUGUAAGGCAGAGUGAAAAUGACCUCAAAGUCAGAGUGAGAGCACCACUGAAUGCUUAAUUAGGCAGUUAGUGUUGGCAAGCCUGCUGCCUAAAUAAUGGCUGUGGUGUGGAUCCAAAACAGGAGCAAACAUUUUGCAGAGCUUUCAGCUGUAAACCAUGCCGGGGCUGCCAAAGGGCUUUGUGUACCAAAGAGUCCGACUGCUGCUACAGUACCACCCCCGUACUGACUAACUCUCUCUCUCUCUCUCUCUCUCUCUCUGUGAGUGUGUCUCCCUCUUUUAACUCAAAUCAAUGCAAGAAAAAAAAAAGCUUUCCCACAUAACACUGUGAUUAAAAUAUACUGCCAAAGCAAAUACAGAUGAUUUGAGAGGAAGUCUGAAUAAAUUAGACAAGAACUCUUAGCAAAUGCAGAUGCUAAUGUCACGGGGUCAUGGAGUGAUUUGAGCAUUCAAAAAAAAGAAAACACAAAUGACUUUAUCUGGCAUAAAAUGAGUGUCAAAUUAUUAUUUUUUUUUCCACUUAUUUCAGACAGCUGUAAAUAAUAAGCCACGCACAAUAAUCUGUACACAAUGAGAGUGUAUCAAAUAUGUGUACAGUUAAUGCAAAAUAGAGACUCAUGAGGGCCUCAAAUACUAAUAAUUUACUAUUUGAGAAUGACAUGAAGUACAGUCAUGAAACAACAACAACUUUUGCACUAAUUUGACUCCAUAUUUGCCAGGAUAGGCAGACACAAAGGCUUAGAGGACACUGAUACACUAUCUUGAUUUAAAAAAUAAAAAUAAAACAAAAACACAAAAAAAAAUUUUUACAGUAUAAACAGUCGAGAUGGUUGAGAAGCAAAUGCAGCUGCUGUUUGUUUUUUGUUUUGAACUUAACCUGAAGUGAAAGCAUGAACAGCUAAGAUGUGACAGCACUGUGGUCCUGACUCUAAAAAACAGUUUAUUCUCAUUGUGUCUAUCUAUGGUUGACACAAAGGUGAAGAAACUUCACAUUGGCGUAGUCACAGUGAUUUUUCUGCCUUGUUCCUUCAGAGUAACAAAUGGCUUUAACUUUGCCCGUGCCAGUUUGAGUGAAUCUUUGAUGUAAAAAAAGCUUUUAGAAAAUUAAACUUUUGCAGUUCAAGGAGCUUGAAAUACUUCUUUACUCUUUAUCCACGGUGAUAAAUUUGGUCUUCAACAACUUAAGGUGACAAAUCUUCAGUCGUGCACAGAACAAGUCAAAAAAUAUGGCUGGUGUCUUAAAAGUGUCUAUACACAACACAAAUGUGUGUUUGGCUUUAUAGUUGAGCUUAUUUUUACAGCCCCCAUGCUCCGGGGAGCACUCUUCAAUAUGUUUUUAGUGAGCCUCUGUCAGCUGGCUGGAGCCUCCAGAUAAGAGCUGUUAUGUGUUGUGUAGUUAGUGGUUAAGUAUUGGUGUUCUCCGCAGCUCCCUGUGUCACUGUGUUAUCUGAAGGGUCCCAGCGAGCUCCUCGGGCUCGACUCUCCAGGUCGCAGUAAUGAGAGAGGAUAAUUACCGAUCACACUUUGUAAAUGGAACAGCAGGACGAUAGAGAGCGUCUAAUGAAGCCCCCCACCCCAUCUCACCUCACCUCACACACUCCCUCCCACAACAGCGUAAAGAGCAGAAUAAUGACAGACACCGACACUGCUGCAGGUCUCUCUGGGCCUCGUGAAGAGGAACUUUUGUGCUUCAAAAACUUGAUAUUCGUCUUAGAGUUUAGUCCUACCUGAACCUCGUUUUUUAAACCCAGAAUAUAUUUAGUAGCAGAGACGACAGGAAAACAAGAGACGCUGCCAGUCUGAAAGAAAAACAAAUGAAAGUAUUUUUGUUUUAAAAUGGUAAUGCCUACUUAAGGACUUCUGAUGCUGUCUUCUAUUAUAAAUGUGUAUUAUCAAACUUCUUUCCUUUAACAGUGAUGUCAUUCUGAGGAUAUUAUCUCUGCCUGGAUAUGUUGGUAAUGUUAAACUGUAUGUACCAAACACCUACAAGGCAGAAUAGCAAAGGGCAACAAAAAGGCUUUCAGACCAGUUUAGUCAGUACAGAAUCAGAACCAAAGACUGUAUCUAGAAUGAAUGCCAUCUGUCACCGCGAACAGCGCCCUCUGGUGACGGGCUGCAGUAUAGGUCAUAAAUCCCGCCUCCUCCUGCAAUCCCUAUGGAGCUGUGGAAAAACUUUAGAAACUUAUUACCCAGAAUAUAAAUUGUUCUCCCCCCUGCUUGUGAUGUUGACAUGUAGUUACUGUGAGACUGGUUUGGGCUCAAAUCCUCUUUUUUCUGUGCAGCUCCAUUUUUAAGUCUGUAAAACAUAAUUUCAGUCUUCUAAAGGUCCUGAGAGGAACUGUCAGUUUGUGUCAGUUUUGGCGCCCCCUGUAGACAAAUCAUGUACUGCUCAAGCGCUGUCAUUUGACAAAAAAAAUCAAAUUGUGCAUCUUAUGACUGUCAAACAUAUCACUUAUUGUAAAUAUUUGCUGUGCCUUAUUGACACCCACACCCUCACACAGGUUUCAGGCAUAAUAAAAUCACAUUAUAAAAAUGGUGAAUCUUGAUGUUCUUGUUUUUGUUUGUAUAUCAUGAAAAGGCAUCAAUAUGAAUGUCAGUCUGUUUCAUAAAUGUCAAAAAAGUAAAAAUAAAUAAACCCUAACAGGAGCUUGAACGCUGUUACCUGUGUCCUGACUUUGUGUUUUUUAUUGGAUAAUCUAGUCUGAACUCUCCCUCUUAGUUAAACUACAGUACUGUCCUUCCAGAUCUGCUAAAGUGAGGAAAGUGCAUUACUCAGAAAAAAAAAACAGCAAUAAAUGAUGGACACGUCUCCCUGACUCGACCUUGUCUGCAAGUGCAAGAAUGAAAAUGGCUGUAUUGCUCUUUUACAACAGUCAUUAAUUGAGCUUGUGGUUACAGGCAGACUGGACAGACAUUUAGCAUUCUGCAGCACAGAUUUAAAGUUGAUUAAAAGUAUGAAACAUUCCAUUAAAGGCGCUUUCCAUCAUAUUACCAAACCAGGAGAAAUUGACACUUUGACACUGAGCUGUCAGAGUUUACAGCACAAAGAAAAAACGUGCAAAAUGUGAAACUGACGUCAUCCUGACUGUGGCAGCAGAGGGAAGCGUACUUAUAGAGCACUCGCUGCAGCCUUUGACUGGCUGCAUCCUCGUUUUUUGACAGACAAAUAAGAUUCAUGAUGUUGGAAAAUAUCAUGAAGUUUGAAUGUUCACCAUCAAAUCAAAACAAAGCAUACAUGCUGCAAGAGUUUUGACUCUUAAAUAUCUUUUUUGCAUGAAGAAAAGUCUUGUUUAUGAAUAUUCAUCAAAUAUAUUUAUUGAAAUUGCAGAAUUGAGUUCAGUGUUGGUUCAGACAGCUCUGGAGUCCAGCACAGCCUGUACUGAACUCACAACCAGCUCAGAUAAUCUUCACAAGGAAAUAACAAUAUCAGCUACCGGCUUUUUUUUUUCCUUUUGGUAAAGUGAUAAAUUAUUAUGUCCGUAAAUAUAAAAGUGAGACAACUCUGCAUAAUCACCUAAUCUGUUCGAUUUAAUUUGUUAUGCACCAUAGACUCUGUUGCACUCUCUGGACUCAAGACAUUGUGUCCAAAGAUUUAGAGAUACCUUUGGCCUUCACCCAGGGCAUAAAACCCUGAAUUUCACUUUAGGGAUUAAUUUCAAAUAGUUGACUAUUUUACAAGCAGCAACUCCCCGUAGCUGCUUCUCCUCGUAAUGAAGUCAGUGAGUGAAAAUAUGAUGAUCGCCAAAACCCUGAGAAGUAGCCUCAGCUGUAAAAAAAAAAAGAAAAGAAAAAGAAAAAAGUGAAUUCCUUAAAGUGAUGUCUCAUCUCAUUAAUUUUAAUUGCAGAUCACAAAUGUUAAUAAAGGAUGAGAUUGAAAAGGGGCUCUCUGACCUGAAGUCCCGAUCAAACCUGUACCCUCAUCUUCUUCUCCUCCACCUUCAAGUGGAGGACAAACACUGUACCCAGCCAGAAAAAACAAAGGCAGAGGGGAGACGGAGCACUUUGUCAGAUCAGCUAAUUGAGUAUUUGGCCCAAAGCAGAGGCCAUUUAUAAGACACCCUCCCUCCUCCUUGCUUGCCCAGCACACUCCCAUUCCUUUGGCCCUGUCCAGCUGUGUGCUGCUGUGACAUAGGGCUUUGUCACCCCUGUUCCUGUAGACCCCCUCCCUGCCUGCUGCUCGUUCAUCACAGCAGAGUGAUUCCCGGGUUUAAAGGAAAGUGAUGAAGAUGCUUGCAGGCCCACUGUGGACACAGCAGGGCCCUCCAGGCUAAAGUGCCCUGAUCAAUCACAGCCCCUCAGGGUCAAAAUGCCCUUCAGACUCAAGGAAACAGGUGCACAAGUUGAUUCACAAAAACAUUCAAAGCAGACAUACCCACACAAACACACACACACACACAGCAAUCCCCCCCCUUAGGUCUGACACUAAUCCCACUUGUUGUGCCCGUUUUGGCCAACUCAACCCUUUUAUCAUAGCGCAGCACUUCAUCUUUGUUGAGGAUGACAAUUAGGAGGCCACCAAUGUGUAAUCAGAGGGAGUGUGGCAGAAUCAUAAUAAGUGUCUGCGCCAUCUCCCACUCUUUCCCAUUUGAACAGCUGUGACUCCAGCAGUGCCCUUGGCAAGCUUCAUCCCCAGUUGUCUCAUUUACUUGCAGCCACUGAAGUAUUUGUUUGGAAUAGUGUGUACCUCAAAUAACUGGAGAUAGUUGUUGUCUUGUUUUUAAGAGUUUGUUUCCAAAAAUUGCAAUGAUUUUUUGACAGCAGACAAAUACAGCGUGACCCUGGGUUAUCCAUCAGCUCCAUCUGCGUUUUUUUCCUGAAGUGAUUUUGAAUGUUAGAGAAUUUGAAAUCCUGGCAGUAGAUCAUUAUGACCUUUGUAACUUGUAUUAUCCUGCUGUGAUUGAACAGUCCUGGGAAACAGAGAGAUUAGAAAACCAGCUGCUGUACCUGCAGUGAUAAUUUUGUUACAGAAAUAUUGGCAAGUUUUCUUUAAAGCACCUUUUUUCAUGAUGAUGACUUAAUUGACCUUUUGCUGAGCCAAUGGCAGCUUCGUAUCAGUUGCACCGGGACCGGAACUUGGAUAUCUAUAGUUUUCAGCUCUAUAGAGAAGCAUUAAAAAUCAUGAUUUUUCAUCUGUUUUAUGGCGCACUAUUUUACUAUAACAGAAAGAAACAUGGUAAAAAGGUGUGCAUGGGGUACGUGUAAUACCGACACAAGAUAUUCAAACAGGAUGGGCAAAGUCAAUGUCUGCUAUGGAUUUAAUUGUGUAGCAGACCACACAGCCAACUUAACAUCCAGAAGAUCAACAAGGACGUCUUCAUUUGUUCUACGGUAAAUUACGUCAACAUAGCUUUAAAUUUACUAACCUUAACAACUAUUUUUUUAUGUCAUUAGCGAUGCAGUAACAGAGCUUUCGCCUCUGGUAAACUAACUAACUUAGCACACUAGCUGAGUGACUGCAACACUCAGUGCCUCUCCAGAUUAGUUUAAUUAAUUAAAGGUAAAUUAAUUUAACCUAACCCUGCAGUACACAAACAGUGUUGGUCUUGGAUGUUGUGUUCUCACCAAUCACAUCUAAUUUUACAUUCUGGAUACAUCCCUCCAUGGCAUAAUGAAGUCCCUUUUGAAGGCUCCGGUUGUAUGUCCGAGUUAGCAACAGUAACUAAGGGGGGGCGGGGCUUAGCAAUAGGUCAAUUGGUCAGCAAACUAUCAAUGAAAAUCUCUGCUCAUGAACCAGAAAAAAUAGCUGGCUCUGUCAGGCUGUCAACAGUUACAUAACUUAUCUGCAACAAGUGUGUCGCUCUAAAUUCUCACAGACUCCACUCAUCUUUCUGGUUGUCAUUGGAUGAUUUUCCAUCCGGUGAAUGUCAGCAAUAAAGUCUGUUUACAUAUUCAAGCUGGCAGCUGGCAUCACCAAAAAUUGGUGCCUUAUUAUAACCUUCAGCUCGAGGAAAAGAGACGACCUGUGAAGACUGAGCGUACCAUCCUGAUUCCAACAGGGACACAAACACACAGUAACUUUUAACAUUUCAUGUUCAGUAAACUCAGAUUUCUUUCUGUAAUUGGGUCUCGAUUGGUUUUGAUUAUGGUAUUAUUUUUUGACAAGGUUACAAAACUUCACAUCACACCUGUUGGUGAUUAGCAUCCUGUGCUAAAUUAACUGAUAAUCUACUUUAACAGAAUCAAGCUACCGCACCGUGCACUUCCACCUGCUUCGUCUAAAAUCUGACUCAUGGUUUCUUCAGGCUGAUUAUAGAGACUCUGAGUCAGUGGAAACUGUGUUUCUAAAAUAUGACUUUCAAAACAGGUACUUGUCCCUAAAUUUUGUCAAUACCAUGAGGAAGUUAGAAAUAUGUUUUCAGAUUUAUAACCAAACACAAGAAGGUAUUUGUCAUUCAACUGUAUUUUUCUUCAAAGUUAUCAUAAAUCUGUUUGAAAAAGUUUUGACUGAAAAAAAAAAGACUCAGAUUAGACUAAACGCUGUCUGUUAUGAAACUAAAGGGAAGACAGACAGACUCAAAUACCACUUCAAUAAACAACAUUUAGAAAUUUAUUAAGACUACAUUUUAGAAGAAUCUACAUUUUAAUUAGAUUUUUCAGAGAUUUCAAAUAAAUUAUACAAGUAGCAAUGUGAUAUUAUACACAAGGAGCACACCUGCAACUAUCUUCCCUUAUUUAAGUAUAUAAGUAUAUCAGUAAAAUACCAACGACUAAAUAAAAGAAAACAAAUGUUUAAUUCUGAAACUCAACAUUAAGUCAAUAUUAAAUCAGUUUUGCAUCAACCUCACAUCUCAUUUCAGGGGCUCCACUUCUGGAAGAACACUAACAGACAAGAACUUAGAAAAUCAAUCAUCUCUUUAUUACAGGAUAAAUUAAGUUACAACACAAACGAUGAUAAGAUAAAAGGAAUAAAUCAUGAUAGAUGAAAGUGAGAUUUUGAGUCAGACAAUGAUUAUUGAGGUUAAACUGUGGAGGUGAAUUUGGAUAUGGAUUUGGAUGAAUUUAGGAUUACUCUAAUUAGUGAUUGUUUAAUGAGACAGCAUCAGCCCUGUUUUAGUCUCUGGAGGUUUGGAUACUUAAGUGAGGCCCGUCCUUGGAGAGGAUGGAGAAGGUUCACCUAAGGUACAGGCUACCUGUUUGAGAGGACUGAAGAGACCAUGUCCACACAGAAGUUGAGAUGAUCCAUCAGACAGUGUAUCAUCAGUGUAUCAUCCCCUUAGUGUUCUCACAGUGGCAGACAUGACAGUCUGUGAGAGUAUCUCCAAUUUCAGGGGACCACCUCCUGAUGUUGCAGGUUGUUAAAGUGUCUUUGAACCGGGGGGAUGCAUUAUGGCUGUAGGCGGGGGGACGGGUGUGACUCUGUAUGCAUCUCUUUCUUACAUCCCUUACUUGUACAACACAAGUAGGAUAUGUCCACAGGUCACUUGUUUCCUCUGUUUCUCCAUUUGUCAUCGUGCUCUUAUUGUAACUAUAUUGUCUAAUAACCACUAACCUAUUUGACAGGUUGGCUGGUUAAAUUUGUGUCAGUUAUCUUCAGGCCCUGUCAGACAGCCAGCACAAAAUGUCUUGACUUACAUCGCAACAUCAGUAAUUUUCUCCCUAUGCAUUUUCCAUUUUGAUGCCAAGCCCCCACACUGUAUGAACAGAUAUUGAAACUGUGCCUAUGUUAGCUGCCAUUAGCGUGUUGGUUUGGAGAGGAAGUGUGGUCUGGCUUAUGAUGGAAGAUGUUGAUGAUGAUAUAGCUCUCUCUCUAGUCUUCCGACCACUCAAAGUACUUUCACAUUAUGAACCACAUUCACCCAUUCACACCCUGAUUGUAGAGGCUGCUAUUUUAACCGCUCAUCAGAAUCAAAUAAUCCCACUGGACACAGCCAACGGGGGGCAGAUUGGGGGGAAACAACUAAGACUCACAAGAAUCACACUGUGCUUUCCUUAUAUUUAGAGAGACAUGAACUCCCUCACAUUGUCUUACUUUAGCUGAUGUAUUUCAUGAAGGUUUUAUGAAGGUCUUCAUAACAAAUCCAUUCUUUAGAAAAUGUCUGUGGAUUCACUAAUAUUUUAUCAAACAGGUUUUUUCUUUUCAGCCCAGUUUUUAUAGGACUGAAAGACCUCAUAUUUUCUCUAUACAAUUUAAAGUCCCAUUCUGAUCGUUUUUUCUUUACUAAAAGUGUUCUCAGUGGUCUUUGAAUUGUGAUAAUGAAGUUUUUAGUCAAAAUCUUAUUACCUGUCAUUUUCAAGGGCUUUUCUUCUGCAGAGCUCCAGUAGCUCAUUAACAAUUCGCCUCUGAGUCGUGGGCGGACUCUCUUCCUCACGCUAGUUUGCAGCCUAACAUUGUCGGUGACGUAAAAGUAGCAGGUACCAUAGGAGCUAUUCAGCUCUCGAACACUAAUGUCUUUGGGGACAUGAUGAAAGUUGAUAUCAUAAUUAGCUUUCUUACGAGUGUUGCAAUCCACUAACACACACGCUUUUCUUCAAUCAUCCUCUCUAUUUGUCUGAGUCUGACCUGCAUAGAGGGGCUCAGGGGGCGGGGCUUGCAUUUGUGACAUAGGAAAUCUCACUGUGCCUGAACCUGCCGUUUGGGUCUGUGAGAGAUUCACAGCAGUUUGAAUGCAGAAAUACUCAGAAAGACAAUUUCGCACUUGUUUUUUCAUGAUAUGUCCUCUAGAAUCAUGAAAAAUGUCAUAUGAACAUGUAGACAACAAGAAAAACAUGAUUUUCAUCGGAGUGGGUCUUUAAAGCUCUAGUGAGUUUUUGUUGUUGUUGUUCUUGCGUUUAUGGAAACAAAUAAAUCUGAAUUCCUUCUUAUCAUAAAAGCAAACAAGACCGUCAGCAAGACAGGACUGAGUGGUUGGCAACUUUAUAGUAACUUUAAAAUUCCUGAAACCAGUGUAAGGGGUAGGAGUCAACUGAGUGGGAGAAAAAAAAGAGUCCCGUUUUAACAAUUUACAAAUGAAAAACUCAAAGCAAAUGACACAUUUGAGAGCCUGAGGACCCUCUUCCUGUGACAGGAAAAUGCAACUUUUUCAACAGGGUGUGCCACAAUUUGAGUCUGACUGAAAUGAGCCUCUUUGUAGCUGAGACACAAAACUAAAUGAAACAAUUUCCAGUAAAAGCGGACUGUUUUCUGGUAAACAUUUCUAUCCUUUUACACCCUCUAUAUCACAGAUUUGUUGGUUGGUACCAGACUGUUGUCUCAUAACAAACUGAGGAGCUUCUCCCUCCUGCUUCGCAGUAGCGCGCAGGAUUUCCAACAUUUAAUCAACACCUGACUCCCACACUGACUUGAACACCUGUUUGCAAGCCUCUAAUCAGCUCCCAGGCAUAUUUAUGGGCCUUUAUGUCUCUGUCUCCCACCAUAUCAUCGAUUGUUGCUUCUGCUCAGGAGCGGGUCACACCAGAGGCUUGCACAGUAACUGAAGUUGACAAGCUAACUGCUAUUAUAACAUCAGCAGUCAGGAUUGCUCUAUUAACCUUCACAAUUUUCUUUGCACUGAGCUGCUUACCCUUCUGCCCUCAGUUCUCAACAUUGUGAAUCAUCUACUUCACGGAGGAGUAAAGGGCAAUGGGAGCUGUAAGUGAGCGGGCUGGUUAGCUCGGUUGCUAAUGAGCCAACAAGUACAAAGUUAAUUCAAAGUUAAUUAUUUGACUGUCAGGUUUCCUUUUCCAUUUUUGUUAGAGCUUAACUCUUGGCUGCUGGUUGUGUAACGUCACUGCGACACGUUUGAUAUCAUCGCAAACCCAAGACUAGGGAGGACCGGUAUAUAACAGCGCAGGUCACCAUCCUAAACUUAACGAUCGAGCUGAUGGGAGCAUGCUGCGACUCCAGUAAAACUCCAAGAUUAGACUUUCAGUUUUUAGUCUGAGACUGUGAAAAAUCGUUUGGUGGAAGCCCAGCGUAAGUUGUUCUUUUCCCCCAUCAGACUAUCAGGUUCUGUUUUAUUACAGACAGUUUGGAUCCCUUUGUUACAGUUUUUGAAGAGACAACAACCAGUCAUGGUAAUCCUUUUAAAUAAACUGAUUUGGUAAAACCCUUAAACUUCAGCGUCACCAGCUCCUCAGUAUCCAGUAUUCCUGUUAGCUGCCCACAUUUUUUGACUUCCUGCCCGCCUUGCCACUUGCUUUGUUGGAUUACUGACAAAGAAGAAUUUGAUUCCAUUCAAUCUGCCUGCCUCUGCUUCUGUCAUGCCCUUGAUUCAUGACUUGCAACACUUCACAAACAGAAGCAGGAAGCUUUGUGCUGGCUUGCUUUUUUAGAAAACUUUUCCUCUGCUCCCACUGAAGAAAUCAAGGUGGAUAAGUGUUGUGUUUGUAGACCCGGUGCUGUUUAAAAAACGUUGUGUAAAAGAAUACCCAUGUUUGAGAAAUGUCAGUCAGUCUUAUCCUUAAAGUUCCGCUGAAAAAUACAUCCUGACAGAGUUUCAGAAUCUUUUCAUCAAAAUGCCGUCCGCUGUAAAUGUCCUCGACGAAAAAGUUUCCCAUUGUCAUUUUUGCAUAUGGUCUGCACUCUAGUCAAUAGUGAGGCUUGGAAAAGACCUGAUCAGCAUAAUAGAUGUCUGUAGAGGUACAAUAUUUCUGCUGAGUGCAGCACCAUGUCCAAACCAGUUAAAAUGAUUUCCAGUAGCCCUUUUCAUUGUCCUGCUCACUAUCUACCUCCCUCUUCUUUUCUGCUGGAAUAACCGCUACUGUUCUCAGCUCUCCCACCUCCUAUUAAGACCCUACGGUUAAUUGCCAAUUGUUUUACAUCUGAAUCAAGUAGGUAUGUUUAAAUUAGGUUCACCUUUUUUGCAUGCAAAGCAAAAUACCUUGCUUGUUUAAUUUAAUUAGAUCUUUUGUCAGGGAGGGCAGAGUAAAGCCAGCCUCACCGCCGUGAGACCAGACUCUGGGCAGAGCACAGGACUUGGACAAGAAACUCUGCUUCCCAGCUGAGAUCGUGUCCAUGAACCUUCAACCAGACCUUGUUCUGUGGUCAGCCUCGCUCAAGCUUGUCUAUAUUAUGAGCUCAUGUUUCUUUGGGAAAGCGCAGUGGAGGAGGCCUACAUGUGGAAGAAACUAAGGUAUGAUGAACUUGCAGCCAACGUACAACAACAAGGCUGUAAGUGAAAGUACGCCCGGUGGAAUUAGGCUUCAGAGGGUCAUUAUUUAUUUAUUUGAUCAGGACAAUUCACGUUAACUGACAUGUCAGCAAAAGCAUCAAUGUAAAUAUGCUGGAGUUAGCAUAAAUGCUCAUUUUAAUCUGUUUUCCUAUGGCAGAUGUUUAAAAACAUGGAAACAUUUCAUUAUAUAUACUCAAUACGAUGGUUCAUAACCAUCUCAACAUCCGGGCUACUCAGUGUGUCAAAGACCUCUGCUGAAAAAGGGAGUCAGUGGCUGUGGAUCAAGAGAGAGGACCCAACCUGGGCUUAGAUGAACUCACUAGAUGCCAUCAAGUAAGUUGAUGGCAUCUGGAGGUAAACGUGUGAUGCUACGAUUCACUGCAGCUACACACCCAAGAAGGAUGGCAUCUCUCUCCUGACCGCCCCACAGAGUCUUAACGGUGCCUCAUGUAUGUGUUUAAUGAGGGAUAUCAAAAUCUAGUCCUACACAACAAAUCCAUCAACCAGUCAUGCUAAACUUGGUCCCGGGACUGGGAAUGGGAAUAGUGGCCUCCAAUAUAUUUCGUUUUUGGUUUCCAAGCCCUCAGUCCACUUCAGAGGCCAAAUCUCAAACAUCAUCUGACAAAAUGAGUCAGUGAUCUCGGCAAGGGAGGCAGAGCGAGCUCAAAGGGAUCAGGAUGAGACAAUGUCUCGUGUCCCCUCAACUGUGCUGUCUUUGCUGCUAAGGCAUCAUAAGCCCCUGCAAUCUGCCCGUAAACUGUGAAGUCAGCAUGGGAUCAAAUCUGCAUCGUUUCAAGUCAGAGGAAUGAAAGAGACUCAGAAAAACUGGAUUUCACUCAGUUUUGAUAGUUUGAUUGACACUUUGUGUUCAACUGAACUUGAAGUGUUUACUUUCAGCACCGCAGUGAUAAUGUGUCCUCAUGUUUGACCUUCACUGUAAUUUACACUUCUUAUCAUUAAAACAGAUAUUUUUCAAGUGCGACUCGAGAUCAUUGUUGUCUCAUGAUCAAAGCUAACAUUAGGAGAACAAUGAAGAGGGUGGAAAGGAUGAAUUUAGAGGCAGUGUUUUGCCAAUCAAAUUUACAUCUAAAAAAAAAAGGUACAAACUGCACUAACAGUUUUAAAGUUGGAAAUCUUGUAUGCAGGUUUAGGGCUGUCAGAUUCUUACCUCACAGUUAUCAUGUUUUUUAUUCUGCGCCAUUUUCCUCAAACAUCAGACCAACUGCAAGAAACCUCAGUGUAAUUGUUUAAUUAAGAAUUAACCUUUCAUCAUUUCCUGUCCAACCUUGUUUCAUUCAAUGAAGAUGAAUCUUUAAGAUUAAGAUUUUUAUUCUGAUGUUGUUUACCUUUUUACUUUCUCUCUCUUUUCUUUUCACUUUUUCUUUUUUUCCCUCUUCUGUGAAUCUUUAUAGUUUAUUGUCUCUUUGACUUAUGAUUUAUUUCUCACUCAGUCAUGAUUGUUAUUUACCCGGCUUCAUCUACAAGCUGAUCACCGUGAUCAAACUGAAAUUUAUCAUAAUCAUUAAUUAUGAUCACAUAAUCACCCAGUCCUUGUGUCUCCUAAACUUCACCUUCAUCACCUGGUCCUGACUUCAGAAACAACGCAUUCUCAGACGUAUCUCUUAAAAAUAUUUUGAAGGGGGUUGAAGAAAGGUGACGUUUUUUAAGGACAACAGAACUAUUUGCUUAUUGUUAAUACAGCCAUCUGACGUUGGGAUUGAAAAUGAAUAUUAAAUGACUUUUACAUUCUCCUCUCAGUGCCAAGAGCGCUCCAUCUACAAAGAGAGGGCAGCCGUGUUUUCUUAUCUCAUUAACGGUUAUUUUAGCAGAUGUCUUCACAGGCCAGAACAGUGAGUGGGCCUGUGAAAGAAGAAAGGCUUCUUCUCCUCGGGAACCCUGAGGACCUCCUGUCUAAUGAAACGCUGUCAAGGUCCAGUGAGCUGAGCUGCCAGAAGAAAGCCACACAAUGGAGAAAAGCCUGACAACCGGCACAAAGCGAGAGGCAGAUAGCAACCCCAACUCCUCAUACACUUAUUACAUUUUGGGAACCACUCAGGCAGAUAACGGUGGGAAGCUGCCUCAUGCUCACAAACAGAAACUGUUGCUUCUCUUUGACUGAAUACAUUAUUUACUGUAAACUGUAGACCUAGCUGCUGACAACUGUAAUUAAUUAAGAUAAAGUUACUCUCCUUAGAGCCAAAAUAUUUGGUCCAAAAGAUGAUUGUAUGGCCCCGGAGAAUUCAGUGCCAAGAGAGAAAAAUGAAAACUGCAGAGUUGGAUGUGCAGCAGUUCUGCAAAUCUGCACUUUAUACAUGAGUUCUCCCAGACACCAUCACUUUCCCCAAAAAGAGAAGUAGCAUGAAAGAUAAACAGUAUAAGUUGGGUGAACUUUCUAUAUCAUAUACGAUACAUCUUCUGGAGGAGAAAACUGGUGGCCCUGGCCAUCUGGACAUCAUUCAAACAAACCACCUCCAUACCGAAGCGAUAGGGCUGUAUUUCAUGAGCUCCACGCCUCACGCUGACUUUUCCAGUUAAUUAAACAAGAAGCCGAGACAGACAGAGAAAGAUGAAGACUGGAAGCAGGGAACCAACCUGCAGCUGCUGUAACAGAAAGAAGAAAAAGAUUAGACUGUCAUAAAAGAGAGGAGGAAAGAUAUGGCGCUGUUAUUUAUAACGCUGUUUUAAUCUGUCGCAGUUAUCCGAGCAGCAUUUUCAUUCUUAUUACAGAAAAACCUUACGCUGGGACAACCAAGGCCACUGAUGUAGCAGUUUGUUUGUUUUAUUAUUUCUUUUUUCAGCAGUAAGGACACAUAACCUUCAGUGUUCCUCUCCGCGCCCCUGUGACUAUCAGCUAUUUCCACUGUUGUGUUUUCUAUUACAGGUUGAGCAGAUUAGAGAGCAGCGCAGUGUGGGGCCUGUGCUGUCAUCGGUUUCAUAGCUGGGCUGAAAAAAAAAAAAAAAAAAAAAAAGCAGAAGAAGAAGAAAAGAUCACACAGAAGAGCCCCACAGAAGGUGAUAAUAAUUGUGCAACUCUGCUACGCUUUCUCCUGAGCUUCAUACGGUGAAAGAAAAACAGCGUCAUUUUUCGAGUGUUUCUUUGGUCGUACAGCCAAAUAGGGAGAAAUCAUUGAGAGAGGAAAGCUGGACACCUUCAAGGUUUCUUUGUGUAUUGUUAAAAGAAAUGAAAACACUCUCUGUGAUAUGGAGUUUACAUUUCUGCACCAAGAUUGUGAGGUAUAUGUCUCAGUACUGAAAGACUAGAACACGAUGGCAGUCUUCAGUAAAUACAUCUAAUUUUCUCAAGCCAUGACUGGAGUUCCAAUUCUGGACUUCGGUGUACCAUUGAUUCCAAAACAUCUAUCAUCCCUCUGUCCCUCUCUUAAAGAAAACCUGCAUCAUCCAGCGUCGUCUCUAGUGUUUGCAUGCAUUUAAAAGACUAAAAUAAUGUAUUUUAUUAUCGAAACUUAUGUUGUCAGUUAUUUAAUGGCCUCUAAAGCAGUGAAAAGAAGUUGGAGGAGGGUUUAGUCUGCCUUGUUUCACAGAAAUGUUCUUCUACGUUACAAAAACAACUACAUGAUUUGGAGAUGUCGAACACUGCAGUGAAAUUUAAUGAAAUUCAGGCAGCGUUGUUCCAGGCAGGACAGCAGGGACCACUCAGCCCCAGAUGGUCUCAAAUCCUGACAAUUCAAGAAACCCCCCUGGUGUGCAUGUAUGUUUUUUUUCUCCCUGUCUCUGUUUCAGCGAUUUCUUAUUUGGGUCAUUUUUUUAAAGAACAUUAAGAGAUAAACUUGUUUAAACUUGCUGAACUGUAUUUGUUUUCUUCUUACCUGUUUAGGGUUCGAGUUUUUACUGGCUUGGCAAUAACAUUACAGAGUUUCAAAAGAUUUAAGACACUUAAAAGAUUCAUUAUUUCCAAGUAAUACAGUUAAAAUGGAACACGUCAGUAACUCUUAUGGUCUAGCGAGCCAGUAUUGUAAUAAAUGGUACAACACAAUGUGGGAAGAGCAGCUUCAAAGUCCUUCUUUAACCAUCUGUGCUGCAUUCAUAGACCACAGACACACUGUGGGUAUUACCAGCAUGCAGAGUUCAUUAUAUCCCAUAGGUUAAAAACGAAGGAACAGAUUGUGGCAGUAAAAUAAUUGCCUUGACAAAACUAUACCAGAAAUGCAAAGUAAAAUCCAAUUCAAAGCCCGGGGAUGACAAGCAUGGGACAUGUUGUCGAGUUCUGUGAUUAAGACUGCAACACCAAACCCCGGAGGAGUGGACGGUUUCUUCAUCUUCCAGCCGCCUUCGUUAGCUGAAUUGUCUGGUUCAGUGCGUUGCAUGAUUACAGCUCUCAUUAAGGAUGGACUUGGACUGUGUAAAUCCCAGGACACUUGUGUGAACAAGGAGCUGAAGUGACAGAGCCAUGAUACAGUCGGUCUGUCCUAUGAGACAUGUCUUCAGAGUUCACUGCACUGGGGAGGACAUACACUGUGAGCUUAAAUCUGCUACCUUUGCCCUUGUGCAAAUGGAUCUUUCACUGGAGACCUGUUAGACUCUUCACCUGAGAAUUUUAUUAUUUUCAUUUUGGUAUUUUUAGGUUUCUAAACGAUACAUAUAACCUUUUCCGGCUCUCAGAUAAAAGACUAAUGGACAGAAGACUAGCUUUCCUGGUUGUAAUUGACAACUCAUGACUGUAAUUACAACCAGAGUCUUACAGUCUUUUUUCAGAGACACUUCCAUCAAGAGUCUGACUUUUCAUACAAAUGGUGAGGUUUGGCCAUAGACUGUGUAUACUAUGGACAACUUGGUUCCACCAUCUGUCAUUAUAAAAAUUUGAAGCCGAAUUACUCUACUCUUUCUGUAUUUCCAGGAUUGUUUUCCCACUUCCUGGAACCAACUCUUACACAGUAGUGUUUUACUCAUUUGGUGGGAUUAUGCCUGGCUCAAACAACGUACCCGCAAUCUUCGUACGGCCAUAGGCUGUAUCAAGUGUCAAUCAUAGAAAACUUAAACCCUAUAACAUUUAAAAAUGGAGCUGCACAGAAAAAAGAGGACUUGAGCACAAACCAGUCUGACAGUAACUACAUGUCAACAUCACAACAAGGGGAGAGAAAAAUGUAUAUUCUGUGUGAUAAAGUUUGUUUACAGCUCCAUAGGGAUUGCUGGAGGAGGCGGGACUUAUGACCUAUACUGCAGCCCGUCACCAGAGGGUGCUGUUCUCGCAGUGGCUUUAUCCAGCGAGGAGGCAGAUGGCGUCCAUUCUAUAUAUCGUCUAUGGUUUUGACAGAUGACUUUGACUUUGCUCUUAGUAAUCUUUAAAAGAUCCCAAACAGCAGCAGUGAUUCUGCUGGAUAACCCAAUAACCAUUCAUGCACAUCCAAGUAAUUUUCUUCAGUCGUUUCAACAAAGCAAAUAUUAUUUAUUCGUCAUAAAAGUUGAAGAUGACCUGGUUAAUCCACAGUGUAACAAAAAAAAAAAGACUGCUAAAACUAAUACCUAAAAUCUACACAAUUCAGCUUUAUUUGUGUUCAAAAACAGUUCUGUCUCAUUAAAACUUUUAAAGGUAUAAAAAGUAAGAAAAUGUUUUCAGAAUUAGAAAAAAUACACCAUUAUUUGAUAGAAAGAAGGAAUGACUCCCAUCCCACAGAGUCAGAGAGGACACAAGAGCUGCCCUCACAGUGACAGUCCAUCUGUCCAUCAGAACCCAUUAAGAGUUCCGUCUGCAGGGAAUCAGCAGUUGUCCGGGAAGAGAUUCACUUUCUGGAAUGACAAUUAAACAGAGCAAACACAACGAAGACAGAAGCAGCAAGUGCAAGUCACCGCAGACAACAUGACUUUAUUCUGGCACACGGACUGUUUAAAGAAGAUUGAUUAACGGGGAUGUGUUUUUGAGGAAAAACAAAUUUAACCUUGACGGCAUUUUCAUCAUGGAUUUGAGAAAAAUUGGACAAAGACUCUGUAAUUAAAAUGUUUGUAAUGAAGGUUAUACAAGCGGUCCUUCUGGCAACAAAACCUGUUUGUCCAUGAGUAAAACAAAAUUAAUUUUAUGAAUUCAAAAGAUUUCCAAAAAAUUAUUUCAAAACUUUUAAAACAUGUGAAAUAUGGUGAGUAAAAAACUAAGGACUGUGUGCUUCAGGUCAAAGGCCGUUGUUUAUCCAGAGCUCAAAAUGAGGGGAUGUGUUUCGUUGAGGAGCUGCACGUAGGAGGGUAAGAAACAUCCGUCUUUCUGGAGCAUUUUUGAGGAUUUGAAUAAACCAAUAGAAUCUGAAUGAAUAACAGUCACAUAAACUCGUGCUUUUCUGUAUUUAUGUCUAAUCCAUCUUUUUGUCCAUGCUCCAGGGGGUUAGUAGGAUACUGUUUCAUAGAUUAAAACAGAAUUGUUCUCUGGAGGUGGAAAGAUUUUGUUGAAUGUAGGUGUGCUUACCAGUGUCUGCUAUUCAACUUCAAUGACUGAUCAUAAAGCCAGAGUUUUCCUAAUCUGAUUUGGCUUUCUGUGAGAGGUGGCAAAAAAAAAAAAAGAGAGGCAGGGAAGAUUGGCAAAAGUUUCGGUUUCAACAUCAGCUGUUAAUGCGGCGUCAUACUCCAUGUCAGACUGUAAACUACAAACUAAACAGAAACGAUAGUUCGGGCAGCUUAAAAUGCAAACUUUUCAAACUUGGCUCCAGAGUGGAAUAUUAUGAAACUUCUCUUUGGACUGUGAACAGGGGGUAUCAUUGAGCCCACAUGCUUAUAACAUAGUCAGAUAGUUUGUAGUCUGUACUCUUGUGAAGAACAAACUUCUGGCUCUUACAUGGAGGAGGAUUUACUUAGUGGAUUUGAUCUUUAAGUUACAACUUCCUCGUUAUAAUUUUUCAUCCUGAAUUUUUUGUGCUUCAUGAGGACAAUCUAUAUGCAACCCCUCAAUAAAUAAACAGCAUAUGUUCUUUUCACAGUAAACACAGCCAUAUGUUUCCACUUUCCACAGCCAUCCUGCUUAUUUGUGUUAUGCACAACUGUAGCCAAAUGGUAACAGUCAAAGUUAGCUUGUCACAUAUGGAGAAACCCACAUAACUUGCAUCAAUUAAGAAAAACGGGAGAAUAUCUCAGAGUUAUCAAACUCAUGUCAUUUCAAACUCUUGGAAUUGCCCUGAAAAUAGAUGCAAUUAAGUUUCUUUCAGCAUAUUCAAGAGUACAUAUAUUAUCUUGGCAAUUACUGAACAGCACUUGACCCCUCUUAUUUCAGAAUUGGCUAUAAUUGAAAAUAAACUUAAUUCCAGACGGAGCAGAUGAAACUGGUGGGGGAAAGCUAUUUGUGUGUCCUCCUUAAUAUCACAAAUGGAGACUAUGUCUUAUGCAGCCCACAACUCUUUUUAAUUUCCAAAAUGCUGUACAUCGAGGGUCAAGAGGAUGUUAACAUGCAUAUCAAGACUGUAAAUAUGCAUACCAAGGAUGGAUACGUGCAAUGAGGAUUAAACAUUUCAAGGAAAGGAAAAAGAAAUGCACAGCAAGGCUUAAGCAACGGCAAUAAAGUGCACUUCAAGAUCUUGAAUACAAGGUUAGCACUGGGUGUUAAAGAUGCCCCCGUGGUAGAGAGGAAUCUAACAGGAUAAUUUGCUGUAAUGGGCAUCAAGGGUGCUCGAAGGAAAGAAGGGAAAGCCUUAACCACAUCACAGGGUCUUAACAUUACUCUGACUUCAAAGUGAUACGGUCCAACCUCUUAAGAAUCAUAAAACUAUAAUCAGUUGAAGAGAAAUCAAAGUGGGUUUUAUGCUAAAGGCUUCUGAUAAAAUUAGAACUUUUUGUCCUUGUAUUUGAUGUGCUCUGCCAGAGUUCACAAAGGGUGCAGAGUCACUUUCUCAUCUCUUACGGCCUGACUCAUGUCAGGCAGAUUUGCCGAAUGAAAUACGGAAUGAGGAGCGUUAUUUUUCUCUCUGUUUGGUGACCUGUAGAAAAGCUCAGAAAUAUGACAAUAAUAUAAUUGACUUUAUGUGUCAAUGAUUGAUUAUCAACUUUACAGUUUUUGAGUUAAAUAAAAAAACAGGGCAAAUAAAUUUCAAUCAGUGCAGACAGUCCUCAUCAGGCAGAGUAUCUGCAACUACACCUCAAAAAUAAAGCAUCUGUGUUUGAAUACUGGGGCAGUGACUCUCACACCUUCACCAGUACAAAUAAGAACUAUUUUUUAAAAGACAAAUAAGUAUAUUAUAUAUAUAUUUUACUCCUCCAGUGUAAAGUCUCCCAUGUUGAGCCAAGAGUAAUGCAAGAGUAUCCUAAACACACAGUGUCACAUUCAUAUGUAGGGUAUGUUUAUAGUAGCUAAAUUAUUACUUAUUUACUUGUAUGUAGUUUUUCCUCCAUGGCCAUGAAAACAUCAUGAUACGCAGCAAAGGUUGUGGUCAGACCCUAUAGGUAUGAGAACUAUAGUUCAGUCAGAUGCAGGUUGUAUGCCGGGAGCGUUUACUUGUGCCCUGAGGAUCUAUGUUGCCUGGUCAGCGUGAGCAGCAAGACAGAGUGGUUAUACCUCCCUGAAUCAUACACCACUGCGGUCGGUUUAUUGAACUCAGUUGGCAUGUUUGGGCCUCCAUGUGUAAAAUCAUGUCCCAUGGGAUGAACAUAGUAACUGUCUGCUCCUCGCAUCUGGACUGAAAUAUGACAGCAUUAUCGCCGGAGCAGAGAGGGGGAGAAUAAGUAAGAAGAAAGCCUUUCCCACAGAUGCAGGAAAAUAAGAGAAAUGUUCGCCAGUGAGGGACCAGGUUAGUCUAUUCAUACCCUGAAUGGCUGGCUAAGUAUCCCUGCAGUUCCACAAAAUGGCCUGUAGGCUAUUGAGCGAGCACAUCCCUCUGUGUGGGGGUUCAAUUGUAGCAAUAAUGAGUGCAGCAGAACGAUUAUAAAACACUGAGAGCAACAUGUUUCAAUUAGCAAAAAAUAGCAAAAGCUGGUAAAAGUGCAUGUGCAGUAUAUUGUAGCCUACAGCCAAUUCAUGAAUCACAGUAUCUUUAUCACAACAUUACCAGCCCAGUGUCGGCCAACUCAGAUCAUUUGUUCACUGCGAGUGGUUCAUGUGUACAAACUUCGACCCCAGCCUCAAUACAAAUGACAUUGGUUUUAACCCCCCGCGCUCAGUUCUGGGUCUUUAAGGCAAUUCAACCUGCUUUACAGAUAAAAAGAAAUAUAAUAGAAAUGAAAAAAAAAAGAGAUUGGAACAAUUUAACAUCAAUAAGACAAACAGAUCAUUGUUUUCAUCUGUUCCGUGUUUGACCAAAUUAUUUAUGAAAUCUGUUGUUUUUCAGAAAAACAAAACUGGACGUAAGCCUGAGUCUCUGAGACUUGACCGAUCCCCAAGACCUCAGUGCACAGUUAGUCCCUGACCCGGAGCUCCUCAGCCUUUUACCUGUUCUUCCCAUUUUAUUAGUUAGACCCCAAUUUGUUUUUUAUUCCCCUGAGAAACUUGGAGCAGAUGAAACAUUCGUAAACUUACAAAUCAAUAAAAUAUUAAAAUGUAAUUUAAAAUCAUGAAAACAAUUGAAAUUGACAGAACAGCAAAUAUCAAAGUAGAAAUAAAAGAAAUUGACACUAUUGGAAAGCUGCAGUAAACAAUAAUGUUUUCAGCUCUGACAGUUUGUGCACACCUGAGGAAGUUUGCUCCACAGGUGAGGACCAUAGAAGUUGAAUGCAGCUUCAACCUGCUUGGUUCUGACCUGGGGACAAUGAGUAGAUCUGUCCCUGACAACCGGAGGGGUCUGGAUGCUUUGUACCCAACCAGCAGCACUGACAUAGAUGAUAACAACCAGGCCACUGAAGAGUAUCAGGGCUUUACAACAAGCUGUCGUUUGUCUACCCGAGACUUGCCAAGUAAAGCAGUGACUGACUUUGGAGGAAGGGAUGAGCACUCCCUGGUGGGCAGUAAAUGAGGUAAAAAUAUCCUCCAGAGCUGUCAAUGAAACACAGAUGAAAAGGACCGCUACCUAAUGACCCUGAAGAAGUGAUCAGCCCUCCUCUCAUCAGAACCUCAGACAUGAAGCUAAGAAAAGUCAUUCUAAGGAGUCAUAGCAACUACCUCCAUGAACUUAACUACCCCUGAGAUGCUUGUGAGUGUGUAUUUAACACACACACGCUCGAGUGAAUACACUUGAUAGAGCUUUGUGUCGGUGUUGGUCUGGAGUUGUCGACCUGUGUGGACUCAGGCAGGAGUCUCCAUGAGAUGAAGCAUGUAGAGCUAGGGCAUCAGUAGAUAGUCGAGUCCUUAAGGAUGAAAGCUGUGAUGCGAGGAAGACAAAAGACCAAGAGACAUGGGGCUUUUGUUUUAUAACCAUCUCUUUUAAACUAAAUCAGAAAAUGUUUGAGCAUCGCACGAAGGACCAGGAGAAUAAAACAUCUCUCUGUGUCUAACAAACAGUUUUAAGGUCUACAGUGCGAAUGCUUCCUGCAUCCAGGAGAUAGCACACAAAAAGUGCCUCCACUGUGCCUCCACCCCUGGGGCUACACUUUGGCUUAAAUACGUUUGGUAGUUAAACUACAUGAGCAGUGGGCAUGGGAAUGUCAACUGUGUCCGCUGAAAAAUGGCAGUAUUACUGGAACUGGCUGUGUGCUGCUCUGCAUGGGUGAAAGAUGCAGCCCAAAGUGUCACAUUCGACCACUGCUUUCUGCCAGAACAUUUUAACGUGACUGGCAUUGAAUCUGCAAAACCCAAGGAAACAUAACAAGAGCAGUGAACAUCAUUUUUCAGAAAUAUUCUCCCUAUUUUGCUGUUUUUAUGAUGGUGUUUGAGAGGGGUGUCAUACAUCUCCAGUAGGUGCUCUCUGUGGUUGAAUUUGGUGAAGCUUUAGGAUCCAAUUUGCAUGAUUUUCAUGCUCAUCAAACUAUCCAGUGACCCUUAUUGAAAGGGGCAUCCUCAUUUUUGGAAGACCACUCCCAACAGGACAGAAAUGUUUUUUAAUCGUAGGGUAAAGGUGGUCCGUCCUGGCGACUCGGUAUUGAUUUGCAGAAACCUUUCACUCUUUUGGGACGAGUGGACCUCAAACUACGCCUUCAAAAUGAUCCUACCGCUCACAGAACCACUGGGUCAUCUUGAGAGGGUCAAGCACUGAAGUUUUCUUCGAUAGUUCCAUAGCUGACUGUUUGAAUGGUAUUUUGUUCUCUCCAUGAAUUUAAAUGGAGUCAUACUAAAUAAAGCAAAGACAUUAUGCUGAUUACAUUAACACUGUCCUAAAAGAGGAGGGGUCUUUGGUGAUCAACUCUUGCUUCUGAUCUGCAGUUAAUUUCAAAUAAGGGCCAAAUCCAAUUAAUUGGAAUCUGGCUUCAGGGUCAGUAGACAUGCGGGACCUGCCAUCGAUGAAAAUUAAACCUCCAAGGGUAACAACCAAAUCUGUUUCAAGAGGACAUUAAAAGUGGGCGUAAGCACCAAGUGUGUAUACUGUGUGAAAUUGCAAUGCGAUCUAAAUAUUCUAAAGAAUCAGCGCGUGUGUGUUUACUUCUUCGUAUUUCCUUUUCCAGCAGUUUUUCUGUCUUUAAGCCUAACAAAUGGCAAAGGCUAUUUCACUAAGUAAAACCAACCCUGAAUGAAUUAUUCUGAUAUUGGAAAACAGCCCUUUGCCCCUAAUUUGUCACCUUUUUAGAACAGAAAAUUGAUUAGACUGCUCCCAGAAUAAUUGCUUUCACUGCUACUGCCAACCUAGAAUCUAGAUGUUAACUUUUAUCCUUUCCUAACGUUGAGCUGAGUUAGAGAUUUCAGUCCUCUUCUUCUCACAUUGUGAUCUUUCUUUUUCGUUUUUUUUAUAAAGGACUAGAGGACCAAUUAUUUCCAGGAUAAGUGGAGGUGGAAUAUUAGAGAAAAGAUGAGUGGAAAAAGUUUUAUUCCUAUCCUGAUGACAGAGAAGGUGAAAUCUCAGAUGUAAUGACUCAGUGUUAUCAAACUUCAGCAUCCUUAAGGAGUGACUUACGGGCCGUAUUCUCCUCUGUUUAUCUCCUCUGACACAUUUACUGAGUGGAAGUGCAUGUUGAUGUCAGCUCACAGGUCUUUCCUUCAUAUUGAGUGAAAAGAUGUGAUUUCAAGGUUGGGUUAUGUGCAAUGAGGCUUACAGAGAUAAUCUUCUUAGGCUCAAUUUGUUUAUGUGCUUACUCAGUAAGCUGUUAGAAUUUUUGAGGAUGGUUAGUUUGUACACGUGUUACAGAGUUUUUUAAGUGAUAAAGUGGGGAGUGUGAUGUGAGGUCGUGUAACCUCAUCUGAUAUGCAAGUUUGCUCGGGGCAGGAAUAUGUCUCAGUUAAGUUUUCUUCUCAAGACCAAAAGGAAAAAGAUGAAUCAGAUGUAAAAAGAAAAAUAAACUGUUAUUGCUUGAAACAGGCUUCAAGAAAUUACAAUGAGAGAAAAUUGUUGUAAUUCAAAGUCCUUUCUUCACCCAUCGCUAACUUUGACUUGUCUUUUAUUUCUUAGUCCCAUCAGAGCCAAAAAAAAAACUGUGUAAAGUGUCUUUGAGUCUAGAACAAGGUUUUUCAAACUUUAAAAAGCCAAGGAUCCCCGAGCAUUUGCCUCCGGCAGAGACCACAAAUGUCUUAAAACACUAUAAUACAAAAUAUUCAUACUUGACAUAACGGUUCAGUAAUGAUAUCUUUAUUAUGAAUAAAUCAACUUGUUAACAAUUCAUUGGCUGUUUAUUUACUUAUUAUUAUUUUUUAACAGUCAUUUAUUGAAGAUUUAGACAGGCUGUGCUAAGAACGUACACAGGAAUCAAAAAGGAGGUUUUUCUCCUGCCCAAAAUACAAAGAAUAUAUAAAAACUACAAAACAAAUAUAUAUCAUAAAGAAAAAGUGUAAUACAGUAGAAGAGGAGUGUCAAUGUAGAUACAGUAAAUGGAACGCACCAUAAGACUUGACUUGGACUUGCCCACUGAUAACAGAGACUUAAGGACUUGGGGUUUUGUGGCAUAAUGAAUAUACCAAUGUCAGGAUGUUAAACAUAGUAGUUUCUGCCCUGAUCAUCACUUGAGCUCAGUGUAUGAGUUUACUUAUAUUAAGAAGCUAACAUGUAAAACUAGAGGGCACUGGUAGAGACUUGAGUAUCUCAUUAAAAUAAGGCAAUAAUAAUGUCUUAAUGUCUUUAUACAGUUUAAUGCCAUAUGAAUACAAUGCUGACAAUACAUCUGGGUCCAAGAUUGUGAUGUUUUACCAGGUUACUGACGGUUUAGAAUCUAGGCUACAGCUCACCAGUAUAUAAUUAAACCCCCUAAGUCUCUUCUCUGUGUUACACCAAGUCAUUUUGUCAUGUAAUAGAUUGGCAAGAGCAUUUUAAUUGGCCACGUGAAUCUGAUAUUUCUACAACUGUGAUAUGCAUUUGAGAGAAAAGAGCGUCAAGAAGACCAGCUCUGUGCAGUGAUAUCAAAUCAGUCUGUCAUUUGAGGAUAAUAAGGAUCCUGAAAUGAAAGUCCUGGAAUUGGGCUUCAUGUUAUUUUUAGCACUGAUGGCCUGAACUUCAUCAAGACAUGCAUGGAUAGAAUAAAAUUAGCAUAUAGUUAAAAAAAAGAAAAGAAACUGCUAAUGAGCCGUGUUUCAUUAAUGACAAAUCCCACAGUUUGAGGCCAGGGUGGUGAGAGUUCAACCAAACUCACGUUACUGAGAAAGUUCAUUUUCAUUCGUUUUGAGAGUUUGUACAACAUAUAUGAUUUAUUUUUCAGCGAUACUGGUCGGCUUUCCAUUUUUUCUUCUGACUCUAAAAUGGCCAUUCCUCACCUCACAACCAAUCCUAAACCAAACUACUACAUGAUCAAGCUCUUAGUUUCUCUAACCAACCACAGAACUCAGACUCUGGUUAACCUGCUGUGACUGCCAAAACUUAAAAUAGCCGAGUAUGAAAGUCGGUCCCUCUAAGGAAGUCUAAAGCCGUGCAGUUGUUUCAUCUUUUACAAUAUUGAUGAAGAAAUAAACGACCCCACAAGGUCAAAUCAUGGAAUUAAAUAUUGAAGUGACCCUGAACAUGUCUACAACUCCAGUCUGACAUUUCUUCAUGUCUGUUUGAUGAAUAUAAACUGCUUAAUCGUUGUUUAAUCAAUCAGAAAUAAUCACAGUCUAGGGAAUAAAUGUAAAAACGUGGUCAGGAGAUAUUUGGGAUCUGGAAGUACAGAUGAAGACCCAACCAGCCAGCCAGAUAUUGAGGGAGUCCAGCUGGCAGGAAUGGGGUCAACCUACCCAAACAUGCUGCUUACCCAGCCAAUGAAAAGCAGAGAAGAAUCUGACAUUGAGGGAAAAAGAUGAGGAAGUUUCAGUUGGCAACCACAAGGCAGAACAACUAGAAUGGGCUGGAACCAGUCCUGCAAGACAGGAAUAUGGCUUUAUGCCCCUGAUCUGUGCUGAAAUACAAAGCUCCUCUUAAUAAGUCCUCUCAGGCAGCUGUGACUCUGGGGUUGAGUAAGUCAUCUCUUCAUCAGAGAGUUGGUCCACAUGCCCAAGAGUCCUUGGAAGGCAAGAAACUGAGCCUCAAGUCGCUCCUGGUGUGUGAUUGCAUGCAAAUGGGGUUAGUUAAUACUGAUUGUCACAACAGGGAAUGUGAUGUGUAGUAAAAAUAAGCAAGUUCUGUUAGUGGUUAUCAUAUCAUACAUGUACGUGUCUUUGUGCCAUGAUAUCUUAGCUUUGUCUUUUAAGUUUGCACACAUAUAUGUAUAGAUGGGAAAUUAAUUUAUUUAUUUCCAUGUAUAUGUGGGUGAUGGUACAAAAGAAACAAGCUGAUAUGGUCACUGCAGAAAAUAUGAUGCAGAGUGGGUCACUGCACAUCAGAUAGAGAUGAAUUAAACUCUGGCUUUCCCUGAAGAGGUGAUGAUGGGUAGAAAAGUUGAAGUGCAAAUAUUGAUUUACCCAGUGAGAGGGGUCACUUUUCCUUUUCUGGACUCCACUUAUGUCCACCGAGGAGUCUAAAAAUUAAGCACUGCCUCUCACCUAAAUGAUACAGCAUAUUGAUCUGCCUGAAGGAAGGUUGUUCUUUAAUGUAUCUGUCCAGAGCUGACCUUGCUGUUAGUGUAACGGUGUCUUGCCACAGGCAGACACACCACACUGAGGUAAUUUUUACUUGAGUUUGCUCAGGGGGGAACAUCACACAGAGACAAAUACUUCCGCAGUCAGUCUGUCAUUAUUCUCCUUAUGGUUGGUACGUCUAUUAAGAAAUGUUCUGCUGACAUACUGAUGAGGAUAUUACAGAUAACAACCAGCGCGUUCCUCUUAUUAUCUGAAUCUCUGCCGUAAGAAUGGUUGAGUCAAACUUUGAAUUCAUACAACUUUAAAAUCUUUGGCGAGGUUGGCUAACCCUCAUUAUUUUAGAGAAGUGGAGCUAAAACUAGAACAUUUUUAAAAGGCCAUGGGGGCUACUGCCAGGGUGUGCACGUUAUAACCAGAUUCCUUAGAGGUUUCAAAUAAUUAAUAUUAGUAGCACUGUGACAGUAUAUAGAGGCAGCAUGUCUAGAACAAACACAGUAUUUAUUUAUACAAAAAAAAAAAAAAACCUGAAGCCAGAGCAGGUGACAUUUAAAAAACUCCUAUAAUUUCUCUUUUUUGGGGCUUGUCUCAUUGACUUCAGUGCAUUUUUUUUUCCCCUCAGUUGUUCGCGAUGUAAGUCAAAUACAACAGAGAAAAGUAAUCGCACACUGAUCAGACCAAUUACAAGGUGAGGAUAAUACAUACAAGGUAAUAUGACUGGGAAUAGAAAUGAGUCCAUACCCAGCAGUGCCUUUGGAUAUGCUUUCAUUGUUUAUUUUUUUUUUUGGUAUGCACUUCAUCGGUGCAGCAUGCACUGCUUGAAACUAGACUGAGUCACUGAGAGUUGCUGAGAGUCGCUGUGAUGACGCUCGGCUCAAACUGCGUAUCCCCCGGGUGAGCUACGCAAUCUUCAUACGCCCAUAGGCUGUGUCAAUCAUUGAAAACAUGAACCCCCUAAUAACGUUUAAAAAUGGAGCUGCACAGAGAAAAGAGGACUUGAGCACAAACCAGUCUUACAGUAACUUAAUGUCAACCUGUGUAAUAAAUUUCUAAAGUUUGGAGGAGGCAGACGGUGUCCAUUCUAUAUACAGUCUAUGGUCAAAACCCUGCAGCUCCAGUGUCUUCCUCUGCCCCUCCCACUAAGACUGUGUCUACACUUCAGUCAAAUCUUCCCGUUGUACUUCACAGUAACACUCAGAAACUGUGGUUUCAACAGGAUGUUUUAAGUUUCUUCAUUUAACAAAGCCCAAGUCAAAAGUGAUUUCAUGUAUUUGUCCACAUUAUUGAAGUUAGUCACUCAUUGUAAAUCUGAGUUUCCUAGAUACAGAUGCAAAUGAUGAAGUCUCAGCCCACCUCUAAUUCAUGAAGCCUCCCUGCUGCAUUUUAUCUACAAAUAAACACUGUGUGAUUGUUUUUACUUUUUGUGGUGGAAAAAACAACAGAACACACUUCAUGACAUCAAUUAUUUUAAUGUUGUGUAAAUAACAUUUAAUAUUCACCCAUGACUCAUACUAUAGUCUAAACAUUGCCCUGUAACUGCCGAGCACUGCAGUGAGGAAGCUCUGAUUUUCAUGGACAGAGUGUCUCAUACAGCCAGUGUGCACAAUGAUGGAGUAACGUAUUUCGUCAGAGAUACUCUGACAGAUUAAUCUUUCUGAUUUCAAAGUAAAAGAUUGCCAUGACGACAGCAAAUAUGAGAUAAAUGGGUCAAUCUCUCAGCUUGAUUUCAUGGUGUACUCAAGAGGAGCCAGCAGCUCACAAUAAUUCAACAAGCCAAGCAGAGGAAGUGUCCAGUGGAUGGCAUGGGGAAAUAUUAUGCUACUUGUUUGAUGAAAGCACUAUCCCUUUGAAAUAGAUUGGUUUGAUUUCAUGCAUAAUGCUCUCACUAAGCUUAUGUUAGUAUUACUGUUGUCCUGUUUGAACUUUGUAGCUUUUCAUUGUGCAGCCAUCAAAUGAAACUACACACAAUUACCACUGCUGACAAGAGCCAUAGUGUUUGUGUGGAUAAGUGUGUAUGACGCAGGCGGGUAGUGCAAUAAAAAAGACAGUGACAAAUAAAAAUAAAGCCACACAAACUGGUCCUGAUGGUAUCAUGCAUAUUCUCUGAUCAGUUUCACCCUGUUACAUUUCCCUCUUUUUUGAAUCACUUUCUUUGUGUUCAGUCCAGAUAGCAGCAACUCAUUAAACCGCCGGAUAAAACACAAGCAAAGGAGGUCACGGUGCGCGUAACGAAACGAUUAUCAGAGGCAGACCACCCUCAUAUGACUUAUCACACCCUGGAUACCUUUCUAUGAAAGGAAAAACAAACAGUCAGAGCGAGAUCCAGCGGUACAAUCAGACACAGUUCUUUCAUGUCCUGAUGUCUUGGGUUCCCUGAGUGCAGAGGCUGAGGCACCGAGCAGGCUUUGAUAAGCUCCCAAGAAAAAGACAAAAAAACAUCUAAUUAAGAUGGGCUGCUGGCACCCCUGACUACUUAUGACUGUACAGCCAGUGAACAACAAAAACAGUUCGCCAAUGUGCUCCUCACAGCAUGGACAAGAAAGUGCAAUAAAUAAGGCCCUUGUUUGAAACACAGAGAAGAUACUAUUAGCACGAUAAAUUAAUCUCUUUACCAACAAAUGUGCUACCAAAGAGCCAUUUGUGCUUGGGGAUUAUCUAUUGUUUUAAUUAAAAAUGAGGGCACUAAUGCAAUUCCCAGCAGGAGAGAACUAGCCAAGACAUUGUAAUGAGUCUGUUGGGAGCAACCACAAUACUCCAGAGCUGGUCCUCCAAACAAGCAGAAUUAAGAAACCCCAGUAUCUAUCAUCUGAUAGCUUAGAAAUGAAAACAAUCAAUUACCUAAUUACCUGACAUUCGAUUUGAAAGGUACCAUUCAACAGAUAAAGUGGGUUUAGGUUUCUGUGCACUCCUUUGUUCAGCCUCGUUCAAUGAGAACUUAAAAGCUCCUGUUUUAAACCUGCACAUAUACUGUUAUAUUUGUUUUUAUAACAAUGUCAACAUAAGGCCAACAUAAACACACUCUGUCAGGAUAACAACAACACGUGUUUUCGAAUAACAGCCAAACCGACACGUCGAAAGUAGCACGCACCUUUUACAAAACAUGUAUGAAACAAAGAGAGCAGCCAACAUGAUUAAAGUGUAUCUCAAAAACUACACAAUAUGUUGUACCUGCACUCAUGUUAAUUUCUCAAUGUGUUAAAGAAUAUGGUAAACUCUGUGUUUCCCAGAAUAAUCUGUCUCCCACCUCUAAGUCAUAGUUUCAGGCCAUGUAUGCUGGUGUGUCAGUGCAGCAUUUAUUUGAUUCAUUAGUCAAAAAGGAAAGAUAAAAGGGUAAAUUCAACUGAAUUAAUCUGAUUAAUGAAUGAAGACACUUGUAAGAAUCCUUUCUCUUAAUAACUAUGAUGAAAUAUGAUUAAAAUGUAGUUAAUUAACGACUGAAAUUUUGUGAUAAAUCAUAAUCAAAAUCAAAAACGUCAUCCUUUGGCAGCCCUGCUUCUUUAUCCACUCUUGUCUUUUAAGAGCUCAGUAUUUUUGAAACAUAAAAAAGAUGUUGCAUUAAAGCCUAGAGAGAUGUUAAAUAUCAAUAUCUUGACUCUAAAACACACCAUUCAAAGAAAGUAUAAUUGUGCAUAAGUAAAUAUACAUCAAACUUGAAAAAAAAGUACAUUCAGCAGCAGAGAAUAUUACUCUUUAAUGAAUAUUGGAAUGAAACAUCACGUGCAGAAAAUAGAUGGUUCUGGAAAACAGGAAAUAAACUGAUAAAACCUCUUUCAUUUACAUGAGAAGAAAAGAUUGGAGUAAUUAAAAAACAUGCACUUAAAAUGAAGUUUUUAUUAUUCCAGGCCCACAGGAGUGCUGCUGCAACCCCUUUGUCCUUCAUUUCCAAUUAGUCCAAUUUUCCUCAUCUCUUUUUAUAUCCCAAGACCAGUUUGCUGUUCAAACAGCAUCUGUCUUGCUGCGCCUUCAUCUCCUCAAGGCUUCAGCCUAUUUCUAAUUAAUCUGUCCCUCUAACAGCAGAGAGGGAGGAGGUCAGAAAACAGACUGAAGGUGACUGGGAUGGGGUCUACAUCUGUUUUCAUAUUGAAUAUAUUUAAUCUCCGGGGAAGACAUUGGAAUUAUAUUCAUGGAGUUCAUCUAUAGUUUAUAGAAUAAUCAUUUCUACUUGAAAGUGGAGCUGAUUGGAACUGGACAUUUAAGACUUAUACUGACCUCCUCUCCCCUACAUACUGAGUGGCUGUUAAUAAGAAAUGCUUAAAAUUAAUCAGUUUCUAUACUUAAAAAAUGAGCCACUUAUUUGUUUUAAUUGAUGACACGUGCAACACAUGCAAGAACCGGCUCUGGUAGAUCUCUUUAUGUACAGAUACUCAAAAAUAAAAUGUAACACUACAGUUUUGGUUUAAUUCAUUCAAACUGUGAUUAAAGUGCUGAAUCACCCUUGAACUGUGCUCAAAACAGCUCAAACAAGCUUUCUUUUUUUAAUGACUCGCACAAAAGCAGCUCACCUCCUGCUGCAAAGACCUUGAUCCAGCCAGAUAUUACAUUUGCCUCGAAUAAAGUGAGAGGAAGAUCACACUUAUCACCACUUUAAUUUUUCUUCUUUAAAGAACGAUGCAGGAUGUCAUCAAUUCAUAAAAGUCAAGUUCAUCUCUUGAGGUAUGAAGCUUUGUAAGAUUCAUAACAAUAUGAGAUAAAGACUUGAGGAAAACAGGGUAAACUUUGAUCCCAUUCAUGCACUUACUUAGAUUACAGAUACUCUAACCCUGUGCACAACUAAUCAGAGAUUGAAAUGCUGAUCCUGUAGCAAGGACGUUAACUAUGAUACACUUUUAUAUGUUAAUUGAGUUCAAAGUUUACAGAAGUUAACAUGAAAGUUGUUGUUAAAACUGUUUAAGUCUGAAGAUCCACAUUCCCUCUGCUGCAACAGGGAAAAAAAAAAUCCCACAAUCAAGUCCAGUAAAGAAAUCAGUCUGAACACCUUAUAUCUGUAAAAUGAACAAAUGACUUCAAAUCAGCAAAGGCUUUGUUGCCUAGGAUUCGUCUUACCAUGUAGCAGCAGAGUUUAGAUCCAUCUUCUUUCUAAGGUAAACAGCCUUAACAACAUUAACAUCCAGAUUAUCAGUAAAGCCACUAUUUAACAAUGAAGGGAUUGACAGGUUGAUGGACAUGUGCCCGAUUCUGAUUGAAAACCCUCAAACUCAAUUGAACCGCCAGUGGGUCCAAGGUCUGGGAAGUUGUUUUUCUGGGCUCCUGGGCGACCUUUGUCAAACAUUCAUUUUGAGAUGAAACACCAUGGAAGCUUUUCUCUAAGCAAAGAAAAAAAAGCAGAUGAAAAAAUGACCAGGCAGGCAUAGAUGGUGACCAUGGAAACAAAUGGUCCUUGGUCCUUGUGAAGAUUUCGCUCCAGCAACCAUGGAUGACAAGGCUGAUGGGCAUGACAAGUAAAUCACUGAGGCGAACCAGACGGAGUAACACAGUACAGUUACGUAAGGAGAAGAUCCAUAUGCAUCUUUGAUCCUCGGCUCAGUCAUGUAUGGUGGUCCGAUGACAGAAAGUGAAUAUGUGUGACAGACCGAGACACUGUUAAUGACCCAUUACUUAGAGAUAGAUUCAAUUUGCACCAGGAUAGACUGACAGCGGCUGUUUAAGCAGGAAUGGUAUGAAAGGCCACAUUUUAAAGACAUAUUAAAAGCAUACUCUAGAUGGAUGGUGUAAAAGGGUCCAAUGUUUUGCAUUUCAAAGUCCCUAAUGGAUUCAAAGGAUACAAAAAUACUGAGCACGGCUGGAAAAGAGACAGCUUCCAGCGAUGCUGUGUCUAGACUGCAUGGGCUUUUCUUUCUCAGACGUCUGUCUAUGCCAACAGCCCAUGCAGUAAAUGAUCUUUGGUCCAAUUUAAAGGUACAUCCACUUUAUUUGUGUCACUAAAACCAAAAGGCGCUGACAUGAUCAUCCCCAUUCUGGCCGCCCCUUGUCGCUAAUGUAUGACACACAAUAGCAUAAUCACCCUUUCCACAAGCACCUUGGCACAUGGCCCAAACCGUCACAUUCAUGUCCCUCGUAGAGCCUGGAUGAUAGGAGACCUUCAUCACCCGGCCUGUAAACAAGGAGUAAUUAACACACAGGAGGGCUGGCUGCUCCCAAACAGACACGGCCAUGUCGAGGACUUUACCUGACACCCAGGUGAUGGCGCAGGCUGUUCAGGGGCCCAGAUGGUGGACACCCGCAUUGGCCAGAUGGUGGCCAUUCGUGGGUCUUAGCUAAAGGAACUAUAGAGUAAGUCCUGAGUGUAUCCCAGCUUAGGCUGUGGCUGAAAUACCUCUUUAGCUGACGUACUGACUGUUACCUCCAUAAUAAAUCAUAAUCACUGUGUACACUUUGCAAAUGUCAACGAAUCAUGAUGAUAUACCAACUCUGACAGAUGUGGUGUCACUUCAAAGUAAUUCAUAGAUCACUGCUGGCUUUUUAGCGAGUUGUAGCAGUUGUGCCUAAUUAUGGAAAUUAAAGCGAACUAUGAAUCACACCAAUGUUCCACUAAAGCUGAUGUCUUAACUCCCAAAUCUGCUCCUCUAAGUUAGGUCUUUUUAUAAUUCAAAGGACCAGAAUAAAAGAGAAUUUUACUGGACCAUGUGACAGAAUAUAGGAAGUCUGAAGUUCAAUUUACCAGUGUGUUUAUUUAUUUAUUUAUUUUGGUGUGCAUAUGAACUGAUCAAAUCAUUCAGAUGCCAGGUGUGACAAACCCGCCUUGUGCACAUCUCACAUGCAAAAUCUAGAAAACAGAAGUUUUGCAAAUUUUUCCAACAUCUGCGCACAAAUCGUAGCCAAAGUAUACGGAAAAAUAUGAAAAACUAAAUAUAUAAUUUCAUUAAUUUUUUUAUUUUUUUGGAAAGAAUAAAAUGUUUUUUUAAUCACGGGAAGACGUUCAAAAAGAACUUUGGAAACAGCUGCAUUGAAGGGAGAAAAAGGAAAAACAUGAAUGAGCUCCUGAGUGUGAAUUCCUCUUCUGUAAAGUUGUACAGCUGUUGCAGCUCGUCUGAAUCUGUGAAAGUAAAAGGAGAUUGCUCCAAUACAGGAGUUAAUUUUCUCAUAAUGUCUGUAUUGAUCGUCCGGCUGAUAUCUGAGUGAUUUUGUGGAGGACAGCUUAGUUGAGAGAAAAAGCUGACAACAAUUUGUCCCCAAUUUAUAUGACAAAAAUAUUUGUGUCUUCUGUCGAUAUCCAUUAGGAUUCUCGCCUUGACCUCUCUCUGCUGACAUCAGCGAGUCACAAAGCGAGAGAAACCCUGGGAACAAAGUAAUUAAAGCAGUCUGAAGCCCGGGGGAUCACUUUAAUAUGUGUUUACCCCUUUAAUUUAAUUCAUUACUGUACUAUAAACUAUGCAAAUGACAAGGACACGCUACAUCAAUUACUUUUUAAUGCUAUGGGCGCUGGCAGGUUUCCAUCAUUUCCUUGCAGCCAUCUGCACUUCUAAAAGUCUUAAAAUGCAUGUUUGCAUCUGUAUCACCACAUGUAAGUCCGACAUCUUCAAACAGUUCCCUAUGCAUAAAAAAUAGGUGACUUAAAUAAUAUGUAAAAGGGUCAUCUUUGUUUACAGCAGCAUGAUAAGGCAUCUGUGAUGACGGUGUUUCUGCAAAGGCUCUAUGAAUCCAGAUGCCGACUGUGGCCCUUCUGUUGGAAAGAGGGAAUGCUGGGUCAUCAUUUAUAGAAGAAAACGCUGAUUCAACCUGACUUUUGGUUCACCAAGAAACAGGCAGAGAGAUGGAACUGAGCCUCCGGGCCAGCAGCAACAUUUCUUAUGCCAACUCAGACACAGAUGCACAAAGCCGGUUUUAGGCCUGACUCAUCCCUUCAAACAAAAGUCAACAAAGGCCCAUAUCGUCAGAUUGACUAACAGACUGAUUAUUCUUCUCUUUGAUCUGUGGGAAAGACAAGUGGAGCCACAUCUUCUUGGAAUCAUUAAUAUUAAACAUGUUCAGCAUUUACAACCUAAAAUCCUUGUGUGUAGGGAUCCUGAGGACGGCUUACCAUGCACACUGACUAUUGUUACAGGUAACGACUCGAUAGACAAUCAGAGCGAGCCGACCAAGGUAGGAAGAACAACAAACGCAGCCAUGGCAAUGAUAGUGACAAACUGAGAUGGACGUUCAAAUCAUACAGGAUUUCCUGUUAUGAGAGUCUGGAAAUGGUGGAUGUGUGUGGUGUGAGGUUUUUCUCACAAUGUUGCACACCACACACUGUGAGAACAAAACUUUCAAAUCUGUCAUUAAUUGUUGUCGAGUGUAUAUUUUUUAAAUUUGUAUUUAUUUUUUUAGUUUCUCAUUCUCAUUUUUUUCGAUUUUUAUUUUUAUUUUAUUGGAUUUAAGGUUCUCAGAAUCCUUCGGCAAGACACUUGACCCCACUCUCCCCCGCUGGCUAGACCCAGUGGUGUGUAGGUGGAAUUAGGACCCAUAUUGUCUUGGUGUCUGCACCAAAACAUGUAUCGCUGUUUACACAUCCUAUUGUACAUAGCUUAGUGCAUUUACAUGACAACGCAAAAUCCUGUAGCACAUAAGUGUAACAUGCUGCGUCUCUGCAUGAGUACUUGUUGCUGUUGUAGUUGGUGUUGUUGCUGUUCUAAAUGUUGGUAUAAAAGUCGUAGCAAUAUUUGUAGUUGCUGGAACAAGAACAAAAUCACCCCAGCUACCGCCAUUGUUGUUGCUGCUGUGUGCGUGAGGGAGGAGGACGGGUGCAAUGAGGUCACCGUCUUUUCCGGACUUAUCUGUUUAUACCAACUACAGCAUGAAGACGAAUACCCAGAUAUCCAGCUGCAGACCCGUUUUCAAAAAAGAUGCGGAGUCAUGGACAAACCCACGUCUACGUGUGUCAAUAUCACCAGAUGGAUCGUUUAUUUUACCGGUGUCUUCGUACUCGUGUAAAGACCACCUUAGUCAGAAGCUGAUUGGCUCUGUUCUCAGCAGCCUCUGCCAUCAGUGUGUGAAUGUGACAUGUAAAGUAAAAGCACUUUGAACAGUGUAGACUCCAGAAAGUGCUUAUAAACAGAGUCCAUUUACCGUAACUGUGAGGAGAAAAUUGGAUAUUGUGACAGCCCUGCUUGGACUGUUUUCAGACAGUUUAAGCUGUUAAAGUUAACAUAUAUACAUGGAUAUGUGAGAAAUCUCAAUUGUAUUCCACAUUACUGGUACAUUUGACCCAAAGCUGUGAUAAAGUGGUGCUUCUAUACACUUGCACUUCUUUAAAAAUGACCACAUUUGAAGAAACCCUCAUGAGAUGUGAUUCUGAGAGAUUUUCCAGCUGCCUUGUCUGCGUUGUAAAUGAAAGCGCUGACUCAAAUUAUCUUCAGACAAUGCGAUUGCAAGACAUCCCUCAUUUAAAGUCUCAGUAUGGACUCGCCGCUUUAUGUGAGAGCUUUACAUUAAUAUGGAUGUCAUGUUAACCCUCUGAAGUGUUACAUCACUGUUCAGCAGCGAGGAGAUCAGGAUGACACAUACAAAGAUGUGCUGAAGUUUUCCCCUCAUUACAUAAUGUGUGUCCCUUCAACAGCAUAAUUGCCAUAACCAGGGGAGCCAUCGCAAACUUCUGUCACUAAGUGUUCCUCCACUCAUAUGAAAUGUUACGGCUUGACGGUACCUGCUGCUAUCCUUUCAUUUCUAAUUCAUGGCGUUAAUAUUGCUCGGGGCUAACUCCGGGGAACUUCAUGACGCAAAGUGCAAUGAACUUCUCUCCCUGAAAUGAAAAGAACAAGUGCAGAAUAUUGAUAAGGUCUGUAUUAUCUCAUCAUAUAGAGGCUCAUAAUCAAACAUUGUAAUCCUUCUGCAAUGGUUGAAUGUGCACUUCAUCCAGAAAUCCAGAUAAUGACGGGGCUAAGCUUUUUGAUCUAAGCAUUUUGGAGGAGAAACUGAAACUAUGAUUAACCUAAUAAAAGAAUGAUAGCUUCUUUGAUGUUCAUGCGCAGAGAUAUUGGGGAGCUCUGGCUUAAGAUGAGGCAGAUGCUGUUUGUUUUUUGAUCUCUGUAAUAAAUCCUCUGAGUGGAGUGCAUGAACCCUCACUGAUUCCAGUAAGUAAAAAAAAAAAAGCUCCAAAUAGUCUGGUUCACCCCAGUGAGUUUUUAAAAUGAAUUAUUUGGAAAAAUAAAUCAAAGUCUGAUAUUCUACCACAAAAUACUUCAACAUAUCAUUAGUCAUUUUAACAAACAAAAACUGGAGCACAGAGCACUUUUUAACAUUUCUCCACCUGGUUUUUUGUUUCAACUUUCAAACUUAAAUUUCAUUAACAAAUGGUCGUCAACAGCUGCAUGAACAUGAAGAACCCAACGAUAGGUUGAGAUUGGUAAUCUGAGAAUAUGAGGUUUUAUUAGCAAUCUUUGAUUCUUUAUUUAUUGUUCCAAAACAACUUAAAGUCCAUCUCAGAUCGUUUUUUUCUUUACUUCUUAAAGUUUUUCUCAGUGGUCUUUAAAUUGUGGUUAUAAAGUUUUUAGCCAAAAUCACGUUACCUGUGUCAUUUUCAACGGCUUUUCUUCUGCAGAGCUCCAGUAGCUCAUCAGCAAUUCACCUGAGUUGUGGGCGGAGACAGCGCUGCUCUGCACACUCCUCUUCAUGCUAGCUUGCAGCCAAACAUGUAGAAGUAGCAGGUAACAUAGGAGCUAGUCAGCCCUCAAACACGAAUAUCUUCAGGGACAUGAUGAAAGUUAAUGUCAUAAUUAGCUUUCUUAUGAGCAUUUCAAUUCACUAACGCACACGCUUGUUCCGCAAUCGUCCUUUCUGCUUUUCUGAGUGUGGCCUGCAUCGCUGGGCUCCGUGGGCGGAGCUUGGAUUUUCUUUGAAGGAAAUCUCACUGUAUCUGAGCCGGCGGUUUGGGUCUGCCAGAGAUUCACAGCGGUAUGACUGCAGAAAUACUCUAGUUAGAAGACACUGAUGUGUGUUUAUUUAAAGCUCCUGUAAGCUUUGACAGUGUGACUCUACACAGGAAAACAAUGAGAUUAUAUGGGGAUUACUUUUUACCUGAACAAAAAUCUCAUAAUUAGUUAAAGACUGAAGACUAAAUGCUGUCAAACCUCUGUCAUGUUUAACUCUAACUUGAGCAGACACAGACUGGAUUAACAUUAUCAGAGGACCUCUGUGUGUUCUCAAAUAUGUUUCACUGAUUUGUCCUGGAUUUUCUUUUUCUUCACAAAUUACAGACAUUGUUGGUUCACAUGGGAUUAAAACUCUGUUUCCUGCUCCCACUGCAAUUAUAACAAAUUAUCAGAGGUCUCUUGGUGCUUCUAAUGCUGUGCUUUUUUUUAGAGCUAGCUGUGAGUGAAUUGGUCUUUACCAGGAUUAAUAUGUCCAAAAAAGAGGCACAGAUUUGUGGCGGCAUCAAUGCAGUAACUGAACACAAAAAAGAGGUAUGAAAGUAAGAUAGUUAAUCAUUAAAUACGCUUUACUCUGCUGGUGUUGCAGACAAAAAAGUCUCAAACUCUCAGAGAUGCAAAAACACAGUUGAGUGAAAUGUACUCAUGCGUUGAUAGUUUGUGUUAUAUUUAAUGAGUCUUGUUGCUAACUUCCAAACCUCGGCACGAGGAUGUUAGACUGAUGGCUUCUUUUCAGCAGAAUUACAGUCAAAUACAGUAAAUAUGACAACAUAUAUUGACGUAUCUGAAUUCUUUUGUUUUCUUUUAAGGAGUUAAGAAAAAUGACGGGAAUCCUAUCUUAAAAACCAAAUUUAAAUUACAGCUGUUGUGGAAAUGCAAAAGGUAAAAUAAAGCUUAUGGCUGAGGUAUCAUGCUCCGUUUGCAUGAGUGAACUAGAAGUUUAUAGAAUACCAAAGAAAUAAUCUGCAAAGCUAGAAAGCAAUGAAGGGUGGUGAGUCAGAGACAGAUAACAGGGCAGAGAUGAGGCAGGAAGAAAUCAGGGAUUGAAAGGGCACAUCACCAGCAUCUCCGAAAUCCUCUGUCGAGAGGCACUGCACAGUCACUGACAGUGUAACAUGUUGAGAUCAUUAAAAAGACCCACUCUGAUCAGUAGAUUUUAAAGCCAUUCAAGCAAUUCAGAUACAGAGAAAAAAUCUAAUCUGCAGCAUAUCAGAGGAGCUGUAAAUGAAACUCAGCGGGAGGAUCUCAUGUUGACGUCUGGGUGGAGCAGAGAACUAUUAAUCUGCUAUAGACAGCCGAGGGCCCAGCCCACCUGCAGAGUCGAUUUUAUACGCGAGCAUCUGUGCUUGAGAACUUAUUUCACUCCAAGCUUCAGCUGUGAAAACUAAUGAAAAAAGCAAACUUUCACACCUGAAUGAGAUACUAUUUAAUAACUGCAGAUCCAAUAAAUACUGUAUAUAUCAGUGUGACGAGGUACUUGAGUCCGAUCAGGUAGUCUUCCACAUCACUUUUCAGUUACCAUCAGACUGCAGCUCAUCAUUUCACGAAUUUCAGAUCCAUUGUGUACCUUUUUCUUUUCAUGCUCUCUUAAAGAGCUCACCACGACCACCGUCCCACUAACACCACCAGGGAGCUGCUUUAAAAACUUUCUGCUCUAACAUUUUUCUUUUCUAUGCCGGGAAAUCUAUCUCAGCCCAACCACAGGGGGCUGUUUUCUCUUGUCUUUUAUGUCUGGAUUUGCAAUUCUUUGGGGCUUUAAAAAUUCUUUAUUCUGUACAAGAAACAAUAUUGUUAUGCUUCAGGCUAAAACAUCUUGCAGUCUUCUGGGUGUAAGUUUUGAGACUGUCCUUCUGAGAAAAAUAACAAAUGGCAAAAACAACAUACAGAAACACAGACUCCUAUCACACUUCCAGGCUCCAUUCACCGGCCAACAAUGUUUUUCUGUCAAGACUGAUCCCAAUUAUUUCUCACCAAUUCAUUGAUUUGUCAUACUCCAAAAGGAAACGAUGAACAACACAGUUUGUUUCCCAGAAUUCCCAGACUGUCCUUUCCUACCUAAAGACAAUAUCUCUUUGAGGAUAUAUUGCAAAAGCCGUUUUUUCUUUUACUUCUGCAGGCUCUGUUUUGACUGAUUUGGAACGAGAGCAGCACUUGAGCUGAAGGACAUCAACCGAAUUGAACCUUUAGAAAAAAAAAAUCCAGUUUGACUUUCAUUUUUAGUUUGGUGUUCUUGGAGCGGCCGUCAAUAAUUUCUCUUUAUAAAACCAUUUCUUUUAUUCUGACUUGCAUUGAUUUUGUGGUAAGAGAUUUCUCUUGAACCUGAAAAGAAUUCAUAGUAGAGGAGGGCGCAGAAAAGUCUUUUUUGUCGAGGAAGGUUCCCAAUUGAGUGAAACAACCUGGAAGUGUGAAAGUAUUUGCCAUAAUAAAAGCUGUUUAACUUCUCCAAAAGACAAGGAGAGGAGUUCUUUGCUUCUUAGAUUAAAUGUGACUGAUGUCCUACCAAUGACCGUGGACUGUGGUUUCUCAUGAUACUUGUUUUGUGAGAUCUUAGUGCUGCUUUCAAUACAAGUAGAUCGUGUUACAGAGGCUUGAAUGUCAAAUAGGUAUCACAGGGACUGCUUUAGCUCGGUUUAAGUCACAUUUGACAGUUGUUCACUGGUGUCACCGUGUCAGUGUGUGGGUGCCCCAAAUUAUAUGAUACCUGGAGGCAAGUGAGUGAGGAGGUCAGAUUACCUGGUAAGUUGUAAAAAACCUUUGUCUAUCACUUGAUCCCGCUGGUUGAAUUGGCAAAUUACCGUUGAAAUUAUGUUGACACGCAAAUAAAGCGAGUAAGACCGACUCAUCCAGGCAUCUAGAUUCACGUGAAUGAGGUGAGUAGAUGAUUUUACUCAUGAACUGUGUAACUAUGGUAACCCUAGUAGGACAAACUCAGAAUUUUGACAGCAGAGCAGAACAAUUACAUAUGAUUAAGGCUGAAAGUGUUCAGUCUUAGUUAUACUUACGAGUAACACAACACAACACCAUUCACAGAUAAGUGUAUGGACAGGCCAUUAUGUAGACAAACCUUAUAUCUUCUCCCCAUGGGGUUCAUUUUUAAACAUUUCAUCUGAGGCGGUAUUUCAGCUGAGUCUAAAUACUAGCAGGGAUGUGUGGAGGUUUCUGUAUCCCAAAAUAUAAUGAAUACACAAAGGAGUGACACAGCCUGUAGCAAAACCAAAUGAGACACCUCGUGGUGAAUUUUUCUGUCAAAUAUGCCUUCCCGUGUUUCCUCAAAAGCCCAGAGAUAAGGCUGGAGAGAAAGUCAUUUUGUUUUAAGGCGUGCAAGUGACACCAGGAGAGCAAGAAACUGCUUUGAAUUUGUUGUCAUGUGAAUAAAAAACUUUUUUUUCUUCCUCUCAGUGGCUGCGAGUUCAGAGGAAACAAAUGAAAUGGCUUCAGAUCGACACACAAAGUCAAGAUACGUUAAAUGACAGAUUGUUCUGAUGUGUUUUAAAUAAGAUUUAUCUAUUUUAAAACUGUUGUAAAACUGGUUGUAUCGUACUUCCCUAAUUAAUUUGACCUAAGACUGUUUAAUUAUUAGCAGUUUUUUUUUUCUUUUUGUUUCUCUUAUUUAUUCACUGAUGAGAGGAAAAGAUGUGGAAAUAAUAAGGACCUUCAAAAAAGUCAGAGGUUAUUUUUCUCCCAGCGUCAAAAUUUAAAAGACAUUAAAUGAAAUAGGCAUUAAUAAAAUGUGUGAAGGUGCAAGUUUUUGUCUCGAUUUCAAUUUCCAAAAUGCUAAAUUUCUUAUGGUACACACAUAUGUUGACAUCUUAGAUUACAACCCCUGUUCCAAAAACGUUACGGCAUUGAGUAAAAUGUUAAUUGUACCGAUUUAAAUGAUUAGUAAAUUUUUAAACACUUUAUUUUCGAAGAAGAGGAUGAUGAAGAACUUUAUUGAUCCUUGAAAGGAAAUCCAAUUUAAUUAAAAACAGUGCAAAAUUAACACAUGACAUUUUCAGACUGAAAAAUGCUACAAGGCCCAAAACCAAUAGUGGAUGUUAGUCGAUUUCAACCCCUCAGGCAGAACUACAUUUAAAACAAUCAUUACUCUGUCUGUAGUGGAAAUCACUGCAUGGCUUAAAAUCAUGACCGAUAAACAUCAGGACAGUUUUCGGACUUGGACAAGGUGGACUGAGCACUGUCCUGCAGUGUGACCAAUUUUGAAAAUCAUGUAUUUUUGUCACAAUUCCAGGACACCAUGAUUUUCUGGGUCAUUUCUAGGAGUCUAGUGUGCAUCAAAUAUACACUUCCUGCAGGCUUGUAGCAAAUAAGAGUCAACUCAUUUGUUUAAAGUAUUAUUCAGUUAACCAAACUGACUAUUUAUUUCAGACAGAUGCUGCUAAAUCAAAGCACGAAGGGAAUCAUAUGUUCAGGUUUUCUGAGCAGAUUUUUCCCAUCUGAUAAAUGCUUUUGAAAUUAAAAAGAAAGUCUCUAAAUUCUCCCUUUUAAUCAGCUCCGUUUGACUUUUAAUCAAGAAGAAAUAAACAAGUUAACAAACCAUGUGAGAGAUGUUUUAUGCAUCGAAUAGCUCCAUCAUCCUAAUGUUUAGUAAUGAACAGUGGGGGAGUGAUGCCAUGCGGCCCUGUGGCCAGAAACAACAGACUGAAAGACGGGUGAGAGAUCCUUUUGCCCUUAAACAGUGAGCUGCCUUUGUGAAUUUAGAUGCUGCUCUGCUAUGCACCUCCACACGCUAGCAUCUCCUGACAUCAAAAAGACUGGCAGCCUUCCCACAUUUCUUGUGGUGCUCAUCACAUCGUCUAACACCUCAGUGAGCACAGGGGGAGAACAAAAAAUCUGCAUGAAAUCAUCAGUAUGGCAGGUUAUGAUCCAGUGUCAAGAAAAGACAAAAAGGAAGUUUGUCUCAGUUGAACUCAGGGUGCCUCAUUAUGUGGUCUAUAGAGAGGGAUUUCGACUGCAUGACUAAUGUGCAGUUCUGUGUAUUCCAGAGGAUCUACAGCCACAUGAAAUUGCCCACAGGAUGCAAACUCUGUUUUGGAAAGAAAAGACACCAAAUAUGCAAACACAAUGAAAACAAAUAUUUCUUCUCUCUCUUUUUUCUGGCUUUGAUGUCUGUGCGUCUAGUCGUUGCCACCCCUCACACAGCCUCAGACCAUCUACAGAUUUGAAGGAUUUUCUGCCCUCAAUUAACCACACUGAAUAAUUUACUGCACUGCAUUCUGAAAGACUAGAUUAGCCGGAGAGGAGGUAGAAAAUGUCAUAUACUCCAGGAGCUGAAUCAAUACACAGAAUUACAUGGUCUCUAAUUAAAACAUGGACCUGUGCAGGUCUCAUGUAGUCACAUCGAACCUCAGCUUCCCUAAAAACCAUUUACAUGAAGGUACUUCAAAUAGCUGCCAUGAGCACAGAUGUAAUGGUAGUGCUCCACAAAUAUAUUUAAUGCAAGACUCAUACAUAUUUCAUAUAAGGGUACAGUAUAAUCAGUCCCUGUUGCUCAACACUAAAGGUCAUUACCAGGGCGAAUUUGCAAAGCGAAUAAUUAACCUCUUUUAAAAAAAAACUCAAAAAGUCAAUGCAAGCUUCCACACCAGCUACGGACUUCUGCAGAGUGAAAAACGAACUUAAAUUUUUUCGCCCCUGUACCAAAUUUUGUGACCAUUCACAGAUGAACUGCCACCUUUCGAACAGGCAAAAGGCAUAAGCUGAAUAUUUCGCAUUUUCGUCCAUGUAGAUUCUUAUUGAUCCAGGUCAUGGAUUUCUUGAAGACUCCAAAAACAGGCAACUGGACUGUGUAGAGUCGAGAAGACGUUUCGCCUCUUAUCCAAGAAGCUUCUUCAGGUCUAAAUAUUGCUAAUGUGAGGAGCAGAUAUUUAUCUAACUGGAGAAGGGGACAGACAACGACUGGGAGGAGUUGGAAAGAAUGGGUCGUAGAAAGCCAUCUCCGGGUGUGCCAGAGAGAUUGUGCCUGAGUCCCCCCCCUCUGUUCAGAGAAGGUUUCUCCAGCCGGGUCAAGAUGGCUUCUUUAACUCCUCUUUAGAACCAUCUGUCUUCUCUAGCCAACACCUGUACAUUGAUGUCCUCGAAAGAGUGACCCGUGUCCUUUAAGUGAAGGUGGACAGCUGAGUCCUGACCUGAGGAAGGGGCUCUCCUGUGUUGUCUCCUGUUGCACAAGCGCAUGGCUCAACACAGGAGAGCCACUUCCUAGAACUGAAGAAGCUUCUCGGAUAAGAGGCGAAACGUCUUCUCAACUCUACACAGUCCAGUUGCCUGUUUUUGGAGUCUUCAAGAAAAUUUAACUUUGCUUCGCUAAUUCACUGGUGUGUAACGACCUUAAUUUAGGGUGAACUUAAACUGACUUCAUUCAAUCAGAACUCCUUUAACAUAUCAUCAAGAAGGAACCCUAACUCACAGAUUCUUCACCCAUUAGCUGGAUAUGUGUGUAAUUAUGUCUUAUGCUUAAUGUGAAACUUCACACUAGUAUUUUGUGACAAACUACACCGGACAAGUCAAUCACUCAAGGAUAGACUGUUUUACAGUCUUGCCAUCUGGCUGAUGUCGAGCCUGUCUUUACUCUUCUCUUCGGUUAACAUAAAAUGAUGAAGAAAUCAUUCAGAGGACGACAAAGUGAAGUACUUAUAUUACAAAAACAAAAGAUUUUCUGUCACUACAGUGGAAGAAAAACUUCCUCUGCAAAUUGCUGGAAAUAAAAAGUCACAAGACUCGCCUUCAUUAUACCAAUAUGAUUGUAAAAAUGUCAAAAAGUCUGUUUCUCGCUUCCUUUUUUCUUUCUCCUUUUUGUCUUUUUCUCUCUGUGUUCCUCUCUCUCAUCUUUCACCCUAACCAUGCCUUCACAGAGAAUCUGUCUUGGACCAAAGGGAAACACAACAGUGCUCUAUCUGACGAGACAGCAUCGGGAACACGUCCAGCGAAAAAUGGGUGCAAUUAGUGUCUCGGAGAUGGUACAACAGCUGCAGGACAGAAACAUUCCUCAGAGUUGUCCCCCAAAGACUGAACACCACAAAUCUAAAAAGCACUGCGGAAAGUAUCAGCUUGUAGUGCUUUUGUUGCAGCAAUAAAAUAACACUGUGAUUAUGUAGACCUCCAUGGAUAGAAGUGACAAGAGCCAAGCACUUGUUAACACCGUCUUCCUUGAGCUGUUAGCCUGUUCUCAGUGUGAAAAAUGAAGUCAGCACUCGUUGUGACAGAAUCCAUUCCAUGUAGUUUUCUAAAGAGGAAAAUACUAGAUGAACUUGCCACUUCACAGACAGCAUGGAGACAGAGAGCACAAUGAACUGUGAAGCAAAGCCUGAAAUUAGGAGGUAAAAGCCCCCGCCUGGAAAAAGCCCACUCCAGAAAGCUUUGACUGGAGACACGAGGAAGCUCUCAGUGAAACGUGAAAACGUGUUCUCGUCUGUAAUCCUGAAGGAACUGGAUAUUUACGGACCUCAUAUGGCAACAGUAAGAUUUUGAAACCUAAUACAUUGGUUAUUGUAGGUUAUAUGGCUGAUAAUGAGGACAAAUUAUCAGUACUUUUCAUGAUAUUAAGCAUCACUGAUAACAGAAGACAGUUUACUGUAAGUGUGUUCUUCAUUGAUUUUCCUCUGCUCAAACAAAGAGCUCAGGCCAGCUCAGAAGCUGGUUUUAAAGGAGUCUACUGGGAGAGUGAAAAUCAGACGUGGUGUCAAAAGCAAAGCAGCCGAGGAGCUCUCUCCUUCAGGAUUAUGCGGCUCUUAUUAGAAAGAAAACUCAAAUGCCUGACUGUCUUUGCACUUGCAUCAGAUUUCCUGACACAGGAGAUUCAGCUGUUGAGAGCACCUACCAGUUAAAUGAUGCUUCAUAGCCUAUAACUGGAGGAAUAUGAAAUAAAUUAAGAUUAAAACAAAGUAUGAUGAUGAAAGACAAAUGAUCAGACCAUGGCCUGCUACUUAAUCAACUUAUUCACUGACUAAAAGAGGAUUGCAUUAUUACCUUUUCGAUUAGAGUGGCCGGUGUAAUGGCAAUGUUCCAGAGAGUUAGUGAGUGAUUCAUAAUAAAAAUCAUAUAGAAGCUGAUUUUCAGCAGGAUGAUGUGUUUCCAUCUUAAUAACUUUAAUUGAUAUUGAUGUUGUGUUUAAGAGGUGCAGACGCUCAGUUUUGCAUUUCAGCAACAGUCAAAUUAUCUUGAUAUCUGAAAUAAAAAAUGGUGAUGCAUUAGAAAUAAAAGUUUGAAACCUCAACAUGGAAUAUUAAAUGUCAGACACUGGACACAGUUGUGCUUAUUUAAGUAAUGAUUGUGACUUUGUCAUUGUCUAUUUGUAAAUACUUUUCCAUGUAAUAUAAAGUUUUAUCAAGUAGUCUCCUGAAAAAAAAUUAUACUUCUUGCUGAUCUAUCUUGACAUCAAGAAAAAACUUUUUUCAAGAAGUCAUAUAUUUUGUUUUACUCUGCUCUGUAUAACUACUUAAUAAUGAAAGUCCAGAAUCCACCCAACAACAAAAGUACAACCCGCUGUUGAGUCGCUGUGAUGCGCUUGGCUCAAACAGCGUAUCCCCCGGGUGAGCUACGCAAUCUUUGUACACCUAUAGGCUGUAUCAAGUGUCAAUCAUAGAAAACAUGAACCCGCUUAUAACUUCAAAAAUGAAACUGCAAAGAAAAAGAGGACUUGAGCACAAACCUGUCUUACUGUAACUGCAUGUCAACAUCACAAGUAGGGGGGAGGAACAUUUAUAUUCUGUGUGAUAAAUUUCUAAAUUUUGUCCUCAGCUCCAUAAGGAUUGCUGGAGGAGGCGAGAUUUAUGACCUAUACUGCAGCCCGUCACCAGAGGGUGCUGUUCUCGCGGUGGUUUCACCCAGCGAGGAGGCAGACGGUGUCCAUUCUAUAUAUAGUCUAUGAUCCCUCCUAUUCACAUCUCACUUCACUGAGUCUGUGGUGUCCUUUGAGGACAAACAGCUGAAGAUUACACAAGCCUCUUGUGCAUAAACAUGAAGAAAACUUUAUAAGCAAAUGGGUCAAGUCUUCAAAUACAUUCAGCCAAGUUAAAUCCACCUCUGAUAAUAAUAAUAAUAAUAAAAACAUACUGAGACUUUGAGGUGUUAAAUACAACUCUUUAAACCGACUCAGUCUUUGAUUUAGGAGGUGUUUUAAAUCAGGACACACGGUCCAUUAAUUCAAAGGCGAUGAAAGAUUUGAGAAAAGGUCAGAAUAUAUUCUGGAUAUUGAAUUGGAAUAGUACAUGAAAGAUAUGUGACUACCACUGCGAAGGCUUGAUUGUUGGCCACAAGUUGGUAGGCCCACAAUACAGAUUUGACACACAGCAGAGAUUGAUCUGACCCUUUUGAAGAUGUGUGGUAGAAGAUCGUCAAAGAGCAAAAGGGCAUUUUCAGGAAAGAAACUCUUCUCCGCUGUAUAAUCCGUCCUGCUGCCCUGAAUUCUGUUUUGCUAAAAGGUUUAUUAUGUAUGAAUUUUCUUGGUCAUUUGAAAAGAAUUCCUCACACUGACGACCUCCAUGUUUGACACUUAAAACCACAUAAAAAGAUCUCAAGGCUUCUGAACACAGUAGACUUCAGGAAGUGAAAACUUUUUAAGUUUUAUUCACGAGGUGAAAGAGUUGAGAGCGCUGCAUAUAAGUGAGACGCAAUGCAGCAGCAUGAUAAACAAAAAUGACAGUGAUGGAGUAGCAGCUUUGACUGAGUUGAUGACACCGGAGAGUGAGUAAUCUAACAAAUUUCUCCAUUUGGCUAUGACAUAUCUCAGCAGACGGAUGAUAAAGAUGCAAGUAUGAGGAUUAGAUCGACCAAAGAAUUCAAGAAAUCCACGUGCUCAGAGGCAUAGAUCCUAAAAACCAUGGACAACAUAGGCCAACAUAGAGUCCUGGAGGAUUGUCUGCUUAUCAUUACUUUUUUCCCCUUCAAUCUAGGUAUACUUCAAGUUAUCUAAUAAAGUGAAAUACAGUUUUGUUUCUAUUGUUUUGAGGUCAUUCUGCAGUUGUGCUUCUCUGUAACUUAUGUGUGUCUCUGGUUGUUCUCUCAGUUUGUGGUUGUUUAGCAUGAAUCUUAUUGUACUUCUUCUGUAUCCUUUCAAAUUUCCCACAGAGCUUUUUACUGGAGUGUUUUUUGUGUCUUUGCAGAUUUAUGUAAUUCGGUGUGGACGUAGUUCUUUCCAAAGUUAUAUUACCAUUGUUUUUUUUUUUUUUAUGGUUCCCAGGUUUUUCAGACAUUUAUCAUCUAUUUAACAUAAUCCAAACUCAGGACUGACCUCAUGAAUACAUAGUUCCAUAGUCCAUAGAGUAUUAUGAAACAGUAGGGCAGCUGCAUUAUACUGUACCUUUUUGAGAGAAAGAAAUAUUGAUAUUCUAGAAAACAGGCACAGUGGACUGCAGGGGGCAGUAGUGGCUUCUUCACUAUUGCCAACGGCCCUAUAACUGAAAAAAGACGUAGAGAAAAAAAACAAAAUUUACAUUAACAGGAACAUCAUAAGAAAUGGUUAACUCUUUUCCACGGUUGAUGGGAUUUUUAAUUAUUUAAGAUAAAACACUUUUCAGCCAGUGAGCAGAUGUUCUGUCAAUCUGUGUUUUCACUAUAAUACGAUGGGUGGCGCUGUGACGGAUCACGUGGAGAAGUACAGCACUCCCACUUUUAUGAACAAGCAAAGAAGCUCAACCUUAACGGAAAGGAGCCAGGUGCAGGUGGGGAAAGAGUAAAUGACCUGUUAGUAGGUCUGUUGAAUUCUUAUGACUAAGGUUUAUGAGGUAUCGUGUCGCUCCAUCCUUGCUUACCACCCUUAAUUUGGUAGAAAGUGUUAUGUUUCUAUUCCAGCUUCCUAUGUGUAUCAUAAAGAUAAGAGAAAUAGCCACAAUAAACACACAUUUAUCUUUUCAACAGUCUAAUGUCUCUUUUCCCUACUGUAAGUAUUGCAGCGUUGCUCUACCAAGUCACCUGUUAUUUACUUCAUGUCUCUCGUUAAGACGACUGAGGGAAAGUGUUUCUGACAACAGACUUGUGUAUAUGCCAAUAUAAUAUAGAGAAGUGGUUGCAGAAGAACCUUGAAUGGCAUGUUUUUUUUUCUUAUAGCAUAUGCAGUACAUCAGGAUAAAGGGACAUAUGUUCAGGUAUAAGUAGCACUGGCAUUAGCUUUAUAGCAGAAUAACCACCUUCACAAGACCACCCAGUCACACUUAGGAACAUCAAAGUGAAGUAGAAUACCAGGGUCAUGCACCCUUUGGGCUAAUGCAUGUUAUAUAACUGGCACAUAGACAACGGACUUGUAUGUGUUUUGACCCCAGCUGUCAUGGCAACUGGUUGGAAUGUAUGUGAAAGGGCAACGUAUAAUAAAAAAGUACUUAUAAUGGCUGGAGGCAGAGAUUCACUGUAAGCGGCUGCUACAAGUGAUAGCCAGAGAAGGGUUUUCAUCUCUACAGUAGAUAUAAGGCAGUAAAUCCUUUUACUUGAGUCAAUCCCCUCCAAAAUUUAAGCAGGAAAACUGUUUUAUGUUGGUGUGACAAAGGAGUAUCUAUUGAAUUAUUGUUUUGUCUGUGAUGUUUCUCUUUUCAGGAGGGAGUCUGAGUUUAUGUGACUCUAAAUUAAGGUUUGGUUCCUGCAUCCUUAAAGUUAAACAAAGGCAACUAAGUCCAUUGGUACAGAGUAAAUUAAAAAUGGUUGUCACCUAAAAAGGGACAUAUUUAUACUCAAUGCAAAAUAUUAAUAUGUGAUAUUAAGCCAAGGCCUUCAGUGUUUCCCCAGUGUAAAAUCACUCUGAGGAAAGGAGUUCUGGCACAUUUCACUCCCUGUGUCACUGUGACGAAGUCCUUAGUUUCUGAGAGGAGUUUAAAUUAUAGACAGCACAAAACUGAAGAUUGAUGUUUAAGUAUACAACCAAAAGGAGGAAAAAAAAAAGUACUUUUCAGCAGUUUCCAUGGAGUAGUUGAGUGAAAGGCAGUCACCCAACUUGCAUUUCUACCACAAGUAGACUGAUAAGAACAUAUUUAAGAGCAUCACUUUAGGAUCAAUAACAUCAUCCUUAAUCAAUAUUUGGUUGAUAGCUGUGUAAUAAUGAAGGUGAUGUUUGUAAUGUGGGCCCAUUGUUAUACAGAUUAAUGUUCAUACAGACAGAGAAGGACUUAAACGCAAAGCUGGAGUUUAACUUUGAACAGAAUAACAGGGUUAAUUUCUGCAGCUAUUUUAGAUUCGUUCUUAGAUCUAAGAUAAAAAUGCUUUUCAGAAAAUGUUCUUUCAGUUGCAUUUUGGUCCGUUUUGCCCUUUGGUGUCGUUGUAAUCAAUAAAAACUCUGGACAACUUAAUCGUGCCGAUUUUGAGCCAAUUAUCAUAGUUUAGUCACCAUUUCUUCAGCCAUACAAAAACAAGCAUGCUUUAAUCUGCAAUAUUUUACAUCCUUAAUACUUUCACCUGUGUAAUCUCUGAAUUCCUUACCUAGGUAGGGUAAUUAAACUCAGAUUACUUCACCAAUGUACCUCUGGGUCAAGGACCAAAACUUUCUUUCUUGCUCAGCUGGCAGUCAGUCUGUUUAAGUCUUCUCUCUGAUACAUACCUGGAAAAAAAAAAAAAAGAAUGAAAAAAAUUAAAAUUAACAUGACAAAGAUGCGCGUGGGCAUAGGAAAAUAUCACAGCUAACAAGUUAGACUAGGAAAUAAGAAAAUAAAAGCACAUCUUUCCAAAAACCCAAGGUGAAAAAUAUACAGUAGGAGGAUAAUCAGCACGCAUUAGUGAGCCUCUCAAAGACACUUGGGUGAAAUAAAAAUAAAAGAUCGGUACUGGAAGCGUUACUUUGUGGUGAUUAUUUGAUAAUUCAAAGCAUCUAUUUGGCCACUGGCCGACAACUGAACAUGCCAGAUUAACUGAGGGAAAAAUUAACGUGCAAUAAUUGAGUCAUUUUGUUGUCUUUUGGCAGAACAUACCCUCAGCACUCGAUGGGGCACAUCAUUACAGCAAUGAAAAGAAAAGGAAAAUCUUGGCACAUCAUUAAGAAUAAAUAAUGUCCCUUGCUUGAACUGUUAUUUACGUAAUUUGGAUUACACAAUAUCAACACUUUGUUUUUGCCGAAGCGUAAGAAAACAUUGUUUAUCAAAAAAGAUGACCCACACUUCAAAGAGAGCUUUAUUUCUACAAAAUGCCUGGUGCCUGAAACCGAUGCUGCAGGCUGGAAAUACCCAGAGGCCUCAGAACUGCAGUGAGUAGAUUACACUGAAGGCUGCACAUUCCCCAUAGAGACAGAACAAUUACAUACACUUACUUCAUAUUCAGAUAUGUAGAGAGUAUAACUAUCUAUUGUUUCAUGAACUCAAUCUGCAUACUUCUCUUUUUAAACAGAGAAAUGCCAAUUACUGCUAAUGGUAACUGGCAGUGUUGUAACAGGGCUCACUCACACUGCCUCUAUUCCUCAUAUUUGAUUUGCCCUUGAAGGUGCAUACUUCAAAGUUACCUUUUUCAGUGCCUUUUUUGGCUAAUGUCUUAUUAUUGUUGUGACCCAAGUUUUGAAGAAUGCGUCCUCCUGCCUUUAUGUACUUAUUUGUUUUAAUUGGGUUUUAUUUACAGUUUUGGGUUGGUUUUUUGUUUUGUGGAGGCACAGCCGAGUCUCAUUAAACUUUAGGUGAAUGGACAUUUAAUCCACGUAGACACAUUACAAGUGUGGCUGUGCCAAAGCAGGGCAGUUAAGAGCUGUAUUUCAGGUGGUACAAGGACACUCUGAGGCCGGUUUUCCUGCCAGAAAAGUUCUAUGAACUCAGACAGUGUAAGAGGACCAGUCAGCAGCACAGCAGCCAGUUUCUCUGUGGCCAAACACCAUAACACCAUAGAUGUAGUGAUGACAUCUUUGCCUUAACCAUAUUUGGACAAACACAAGAAGUCUUUGGGGGAUGGCAAAGUUAUAAAAGAAAGUUUAUAAAGGUGUGUGCCGUGUCCUAUUUCAAGUUUUGAGGGUAACGCACUACAAAGUUAUGGAUAACAGUAACGUCCAGCUUGUCUCUGUAUGCUCUGACAGUCUUUUCUUUCGCAGGAUUCACUUUCUUGGGUGUUUUGCUCUCACCGUGUUGCUAUCUCGCAGCUUCCCUGUCGAAUGUAAACAAAAAAUUGCCUUUAAAGAUGGCGCUGUCCGACACCCCAUGCAUUGCACAAUCAUGUGGUCUUUGAAAGUCCUAUGCAGAGAUCGAGUUGACUGACUUAGAGAUGGAAAUGGAGACGGAGACAGAGGCUGAUGACACAGGGGCUUUUAGGAAGUGGUGAUACUCACAUUACUUUUGUUUUAUUAGUCGAAAGGCCAAAAAUAUUUGUGUAAAAUGCACUCUAUGCUCAGGUGACAAUUAUACAAUAAAACGAUGCGGACUAUGAUCAGUGAUGAUUGGGAUAUGAUGUUUGUCCAUGCAUCCCUACAUGAUAAAUUAAGAAAUGGGAAAGUAAAGUAACAAGCAGUGAAGUAACUACUUACUAGUAACAAAUUACUUUUUAUGACUAACUACCCCAACACUUCCUAUGUCAACCAAGAUAGGGGCAUACGUUUAGCUUCACUUUAUAAGUCUGGGAUCUGCUUGAAUUGGGCCUGUUCCUGGUUGAUCCCUCUUUGUUGUACCAUGGUAGUAUAGCACUUGUGCUGACACAAUUUAAUGGAUGUAAAUAUAGUUUGAUGUAUAAUAUUGGGCUUUUGACCAGAAGAAUUAGAGAACGCUCAGGGAAGAAGUGGACACGAGACUGAGUGUUGCUUUUGAAAUGGUACCAUAUAUUUAAGCAAGCAGAUGACUAAUAACCACAGUGCAAUUAUUUACAGUGACAUACAAGGACAUACAUAACAUGGAAAUGAUAACAGAAGUACAGUGCAAUAAAUCAGUGAAGUCAGACAAUGUAAAUCAGUUCAAUCAGUUAGUCAAACAACACGAUGACCAAAUAAGUAAUGGGCACUUGGCCACCAAUAGUUCCUCACAACACAACAACCCACGUCUGGGUGCAAAGGUGUGAGUCCAGAGGAUUGGGAGGAAAAGGGAAAAUGUUGGGUGGAGUGUGUGUGUGUGUGUCUGGAUUGAUGGGCUGUACAGUGGGGUGAGAGUGUUGCGGCUACAAGGAGCCCCUACCAGCCUGGCAGAGAGAUGUGGGCUUCCUGGGUCUGUAGGUCACUUCCUUUGGCC
Non-coding RNA from Xyrichtys novacula (pearly razorfish), 91340 nucleotides. The record is from the annotation of a GenBank genome assembly. Lineage: Eukaryota; Metazoa; Chordata; Actinopteri; Labriformes; Labridae.